UGGGGUCGCCUUUUUUUUUUUUCUCGCGAUCCAUCAAUUGCAAGCCUAUGCGCCUACUCUACUUAUCCGCCUGCUGCAUCUGCAUCUGCCAUGCAUGCUGUGCACUGCUAGUAGCUCGUGAUCGUGCUCGCUGGCUGCAAGCAUAGUAGAGUCCUAUAGCUCGGACACAACUCCAGCUAGCUUUACCGGUAUCGUCUCCGACCGUACGUGAGGUGAGGGGCACGUCCGUGCGACUGCAAGGGUGAAGAUCUACCCCACAUCCUCCCCACUUUGCUUUGCCAUCCGUUGCCCGGCAGGUGCACCAGCGUAGGUGUAUAGCAGCGUAGCCUUUUUCCUCGCUGUGGCCAGCUACAGCUUUAGCUCGAUCGAUCGGAUUCGCGAUCCGAUCGUGCAUGCAUGCAAUGCAAUGCAGUGCAGACUGGUGGUGCGUGGCUGCUGCAGCUGGCCUGCAGGUCAAGGCGCCGCUCCGCUCACGGGAGUGUCAUGCAUGGCAUGCAGCCCGGUGGUGGUCUCUCGUCGCCGUACCCGUCGCAUGCAGCUAGCAGCGGCCGAGUGAUGUGGGUGAGUGGUGUGAGACGUGAGUGAUGUGGGGAUCGAGAUCGAAAGCUGAUCUCGAUCGAUCGAUGCCCCGGCGGCCUGCUGGGCCCUGCCAGUUUGAUUCCGAUCUGGCGUCCGUGUCCCGCCGGCGAGUUCCUUCGUCUCCAUCUCGAGGUGGUCACUAGCUCAUAUAUUGCUCGCUAGUUGUUCCUCGUCCUCCUCAUCUCCUCAGAACUUGUUCAGUUUGCAAAAAAUUUUAAACUAAACAAGGCCUUAUCCGUCCUAAUGUCUUUAGCUAACUAGCUAGCUACUUGCAUGGAUCGGUGCGUACUGUAUGUAGGAUCAUGCUCGCGCGCGUAGUACGUAGACGCCUUGUCCCAUUCGAUGGCCGCAUCCAUCGAUCCCGUCUCGUCCCCCAACUUGGGCUCUGCCAGUGCCGGAGGCAGGGCACCACCACCACACCACGUACUCCCACUGUGAACCUCUGAAACAGGAUAACGAGCGAGACUCUCUCUCUCUCUCUCUCUCUGUAUGCGAGGGUAAAUGAGUAAUUUUGGCACGGCGCAGAGAUCACCCCGGCGGCCCUUGCUCGGUCUCGGUCGGUCUCAUGCACUUGCAUGCUGGUCUUCUUGUUUCCAAAAAUGCGGUCUACUACAGCUGUUGCUCCCAAACUGGUCUUCUUUGAGUUCUUUCUCGCACCCCGGCCGGCCCUUUCUCGUUUGCGUCUUUUUGGGCUGACGCUGUCCCUUUUCGAACCUCGAGUCCCCCUAAACAAAAUCUCUCUCUCCCUCCCUCUUCACGCUUCUCCCAAACUGUAAUAUUUUUGAUUGAGAUGCAUCCGUUUCCGUUUCAUCAUUAGUUUAAUUUAAUUAACGGCGAUCAGAGAGAGAGAGAGAGAGAUGAGUGGGCGAGGCCCAUGCUUCGCUUUGUCCGCUAAUGGUCCGGCCCCUCACCUCACCUCACCUCACCGUCGUGGGCUCGUGGCGUCGUCUAUCUCGGUCUCCUCUCCACUCUCCCUUUUUAUUUCCACCCCGCGGCCACUCGCACGCUUCUCCCUGGCCUCCUCCCUCCCUCGUUUUUCCCUCUCUUAUUCAAAAACUCACCACCGCUACUCUAACCGCCGCCGUGUCCUCUCCCUCGGCCAGGCCAACCAGGCCACCAGCUAGCUGCUGCCAGGUCCGUCCGGCGAUGGGCAAGGCGGCGCGCUGGUUCCGCAGCUUCCUGGGCGGCAAGAAGGAGCAGCAGGCCACCAAAGAUCACCGGCGGCGCCAGCAGCAGCAGCAGCAGGACCAGCCUCCUCCUCCUCCGCCUCCGCCGGCCACCACCGCCAAGCGCUGGAGCUUCGGCAAGUCGUCGCGGGACUCGGCCGAGGCGGCCGCGGCCGUCGUCUCGGCCGGCGCGGGCAACGCGGCGAUCGCGCGCGCCGCGGAGGCCGCCUGGCUCAGGUCCGCCGCGUGCGCCGAGACGGACCGCGAGCGGGAGCAGAGCAAGCACGCCAUCGCCGUGGCCGCCGCCACCGCCGCCGCGGCCGACGCGGCGGUCGCCGCGGCGCAGGCGGCCGUCGCCGUCGUCCGACUCACAAACAAGGGACGCGCGCCGCCCGGCGUCCUCGCCACCGCUGGAGGAGGACGCGCCGCCGCCGCCGCCGUCAGGAUCCAGACGGCGUUCCGAGGAUUCUUGGUAAUGGUCAAUCAUCCGCAGCAACUUUUUUUUUCCUCUCUCUCUCUCUCUCUCUCUCUCUCUCUCCUUAUCCACACCCUGUGAUCCAAUGGAAUCCAACAGUGUCGCUGCCCUGCUGCCUCGCCAUGUUCGUGCAUUCGUACGGGGCGGCUGCGGCUGCUUCUGCUCUGUUUUGUUCUUGCUGUAAUCGCUGCUGCGUCUCUGCGUGCGCAGGCGAAGAAGGCGUUGCGCGCGCUCAAGGCGCUCGUGAAGCUGCAGGCGCUGGUGCGCGGCUACCUCGUGCGCAGGCAGGCGGCCGCCACGCUGCAGAGCAUGCAGGCGCUCGUCCGCGCGCAGGCCGCCGUGCGCGCCAGGCGCGCCGCCGCCGCCGCGCUCUCGCAGUCGCACCUCCACCACCACCACCACCCGCCGCCCGUCCGUCCGCGCUACUCGCUGGUACAGACGACGACGGACCACGCCUUCCAUUCACUACUCGUUCGUUCGUUCGUUCGUUCGUUCGUUCGUACGUUCAUGCUUACACUCUACUGUUUCUUGACGCGCGUCCGACUCCGGCGUGCAGCAAGAGCGGUACGCGGACGACACGCGGAGCGAGCACGGGGUGGCGGCGUACAGCAGCCGGCGGCUGUCGGCGAGCGUCGAGUCCUCGUCGUACGGCGGCUACGACCGGAGCCCCAAGAUCGUGGAGGUGGACCCGGGCCGCCCCAAGUCGCGCUCGUCGUCCUCGCGCCGGGCCAGCUCACCGCUGCUCGACGCCGCCGGCGGCAGCAGCGGCGGCGAGGACUGGUGCGCCGCCAACCCCGCGUCGUCGUCGCCGCUGCCGUGCUACCUGUCCGCCGCCGGCGGACCGCCGCGCAUCGCCGUGCCGACCUCGCGCCAGUUCCCGGACUACGACUGGUGCGCGCUCGAGAAGGCCCGCCCGGCCACGGCGCAGAGCACGCCGCGGUACCUGCUGCCGGCCACCCCGACGAAGUCCGUCGCGGGAAACUCGCCGUCGCUGCACGGGUGCCCGAACUACAUGUCGAGCACGCAGGCGUCGGAGGCCAAGGUGCGGUCCCAGAGCGCGCCCAAGCAGCGGCCCGAGCUCGCCUGCUGCGCCGGCGGCGGCGGCGGGGGAGCGCGGAAGCGGGUGCCGCUCAGCGAGGUGGUGGUCGUGGAGUCGUCCCGCGCCAGCCUGAGCGGCGUCGUGGGCAUGCAGCGCGGGUGCGGCGGCGCCCGGGCGCAGGAGGCGUUCAGCUUCAGGGCAGCCGUCGUUGGCCGCAUGGACCGCUCGUUGGAGGUUGCCGGUAUCGAGAACGACCGGCAGGCGUUCUUGCAGAGGAGGUGGUGACUGGUGACCACCGAUCAGCAAGCUCCAUUGGAAAUGCCAACAAGACGACGAGAGCUUUGGAGGAGUAAUUAGCAAUAAGAAUGCGUUUUCAUGUGUUCUUGCGAGUUCUCGUCCUUUUUUUUUUCUUUUUCUUGGUUUUGUUUUUGCAAUGUGAUCAAUCAUGCGACUAGUGUUUUUUUUCCUUUUUCUUUUCUUUUAUCAGUGGCCAACAAAGUGUAUGAGGAAAAUUUGAUUCAUACUGCACUUGGCAUGUAAAUUCUUGAUCUUAUUAUUCAUGCUGUUCUUGAAUUGUGUUUUUAAUGCCUUUCUUUGCUGGUUCAGAGCAUUAAGUGAACUGUUUCUGCAAUUGUGGAUGCACCCAGUUAAUACAAUCAGCAAAGCUAGUAGUGGAUACCAAUCUUAGGGCACUCACCAUGAAUGAAGAAACUGUAAAUUCACCUAGACAAACAACCCGUACAGUCCAGUUCCUACCUCAGUAAACUAUGUGUCCUAUGGCAUUCCGUAAACUUGUUAUCUAGAUUAAGGCCGUGUUUAGUUUCCAAAGAAUUUUCCAAAAUUUUUCAGAUUCCCCAUCAUAUCGAAUCUUUAGACGCAUGCAUGAAGUAUUUAAUAUAGAUGAAAAUUAAAAUUAAUUGCAUAGUUUGGUCGGAAUUAACGAGACAAAUCUUUUGAGCCUAGUUAGUCCAUGAUUGGACAAUAUUUGUCAAAUACAAACAAAAAUGCUACAUUGUCGAUUUUGCAAAAAAUUUAGGAACUAAACAAGGCCUAAAACUUCUCUCGAGUUUUCAGGCAGGUCUAAAUCAGCCCAAGUGCCCUACUGCCUAUGCCACCACCAAGCGUGGCUUGUGGUGCACGGCUAGAUAUCGUUUUUGUUUGUAGCAUUGAACAGCACUUGUGCUUGCUAAUCUUAUUUGAAAGAUGAGUGUUAUCAGUGCGGGGUCCAUGAAUUUGAGAGAUCUGUACCGUGCAAAAACGUUUAAACAUAAAAAAGUAGAAAAAGCAUAGCAGACAUUUUUUUUUGCCCUUGAAGAUACGUGCUCCCAACAUGCCGACCAUUAGAUUCAUAUUGAGAAGUACACACAUCUCAAUGCACUCACCGCCAAGCUCUAUCGAAGCUCUUUUUUUUCAAACACGUAGUAGCAUACUUUGUGUACAACUAUAGGCAUGUUUGGAACCCAGAGUUAAAAAAUAGCCCUCUUUGCGGGAAUGGAUUAAAAAUUAAUUAAUUAUGGGCUAAAGGAUUUUAACCACUAAUUAAUCCUCAUGGGCUCUGUCAAACGAGGCUUUAGGCUUUCUAAUUGGCAAACAAAAACAUAGGCUAGCUUCGGGUCCGAACACCCUGUAAGGGGCUAUAAUCUCUUAUACAACACGUCUUGGAAUGAAACUUUAGAGAACUCCUAAGAGAAAAAUUGAUCUCGCUUUUUUUUCGAAAAUCACGCUUGAGCGUGUACCGCUUUAAGGGAAAAAGGAGUUCAAUACAAAGCUAGGGGUGCCAGCGGCGAGAUGCCUCGAGCCGCCCCUAACCGAGAAGCACAGACACAAGGCACCGGAUAGAACGGUGGAACUUCGAGUGAUGUACUAGGGGGCACACGGCUUUGCGACUGGAGUUAGAAACCCCCGGGCUACUCCUCGUACUAUAUCCCAACGAACAGGGCCGCAAGCUUGUUGAAGCCCGCUCCGAUCCACUCCUCCCCUUCGUCUUUGAUGCGCUGCAAUAGCUGACUUAGGCUUAGGCAGUUGCCGUCGAAGGUUCGUCGGUUCCGCUCUUUCCAGACUUCCCACGAGACGAGAAGCACCAGGGAGUCGAAGCCACCGCGUCGGCUAGCAGCCACCCUCAGCCUCGUGUCCAUCCACCAAACGACGAUGCUCAUAUUGGAGACAUAGGGGUAUAAUCAAAUGGGCAAAGCUUGGGGGAUGCUGGUACAGAGUUUUUCCAUGCCAAUGCAAACCUUUAAGCACAGGAAAAACUUAAGAGAAAAUUAGUUCCUUAGUCCUAAAAAGUUGUUUCCUUUUUUUUGGCCCUCUUUGUUUUGAAUUUUCCUAUUUGGCCGUAAAAUGAAAUUCGUUUUUUUUUCAUAGCCCUUCCGUUAGUUUGAGGCUCUAACAACGUUCAGUUGCACACAAAAGUACCCUUUUACCCCUAGCGCUGAAGGGUGACAUGCAUGUUGUACGCAACGUCGUCGCUGGGGCAGAUGGCCACCACCUUCAUCAUGCACACGAGGCUGGGUGGGCGGUUUAAGGUGCUGUUGUGGUGCGUCGACGACACCAUCAUCCCAGCGGUCCACAGUGGUGCUGGCCCUAGGGACGCCGCACUCAGUGGCUCCACGCCAUCCACUGCGGGAGCAGGCCGAUGAGCAUCACGUGGCAGAAACUUUCUUCACAUCCAAUAGAAGUCAUAUGUUGUUGUCCGAGAGUUUCAUAGUAAUUUUGGAUCUUGUUUAGUUUUCAAAAAAUUUUGUAAAUUUUUUCAUAUUCUCUGUCACAUCGAUUCUUACAUCAGAUGCAUGAACACUAAAUAUAGAUAAAAAAUAAUUGAUUGCACAGUUUAUCUAUAAUUUACGUAAUGAAUCUUUUGAGUGUAGGUAGUCUAUGAUUGGACAAUAGUUGUCAAAUACAAACGAAAGUGGUACAAUGUCCAUUUCUGCAAAAUAAAAUGUAAAAAUUACAUAAAAAUGUAUUUCAGCUCAUAUAGUCAAUUGAACCAUAUGCCAUGAGAAAGAUUAACAAUUGAUUUGUUUUGCACGGUCAAAACGAGGUUCUAUCUCCAUACUAUCACUAAUCAAGUCUAAUAAUACCAAAAAGUUGUUGAAAAAAAACUAAAAAAUUGAAUGUAAGCAUAUCUUGUGUGUAUAUGUUUGCCAUUUUUUUUUUCAAACGAUGUUAAUAAAGGGGGCAUAUAUAUCGUUCAUAAAAUGGAUACACCUUAUGCAACAAAGAUCACAAAGUAGACAGCAUGCAACUAUGAAUAAAAUGUACUACAAUUUCAUAGCAUUUUUCUAUUAUUUAUUGAAAACUUAUAACAUAUCUUUAUAUAUAUAUAUAUUUUUCAUAAGAAACAAGGAUUAAAUAAAAAUUCUUCCGGUCAAGAACAAUCUCGCAACCACAAAAGAACUCUGAAGCGCCCCAAGAACCAAUUGGAGAACCUAUGCAAUAAUGUACGUCUUGGAGAGUUGGAGCGCUCUUAAUUAGCGUGCCCAAGGUUCAACAUGGACUUAUCGUCAUGAAAAACUAAAGACUGGUGAUGGCAACCGAACUCACUGGUGAUUUGAGCCCUUUACAUCCGUACCUACAAUUCUAGAGCACUGGCCUUGUUUACUUCCACCCAAAAUCCAAAAACAUUUCAAGAUUUUCCGUCACAUCGAAUCUUUAGACGCAUGCAUGGAGUAUUAAAUAUAAACGAAAAUAAAACUAAUUUCAUAGUUUGGUCGAAAUUUAUGAGACGAAUCUUUUGAGCCUAGUAGUCUAUAAUUAGAAAAAUAAUUACCACAAACAAACGAAAGUAAUAUAGUGUCUCGAAAACAUUUCGGGAAGAAACUAAACAAGGCCUAGCUAGGGUAGUAAAACUGAAAAUCCUAUGGAUUUGAUCGUGAAUGAUUGUUUCAGUAUUUAUUUAUAGGCUAGUACUACGUAUGUAGCGGCUACGGCACUGGCUUUUGUGCUACUACUACAGAUGCGUUCAAAACCUAAUGAGACAACCCGUUCUGGCCCAGCCUAGCUUGUGAAAGAACACGGGAAACUGCAACAAAUUCGAUGCACAAGACAUGGAGCUGCAAACGAACUCGAUUUCAGAUUUGAACCGCGGCGGUGUGAGUCGUCUCGUCACGUCCCCGUGGCGGGCGACAGGUAGGAUUUGAGAGGUGCCGCCGGAACGCGACGCGGCAGGGCACGGCAGGGCAUGUGGCUUGGCUGCCGACCUGGAGCCGGGAGGCGCGGGCAGGCAGGCUCGACUGGGAUCCCCUAGCCCAGCACGUGAGGGCGGGGCGAGCGCGUGGGCCGCGCCCCCUGUCGGGAGGGGGAGUAACGGGACCCUGUUGUGCAGGUGGUGGUGCUGCACUGCUCGCUGCAUGCUUUCAGUUGCCGAUACUGUUUGUGACGUCACAAGUGGCGUUCUCAUCGACUGUUCGUACACCUGUCUUUCGCACACCUGUUAAGACACAACACAAUGUGCGCUGCAUGCCGGGUUGUGAUGAGUACUGUAUCUCUUAACAAUGGAGUACUCUUUGUAGUAAGCAGUGACAGCAAAACUUGCUAAUCUGUAUAUAAUGUACAUCCAUAAACCGGAGACUUUAUAAGGGUAUCACUCAUCUAGGUCGAAAUUAGUGUCAACGUAUGACACUAAUUUCAUAGAUCAGCGAACGGUAUUUUCGUCAUUUUAGACGAAUAAGCUUAACAACAUAUUUUAGAAUCUGUUUGGAUUUUAAUCUCUAAAUUUUAGAGCUAAAACUCCAAACAUGUAGCCUGAAGUUAGCUCUAAAACUUUAGCUCACCUCACGUUAGAGCUUUAGACCUAAAAGUGAUCUAAAUUAAAGUGCUCUAAGAGCUCUAAACUUUAGAGGUGGGAAUCCAAACAGUAAACUGUGGUGAUAUACAACAAUGCCAUUUGGUCGUUUGCUACAACUUCCCGAUCUGGAUGCAAUGCAAGUUACAACAAUGCCAUUUGGUCGUUUGCCACAAUUUUCCCGAUGUGGAUGCAAUGCAAGUUCAUGCAUGCAUAUGUCCGCAAAGCCAUUGCAACUUGCAUCCAUCGUCAGAAAUUCAGAACAUCACCCGAUCGAUCGCAAGUGGAUCUACUCUGCCCGCCCGUGAGGCCGUGGGUCACACACACACACACCACACAGCACGAUCCAGUAUGAAGAACACCACACAGAGCACAAGACCAGAAGACCACCACACCCGGUGCCUGACCUGACCUGACCUGACCUGACCUGACUGCCUGCCGAUGAAGACACCACGAGGGAGCCUCACCCUGACGAGAGACUGCAACCGUCCAUUCGUUCAGUUCAUUCUCGGCCUAUCCGACUAUCCGUCAAUCAGUUCAUGCGUGCAUGGCGACUUUCUUCUCAGCAAAUGAUUAGCUAGGUUCUGAUUUGAUAUUGCUAGCAUCGGACUCACACCCCAUGGGUGACCGUGCUCCGUGCACUUUAUGCUGCAUGCAUUAGAGGGAGUACUGCUUUUUUUUUCUUCUUAACAUUCUUAUCCUUUCUCUCUUGAUUUUUGCUUUUUUUCCCUGCACGUUUACAUCGCCGAUUGGUUUCAGAGGAUGCUUGGUAUGGCAUCUAAAGUGUGUUACAUCAAAUGUUAUAUGAGGUGGUCUAUGGGAUAUUCGGAUAUUAAUAGAAAAAUAAAUUACAGAUUCCAUCAAUACUCUGUGAAACGAAUUUAUUAAGUCUAAUUAAUUUACCAUUACCGCAUAUGUUACUGUAGUAAUUAGUGUCUACAUAUGACAAAUUAGUCUAGCUAUAUUUUCUAGUUUCAUAAAUAAUUUAUAUUUAAUAUUUUCAUAUAUGUAUCCAAACACCCGAUGUAAUAGGGACUAAAGUUUAACAGCAUUAAUCAAACUGGGCCUUAUUGCCGCGCUGCAGAGCCAUCCCCUCUAGUUGCGAGACGAAUCUUUUGAACCUAAUUAGUCCGUGAUUAAACAAUAUUUAUUAAAUAUAAACCAAAAUGCUACGGUGUCCAUUUUGUAAUUUUUUUACUAAACAAGGCCCAGCCUAGGCACGCUGGCGCGGUUGUUAUCGGCUGGCAGAAGCCAAUGUGGCGAUAUCCCAGCACCUAGCAGGCAAGGCAUCUACGCAAACAGCGCUGGGGAAUUGAAGUCAAAUGCAUGCACUACUGGAGCUGUUAAUCACUUAAUCUGUGUAAGGGAAGGAGUACGAGCUCAUCAGUAAUCCAUGUCUUAUCUAGAUUCUAGAGUUUGUGAAGUGGUUAAGCAUGGGCUUCGACCCUUGUUGGCUAGACAGACAGCUGCACUGCACAUGGAGGCGGUGGUUCGAUCGGCUCACCUCUCGAGCUCAACUACGACCUGACCAAACCCCGUCCGAGGCAGCCGCAGCCCUGACCGCCUGACCAGUGACCACAAUCGCAUCGCACCCAAGAGAUGAUUUCACCGAAUUCCAUGCACGACUAGGGCCUUGUUUAGUUCCGAAAAGUGAAAAAAUUUCGGUACUGUAGCACUUUCGUUUGUUUAUGACAAAUAUUAUCCAAUCAUAGAUUAACUAGGAUCAAAAGAUUCGUCUCGUGAUUUACAGCUAAACUGUGUAAUUAGUUUUUGUUUUCGUCUAUAUUUAAUGUUUCAUGCAUGUGUCACAAGAUUCGAUGUGACGGGGAAUCUCGAAAACUUUUUAGUUUUCAGGGUGAACUAAACAAGGCCUAGGGCAAAAUUCGCUGAAUUCGAGCGAUUUGUGCGUGGACAGUGUGUGGCUAGUAGUGCUGUAGUGGACCGGAAGCACAGAGUAACUAAUCCACAGGGCACUCUCCAUCUCCAUCCGGUGCAGCUAGCUAGCGUUAUAUAUGUUCAUCAUCCAUUACCAAGCUUUACUUUGGUACCGUACGUGAAGUGCAGCUACGAUUUGCAUGGAUCUGGAGGACACAGGGCACCGUUAUUACCUGGGAUUGGGGAUUUGGGGAAGAUGACCUUCCUUAUCCACUCGAUCACUGCCCUUGACUGUGACCUUAUCUGUCACCUCACCCUGCCUUCUUCUUUUAAUCCUGUGGCAUGGAUUGUGGGUACAUGUAUUGUACGUAUUACUUUCUCCUCCCAAAAAUAGAUUUCCUGAGGAAUUGAAUCUAAUGCUAUCUAUUUAGUACAAUAAAUAUUACUAUUUUUAACAUGAGCUUGAACAAACUCAACAGAAUAUAACAUAUCACACUUAUUCUAGAAUUGUAUUCUUUUUAUUUAGGACGGAGGCAGUAUAAUAUAGCCACACCUCAUCAUACACACACGCCUGCUGCACCGAGUAGUACGUAGCACAACUGCUUUGCACUACUCGAGAGCUUCAAAUUUCGAAACCCCAACAGGAUCUAUCGGAGACAUAUGGGAUCCCGCCUACAAUGCCGACCUUGUUUGUUAGUGUCGAUCAAGAAUUCAAGAUGCAGGCAUGUCGAUCCGUCACCAUGCAUCCAUGUCUCUCUAUCUAACACUGUCAAUUUUGUUUCCAUCCAGCAAUUUGCUUCCGGCCUCAUCACUUGCCUGUGGCCUGGUCAGUGAUCAGAGUAAAACCAAACAGUGCUGCUCCUACUACCAUAUCACUAAACUAGCAAUAGUGGUGUGCCGUGCAUUUGUUUACCACUUGGUAAGUACAAAGCAGGUGACAACUGCUCCGUUUACCACUGAAUCUUUUCAAAUCGUACAGACUGAUGCAUGAUCUGCUGUCUUAGCUUGCUGGUUUGUAGUAUUUGUUGGUACCUAAUUAAGCUACAUGUACUUUUGACCUUCUUAAACUGACAUACUCCUACAUAUGUUAAAUCAAAGGUUAGUGAGUGCACUGUACUUUUAUAACAUAUCGCCCAUGUUUUCUAUUGCUAGGCAGUAGCUAGCUUCUCAACCGUUGAGAAAUAGCCCUAAUAUUGUACUCGUAUCUACAGUAUAGUGUUUUCAGAAGUGGUACAUCUAUGCCUGUUUAUUUAUUUAUUAUUUAAAAAAAGAGCUCUGCAGCUAGCAGAUGCAACCACACUGACAUGACGUGAUAGUGGCGGAUUUGUUCUUGCCUUGUUUAGUUCACCCCGAUUUCCCGUCACAUCGAAUCUCUCGGCACAUGUAUGAAGCACUAAAUAUAGAUGAAAACAAAAAUUAAUUACACAGUUUGUCUGUAAAUCGCGAGACGAUUCUUUAGAUACUAGUUAGUUCAUGAUUGGACAAUAUUUGUCAAAUAAAAACAAAAGUGCUACAGUAGCGAAAUCCGAAUUUUUUUCAGAACUAAACGAGCAAAUUGAAUGGGCAAGUCUUCCGGCGGGCCAGGGAUGAUCAAUGUUGGAUGAUGAAUUAAUAAUAAAUAAGCAUAUAGUACUAGCUAUUUACUCUUCCUAAUCCUGGAAUCUUGCAACUGAUGCUACUCAUUAUUGUUUUCCAGAUGUAUUUACUAAAUAUAUCAUGUCGCAAAUUAAAUCAGUUUGCUUGCGAAAAGCCUGGCGGAGAUGCUAAAAUCAGUUUCCUAUAGUACGUCUCCGAAGAUGCUCUAUUUGAGCUCAAAUGCAAUGCAGAAAGCAUACUGCGGAGCUAGACGACGACCAGCUUUCAGUGUGGGAGACAACACUGAAACUGAUGAUGAUGCGGUCGUACGUGUACGUACAGUGUACUAUACUGCAGCUGCACGAACUUUCAUGGCAAUGUGCGGGUAUUGCUUGCUAUUUCAGAGAAAUGGUCUUUUUCUCGCCCACACAUCCACGUCACAUCCUUCCGGGAAAUAGUGCAGUUCUUGAAGCAAUUUUCUCCGAAGGGGUUUUGUUUACUUACAUCUGAAAUUUAAAAACUUUUCAAAACUUUUCGCCAUAUCGAAUCUUGCGACACAUGUAUACAGAUAAAAAACUAAGGUCUUGUUUAGUUCACCCCAAAAACCAAAAACUUUUUAAAAUUUCUCGUCACAUCGAAUCUUGCGGCACAUGCAUGAUGCAUUAAAUAUAGAUGGAAACAAAAACUAAUUACACAGUCCGUUUGUAAAUCACGAGACGAAUCUUUUAAGCCUAGUAGCUCUGUGAUUGAACAAUGUUUGUUAAAUAAAAACGAAAGUGCUACAGUGUUAGAAUCCAAAAAAUUUUCGGAUGUAAACAAGGCCUAACUAAUUGCAUAGUUUGCUCGUGAUUUGAGAGAUGAAUCUUUUGAGCCCAGUAAAUCCAUAGUUGAUCAAUAAUUACCAAAUACAAACAAAAGUGCUAUAUUAUUCGAAAUUUUUUCACGAACGGAACUAAACAAGGGCUAAAUAUACUCCACGUGCGUAGGUGGAGUCCUUGACGCAUAUAACCACAAUAAUAAAAGCUUACAAACAAAAAUAGACAGCAAGCACAUUGCAAGGGCUAAGUUUCGGUUUCAACCUAUAUAGGAGCCAAGACUAACAUAACACUUCUUCAAUUUCUCAAUGACCAAGACCACAAACAUCCCCAUGAUUGGAGAAUGAAGCCUUAUACAUAGGAAAUUAAUAUCUGUUCCCAAAACUCAACAAUUACUACAUACAAGAUUAGCAUGGAAAACAAUGAAGAAGUAGAUCUUUUAGCUAGACAGGCUUUGGCCCUUAAACAUUAAUCAACCUCUUCAGGCUUCUUGCUCAAAUGUAGCACAUGAGUCUUAGUGCCCUGUUCUUCAGGCUCUGAUCAAUGUAACCUUACCCUUUGUGCGGUUACUCACAUCUUCAUGUUGUUCAUGAAUGAAAUUUUGGUUCCUCCUAAACAACCCUAUAUAGGAGCUAGAGCCGGUGAAACUGCUAUUUGUUUUUGUUUCACCUAUUUCUAGUUUAUUAUAGAGACAGGAUAUACUGUACAAAUGACGUGAGGCUUACCAUGGCAUUUUUUAGCCUAGCCUAGGCACGACACUGUGCGAUAUCGUCAUGUGAUGAAGGGGCAGAGCCAGAGGUAACUAUGAGAGGGGCAAGUACUAAGGCCUUGUUUAGUUCUUUAUAAAUUUUGCAAAAUUUUUUAGAUUCUCCGCCAAAUCAAAUCGUGUGGCACAUGCAUGGAGCUUUAAAUAUAGAUUAAAAAACUAACUAAUUACACAAUUUGUCUGUAAUUUGCGGGACGAAUCUUUUGAGCCUAAUUAGUCCAUGAUGGGACAAUAUUUGUCAAAUACAAACGAAAGUGCUACAAUGUCUAUUUCGCAAAAUUUUUUGCAAGUAAACAAGGCCUAAUUGAUGGUUUAUUGGAGGGACAAAUAUAAAAAAAAUUCUUCAAAUAUAUGGUGGAAUUUUGUGUACACAAUAUAAGUUCACCCAACAUAGUGGGUGUCUGCCCCCCCCUCAGCCCCAUCCCUCCACCCCUGAUGUGAUGUGCUUAUGUUGGCCCUUGGCACAUCAGACAACAUGCGACACGACCCGCUAAACAACAUGAGCUCAGAGCCAAGCCUCUUAACACCCCUCUCACCCCUUACUCAAAUAUACAUGAGUCACAUGCCUACAACUAUACCCCUAGUAGCUGCUCCUCUCCCGGUCAUUGUCUCCUCCCUUAACUACCGUCUGCUAUCUACUCCCUAUGUUGUUGCAGACAAUAUUCCAACCUGACCAAUUAAAAUAAUAAUAAUAAAGACUAUAGAUGAUAUGUCCAUACCUGAUAUAGACCUUGUGAGUGUUGCAAUCGCACCUACUGGCUUGCUGAUUGCUCUCUGAUGCGUACUUCCACAUGCCGUUCAACCACAACAUGCAAAACCGCACACGUCUUCAUUCGAUGUUGCAACCAUCAUUGACCGAUCACCACGAGUUUGCAAGUCGCACAACGAUUGAGUCACCCAAGCCAAGGCCACCUAAAAAGUUAUGGUAGAAAAGUUUCACCGACUUCUACAAAAUCUUUCAUUGCUCGGAUAACUACAUCUAUUGAACAAUUAACUUAGCUGGUGAUACCAAAUUCUCCAGUGACUUACAUAAAUCAUAAAUUUUGUAAUAUAUUAAACUAGCCCCUUAGUUGAGGUUGCUCCAAAAGGAGAUCCUCUAGGUUGUUAAAAUCCAAAGUCAAUAACACAAAUUUUCAUGAUCAUUGGAAUCACCAUAACUAGAAUCAUUGUUCUUUCCAUUGGAUCUACAUGUAUGGCUAGAUGAAAUGUGGAAGUGGAUGUGCACUUCUAAUCCCACCUUAGCGAUGAAGUGACCACUUGAGGCACAAAUUCUUAUUGUCACUCUAAGCUUGGUGUAUCAAACUAAUGAUGCAUAUCAUGAUAAAAGCCACACAUAACUUCAGUGAUGCUUAGAUAAAUGGGGCUUUGUGGGUUUCUUCAAGGGGAAUUAAACAACUUCAGUGAUAUUAAUAUCUUAGGUAAAUGAGGCUUGGUGGGUUUCUUUAAGGGUUUUUAAGUGGGACAAGGGCAGGAGAGUGAACGAGGCUUGGGCCCGUACGGUCGUACCCCAUGCUACAAUGUAGCCCAAAAAAUACUUUAGCGAUCCUUUCUAAAAAGAUGCUUUAAAAUUAACAAAGUUUUUUUUAAAAAAGCACUAGAACAAUUCUCUUACAUUUUAAAUGGUCUAGCAAUAAUGUAAUACAAAUAUACUUGAUCAUGAGAACUUUUGGAAGGUUGUAGACCCCAUACUAAAGUUGAAUUUUGAUGAGUUGACUCGAACAUACCUGUUGGAAAUAGCAAACCUUAUCUGUCAUUACACUACACUACAACCAAGCUAGAGGCUAGUGAUGAAUCACUAUGUAAACAUUUUUUCCAAUAUGGUGGACCAUUUGAAGCAAAUCCCAGUCGAUGAUGAUGAGGGCAAGACAAGAAGCAUGGUGCCGGCGUGGGAUCCAUGGUGUUGACAUGGGGAGACUAAAGGAGGGAUCCAUGGUGUCGACGUGGGUGGGGGGCUUGAGCCCCCUCCCCCACACAACCCCUACACACCUUGGUAGUCUAUCACUAUCAAUAUAUUAGGUUCAAAUUACUAUUAAUUACCCUGAAGCCAUGAACUAAUUUUUGUAACCAAACUAUUGAAAAUAAUAAUGGUUAUACAUUAGUUGAACCACAUAAACAUCCCGACCUUAGUGGUUCAAUUGCAAAAGGAAGAAAAAGAAAUCAAUCUAACUAACCUCUCUCUCAACAAAAUAUUAUGUUUCUAACAUGCAUAUUUGAGAGCUACCAGCUUCCCUCCUUGCCUAUUGCUGCCUGCUCUCCUCCUUGCCACUCCCCACAUAGCCACACUUUCCUGUUUGAAGGAUCAUGAUGCCCAAGCAGGGGGUUGUGAAUUGGGAUAAUAUAAUUUUUCACAAAUUAAAAUAUAUCACUUAGCCCAUUUCACCCCUUGUACCUAGUAUGUGUUUCUAGACUAUGCAUAAAAGUUCGCUCCCUAUUUCCAACCCUAAGAUAACAUCGCAAUCUAGGAAUGUAAAAAUAUUUAGUAAUUGCACAAAAGUAAAUGCUCAAAGUAAAGAGAGGGUUUGGAACACGGUGAUGUUUUUCCAGAGGUAUCUGAGAGAGUUGGCACUCCCCAUUAUUCCUCAUUGGAGCAUCUGGGCAAGGGUAUAGCUCCCUUGAUCCGCGCAAGGAUAAAUUUCUCUCUAUAGGCUGAUUCUUUGCUACUCGGACACGAUGAAUCACCCACAACCAUUCACAACAUAACUUGGGCCUCUCAUAAUUGCCUCUGAAAGAUCACCAAGCCAUCUAGGUGAUGUUGAUCAGUAAGAAUAACAUGCACAAACUCUCACUUGACCUAUGCACUCUUGCUACUCCCUAUGCACUUUUGGAGUCUUUAAUCAUCUUGGAAUUAGCAAACUAAAAUCACUCCACUAUGCUUGAACUCCCCCUUGCACUAGGCAUCAAACACGACAAUGUCCAACCAUUGUACAUGUCUUCUGCACAACCCUAGCACUUACAUGUAGUGCUUUGUUCGGUGGGUUGUUGACCUAAGCAUCGGACCAGUAAUCCCUCAUUCACUUCCUUUUCAACCAUCUUCGGGAAUGGCAUUACUUCCAUUUGAUCACUGAGCUUCCUCUAAGUUACCUAGUACUAAGUUUGACAAAUGUGCACUACACCUACUCACUAGUCUCACCUAGGUAAAGCUACUAGUCCCUCCUUUAUAAUAUGACCAAAGGAAAAAACAAAGUCCUAAACUACUCUAAGCAUCCCUCAACACCAACUGACACUUAGAACUAGUUCUUUCUUAACCAUGUCACUUGUUGUUUGAAAAUUGAACCAAAUUUCAUCAAAUAGAGGCAUGAAAACAAUUGAUUGACCAUUAAUCAAUCAUCUCUGACCUAAACUGAAUUAGGGGCCUAGAUAUGCUUUUGCUCUUGCUUUCACUAGCUGUUAGUUUCUUCUCAGGCCCUAGCCAGGCAACCCUCUAUCUCCUGCCCAUAGUGAUUCUACCCCUCCCUUUUUCUGACUUCUGAGUCUAGGGAGCUCUCUUAUGGUGGGGUCAAGGAAGCGACAGUUGGUGGUGAGAGUAGGGAUGAGUACAAAAAUUUUGGUAUGAGGAAUGUGUUGAUAGCAAGACAUAUCGUGCCUCAGUGGAAUCGUCCUUAGGCGAGUCAUGUUGUGUUUCCAACCGUUUUGGCCUGGCACUGUUGUGGCCAUACCAUGCCCAGGCCAAGCAUGGUAUAACCUAGAAGCACGACCAUGUCGUUCUUGGUCUAUUGAGAUUGGAUCAUGUUUUUCUUGGCCCGGGCUAUCACAGCCUAGGUGAUCCAAUUAGACAUCUAUAGGCCGGUAGAGAGAGAGAGAGAUGUCUCAUUGCUACAAUUUACAACCCUAGAAAUUGGAGCAGUUUUGAAUGAAGAAACCCUACUAGAUGAGAACUAAACUUGUAUCCAUUGUUUAUAUGUCGUAUUAAGGCCUUGUUUAGUUGGCAAAAAUUUUUGUUUUUGGUUACUGUAGCAUUUCGUUUUUAUUUGACAAACAUUGUCCAAUCACAGAGUAAUUAGGCUCAAAAGAUUCAUCUCACAAAUUACAGGUAAACUGUGCAGUUAGUUUUUAUUUUCGUCUAUAUUUAAUGCUUCAUGCAUGCGACCAAAGAUUCGAUGUGACGGGGAAUCUUGAAAAUUUUUACGAACUAAACAAGGCCUAAGUUUUUAAAAAUAAACUUCACAUUUUUUUAGUAUUUGUUACUCAAAUUGUAUACAUACUAGUCCAUCAACCAGUUCUUUGUCCUGCAACUAAUUGAUUUAAAGUUCAUAAAUAAAUUUCUUACCCACAACUAAAAUUGCUUAUUUUUGUUCGUAUGUUCUCUAUAUUUUCUAAUAUAAUACAUAUAAAUAGAUAGUAUUUAGUCUCUAACUUUGUUGCCCUACAAGAUUGGACAAUUUUUUUUAUUUUGUGAGAAAUUCUAAGAUUUAUAUUUUUAGUGGGCCUCGGAUGAUUAAAAUAAAUUCCUUCAAUUAGUUAUAGUGGUAGAGAUAGGUAACUAAAAGGCCAGUUUAAGAGAGGUUACUUUGAUUAUUUACAUGAUUUACCUGCUCCCCAUCAGUCCUUUGUCUGUAGCGUGGAGUGCAUCUUACCCUGCAACCUAACUAAAGUAAACUAGUAACUACACAGUUGACAGUACUCCUACCACUAAACAAGCAGUAUAACCCUCCACGAGUUGAGGCAGACAGUUCAUGUCUCAGAGUGUCAGUUUGUCACCAUUUCUGAGCAGGUGAAAUCUGUCCAAGGAUCGAUCCAAAGUGACGAUGUGCACUGUAAUAACCGUUUAAAAGUUUUAUUUCGUACUGGUUGCUGAUCUUUAGUACUAGCGAAGUAGCGAUCUUCUCCACCCUUUGCUAUUGGACUCAUGGUGAUUUAUAUUAUUAGUGCCUACGAUUUAAGUACUUGUACUGUUAACCUUCUCUUAAUCUGACAUAGGUUAGUGCAUAUAUUGUACCUUUUGAAACUUUGGGAUUCUUAUGUUCUGUACUGGCAUUUCUUAGACUAGCUAGUAGCCUCAACCGCUGAGAAGACCUAUACAUAUGAAGCUACUUAAAUCUUAAUUACUAACACCUUGUACUGUUGUUUAAAAAACAGUAUGUUAUAUGAAUACACACAAACUGGUUUCUGUUUUUUUUUUAAACUCAACCAGGGAGCGAGGUACUAGCUGCUUAUUAGUUCAUUCUUCCAUUCUGAGUGGCGAAUAAUCUUCCACUUACAAUGGCCGUACAUGGGAUCAGGAAAGUAAGCAUCUACACCCUCCAUUCAUUUUUAGGAGGUGUAUUAGGAUUUUUUUAAAAAUGUUUUUAGUGGUAUAUUUUGAUUAUCAAUUUCUCCUUCAGCAUGUCACCAAUCGCUUCAAAAUCAAUGCGAUAUGAAGAAAUAUUUGAAAGAUGAAUACAUCCAUAUAACCUUUUAGUUUUAGACACUAAGCAUGCAUACAAUUUGAAUGGUUGUUGGUCAAAAUCUGUAAAGUUUCCCUACCAGGGGCCUGUUUAGUUUCUCUUGCUAAUUUUUAGCCAGCUAAAACUAUUUUUGUUACUCUUGGGUGACUAGGGGACUAAACUAUUUUAGCUCCUUUUUAGUCAGUAUGUUUGGAAAUUUAGCUAUUAAAGUGACUAAAGUUUAGCUCGCUAAAAUUCAGCAAGAGAAACCAAACAGACCCUAAUUCAAACAAAGUGAAAUAUUUUAUUGAAUAAGGCCAGUCUCAAUGCAUAGUUUCAUGACACAGUUACCAAGACUAUAAACUAGGUAAUCGAGCCAUAGGAGUUUCAUGGGGAUGAAACUCCUCUCUCAUCUGAUGAAACUUCUUCAUUUAGGCUAGUCUCAGUGGCAUGUUUCAAUGCACUAUUUCCAAAAAAAUCUGCUGACAGGGCAUCCAUGAAAUGAAUAAUGAAACAACCUCCACAAUGCAUGAGUUUCACCUUGACGUUUCCUAGGCUGGGCAAAGCAUUUAACUACUACAAAAUGAUCGGAUCACAUACAAAAUGGUGAAACGAUUUAGCCCUCAGUGGGGAUUUUAUCCCGUUUCACCCCGUGGGAAACAACGCCCGCGGAGUUUCACUAUAGUGAAACUACUUUCUUCUCUCUCCUCUUCGUUUCAUGCAAAAAGUGCAGUUUUGCUGACAUGACGCUCUAAUAAAUGUGCAUGACAUUCUGGUGAAACCGCCACUGAGACUGGCCUUAAUGACCCUGUCAAGUCAGCAAUUUUAGUUAUGUGGCACCCUAUUUAAUGUGUAUGACACUCUUAUGAAAUAUGCAUUGAGACUGACCUAAGAAGAAGAGAUAACAAUAAGUUAGUUUUUAUUGUAGAGCAAAGCUCACACACUCUCCAAUGAUUGAUGAGUUUAUGCUUAGACGACGUUUUUUUUUCUAUAUUAGUAUGUUGGUUACUCUAUUUAUUUUUCAAAAAAUCAUUUAAACUAGCAAGUUAGUUUUAUUAUCGAGGAUGCAGGAUGCCCUAGUUAUGGCUGCUGCAGUUUGGUAAGCCAAUGGCGACCGGUCCAGCUUUGAGCACUGAAACUCAUAGCGAUCGCAUCAUAGGCUGAUCAGCUGAUGUACAGUACAGUAUGCUAUACAGUAGUAUUCCCUCCAUAUAGAAAAAGGAAGACGUUUAGAACAUGAAUAUGAUUAUCAAGGUGUAGGGUUAGUUUUCUUGUCAAUAAACAAAACUGAGGGUGGCACCUAUACAACAAUCCAUUGUAGAUUGGCUGGCAAAGGCUCCAUGGCCUAAUGCUAGAGCUAUGCGUUUCAAAUCCUAGCAAUUGCAGUAUUUUUCGACACAAGUUUUGCAUGGCAUUAUGCGGGCGUGUUUGGCCAAGUAGUAUGCUAUAAGCAGUCACACGGCCUUCUAUGUCUUGUGGGGUAUCGCGCACGGCCUUCUAUGUCAUUCUAGUGGUCCAAUUCAAAAUUUUAGGAGUCCCAUUACUAUGUUGGUCCAACAUAAUAUACCGUUAAUUACUCCUUCCACGAAUAAAAUGUAAUUGUAGUUUAUAUAAUUUUUUCUUAAAUUUCUUUAUAUUUUACAAUAUAUUAUAUGAUCAAUUAAGUGAUAUUUAUUUGGCAUCAUUGAUAUUAGUAUUUUUUGUAUGAAUUCAAUCAAAUUUUAAAUCGUUUGAAUCCUUAAAAAUUGAGAAUUGUAUUUCUUUUUUGAAUGAAGGUUAGAGCAUCUCCACUGGACCUCUAAUAUCUUACCCCCAUUUAGGCCAUUAAAAUGGUAUUAGGUCCCCAAUAUUAUGUCUAGAAUUUUUGAGCAAAAUGAUUUGUAGUCCUUGCCCGUAGUGAGAGGAGCUUCAUUUCCUUGGACACGAUUAGCUCAUACUUUUGAGUUAUGGAUUUAGAAACUGUUGUAAUUGCUUGUCUUUUCCUUCUAUUUUUUCUUUUCUUCUUUGUUUCCUAAACAUGUUCUCUUUCUUGUUACUAUGUUACUUUGCCUUUAAUAUAAUUUUUCUGUAGGGGCUCUCCGCCUCUCCGGUUCUUUCAGAAAAAUAGUUCGUCUCUAUUAUUCUUUCUUACAUAUGGACCCUACCAGUAAGUAGGUUGUUUACACCAGAUUUUGGGAAAAAGAUUGUGGAAAUCCAGAAUUUGAAAAGGUACCGUGAAAACCAUGGUGAUGACGGCAUCGGCUUAAGCCUAACAGAGACAAACUCUGUCAGAAAGGGAAUUCAGAGUCCAAUUUAUGUAAAUUAGAUUAUUUUUUAUUUAAGAAUAGUCUAAUCAUGUUUGUUUAGGACUCUUAUCGGCCUAGGGUAUAAAUAUAAACCUUAGUUAUUGUAUCAACAUCUCUCAAUCAAUAUAACAUCUUUUUCGGCUUCACACCAUUGCACUAGGAGUAGGAGUAACGUAGAUCUCAACGAGUUCUUUGGUGGACAAAUCUACAUCGGUUUUGAUCUCUAGUUUGCUUAUAAGUACCAUGUGGCAGAACCUGCUAAGUAAUUGGGCUCACCAACACCCGUCAUUAUCCCAAAGACUCUUGAUGGCUAUGUCAGGGAACCAAAUACCCCAGAAGACUAUUGGGUGAAUCCACCGCUAUCAUUGGCUUGUCGGAAGUCCUAACCACAUCUAAUGGUUAAUUAAUAGCAAACUGCUUCUUCUCACCAUUAAAAGAUAGCAAGUGGCCACAUUAACACCAGGAUCAUUCAUCAUAGAGACAUUGCAGUAUCAUAGACAUUAUACAAAGAUAAUAUUUCAGAGUAAAAGUGGGGAAGCAUUACAUAACUUAAUUUACAAACCUUUUGUUUCAAAAUAACAAACUUAAGUAGCCAACUUAAGUAGAGCACUGUUACAAACCAUAGGUUGUGGAGUAGCAUUAGUAAUAAUGUACAAAACCACCAAAUCUCGGACCUAGCCCACGGGUCACAGCUACUACUCGUCGUCGUUAACCUUGAUGAUGGUCAUACAACAAGGUCCAAAACAGACCGGCUCCUAGGUCUCACCUGCAACACGGGUCAAAGAACCCUGAGUACUAGGGUACUCAACAAGACUUACCCAACGAAAAAGAGGAGAAACUCAGGAAUGCAGGUUUAGGAUGUACAAGGAGAGGUUUAGCAAGAGUCAACUUUUCUUUUGUAUAACAACUUACUAGUAGUGGAUCCUUACUUUAAAGGUUUUAGAUCCAAUUAAGUUGCUACUUCACAUAGACGAGUUCGAGGACACUCUGCAGACGUCACUCUGUACAGACGAAUCUGAGAACCCUUAUCACCUACCAGAAGUGCUAUAAACACAUCCGAUGGUCAUAUUUUCAUGUCACUACUGUCUAGGAGAUUUUGAUCCACACUUAGUGUGACAUAUCCUCCUUAUCAUUUCUUAAUUUAGUUCUUUCCGUUAGCUAUGAUGAGGGUCAAAGGAUUGAGUCUCCAUAAUCGAGGAGCAACGACGAUUCGAACCUCCUUACCACACGACAUAUGUAGAACUAAAUCUUGCAAAUGUCAACCCACAUCCUGGAUCCUCCAAGACAAGAAUAGGUCCACGCCACCCGAGAGCACACUACUCCAUCAUCCAACCCAUUGCUAGGAGGGUACACGCUACUCUUGCCAUCUCUCCACUCUUAGUGCGCGAGUAGCCAUUCUUAUGAUAGAAUAGCCAAGAUGGGGCUUACCAGAGCAUAUGGCUAGUACUAUAAAGUCUCAAUCACAACAAGCCGAUAACGAACAAUCCUUAACCGACAUAGCCAGAGACACUACUUUGGGACUUCUUUCCCAAUGCAAGUGUACUGACCGAUCUCAAGUUGAAACAUCUUUAACCAUCAAAGUUAUUCCACAAUAAUCCUUCAAACUUUACAUUUGAAAACCUACCCACUAAGCAGGACUAAGCAUCACUACGCAAUUUAAAUAAAACAAGUCUCAAGGAUAGUAUAACAAGUAACAAGGUUGGUAAUGCAACAAGUAGGUAAACACUCAACUCCUAAACAUGUAAUGCAGCAUUUUAAAUUCACCAGUGAUAAAAUAUUUAAAAUAUUCAAGGAAAGGUUAAUGCGUCCAGGGUUUGCCUUGGUUGUCGAGGUAAGCAGAUUCCUCGGGGCUUCACUAGGGUCACCCUCGACUUCGACUUAUGAGUUACUUCCUUGGGGUUCUCUUCACUAGUCACCCCCUCGUUGACGUGCACUAUACGUGAAAAGGAUGCAUUUUCAUGAUGAAACAUGAGAAGGGUUUAGUUGAGUAUAACUUUUCUUCCCGGUACAAUUCCAAACUACUAAAGUAAACCUAGUACACCCUUAUGGUCUUUCUUAAACUAGGGUUAUCAUUAAUUAAUUAAAUAGUUUGAUUUUUCUUAUUAUAAUUAAUUCUUAAUUAAGAAUAAAAGAACAAAGAUUAAGCUCAAACAAUAAGGAAAGUGCCAAAGAUCAUUAGGUUUAAUGAACGUAGGUCAUCACUAAAUCUCCAAGUCACAUGAACCCUAACUUUGAAUUUAGACUAAUAAUUAAAUGAUUAUUUAUUAAUUAAUAAUUAAAAUUAAGGAUCUAAUUAAAUUUUAUCCAAAUACCGCCAAAAAUUUUGUGAAGAAAGGUAAUAGCAUAUGGUGACUCCCCAACAAUUUUUGGGAUUUUUGAACAACUGAAUUAAUUCAUAAAAAUCAAGGGAACUUCAUUUAAUAAUUAAAAUGCACAUUUUUAAAUCCUUCAAAACGUACUCCAAAAUGACAACUCAUAUUUUUUCUAUAUGCUACUCAGUACUAGGAGCAUAACCAAAAAAUUGCAUAAUUUUUGGACUUGCCAUCAUUUUGUUAUAAAUUUUCAAACAAAAUUCAUUUUGAAUUAAUUUGGCAAAAGAGCAAAACAACACGAGGUGCUAUUCGGCCUGCUUCCUCGGCCCAUUCCCUCUAUUUUAGCCCAGCAUCACGCACGCUCGCAAGCUCUUCUCCGCUUCUCCCCUUCCCUGCUCUGGCCGGCCUCAGCACGCAUGGCCGGUGGCAAGGCCGUGCUUUGGCAAGGGGAAAGCUCCCCCAGGGAGUUUGCCCGCGUCACAACAUACUCUGUUACCUCCAUAACUCAAUCCUGACGAACACUAACAAAAGGGAAGCUCCACGGGAGCUCAACACUGGCCAUGACGACUCCACGAGCAGAGCUAACCGACGACCAUGUUUCUACCCCUCUAGCGCGAUAGAAUGUGGUCCAAGGACUCGAGGAACUAUAAGAGGUUAAGGCGAACAUGAUGCUCACCCUAGAAGAGUCAGGGUAAGUAUACGGAGCUUCUACAACAGUAGAGCGUGGCCCGACGAUGCGCUCAGAGUUUCACGGCGACUUCUCGGGUACCUGGCCACGCACAAAGGGAAAGAUCAAACCAAUGAGUUUUAGCAGGCUAUGGAGGAGUUAGAACACAUGGUGAUAGGGUGAGAGACCUCCGGAGAUAGCUUGGCCGCAGAAGAGAGUAUGGCGGAAUCCCGCCAGAGUUGAGGAAGAUAGUGGCGCGGGAGCUAGAGAGUGAACGGAGGCACGUGAGCGGGUGCUGGAGGUGCGCAAGAACAUGGCGAUGUUGGCUAUGUGACCAUAGGAGCAAAGGCUGGUGGCUGAGGAGAGGAGAAUCGGCGGUGAGCUCAAAGAGAGAAAGCGAGUCACAGCGGCGUUGUGCUCGUGGAUGACGAUGGUCGAGCUAAAGAAGGUGAUGACCAAGCUGCCAAGCAGCUGUGUCGACCACGGUGGCGAAGGCAGACAGAAGUUGGCCAGCGGCCAUUGGCUGAGCUCCUGUAGCACAUCCCUAUCCGCUUUCCGUUUUUUUCAAAAUUAAACCAAAAUUUAGAAUACAACUUGAAAUUUGACCAAAAUAUGGUUUGUUCAAAAUUAAAAGCUCUACAAAUCAUCUUUAAGGAACCAUAGCUGAUUUGCAAUGGAAAAGGGUGAAUUUGAAUGAAACAGCAUGGGGAUUCAAAUUCCAAUUUGGGGGAAAACUCAAUUUGAAUUGGGACUCUUCUGAAUUUCCAAAAUUAUUUUCAAUUUUGCUCAACAACUUGAAAAAUUCCAAAAAUAAAAGUUGUUCAUUUUGAAAAGUUAUACAACUUUACUUUUUACCAUAUUUCAAAAUUCCAAACAGAUUUUGUAAUGCAAGUUUAAAAUCAAAGGGGGGUAAUUUUUGGAAAUCUGUAUUUUCAAAAUUACUUUGAAUUUUACAUUGAAACUUUAAAACCUCAAAACACCAAAGUUGUACAUCUCAACUAGAUCUACAUCUUAGCUUUUCGGCUCAACCCUAAAUUUAGCUUAGAUUUUGAAUUGCACAAAAAAAGGGGUAAUUCUAGGGUUUAAAUUAGGGUUUUACUCAUCAUGUGAAUACUUAAUUUUCAUCCUACCUUAAUUAGGGAUCACUUAACCAUCACAGGUAUCAUUCCAAAAGUUAAAACACACACUAACCACUUAAGCACAACAAACUAAAAUAAUAAACUUAUUUUAGUUGAUGCAUCUUAGUGUACUAAACAUGCAUACUUUGCACUGCAUAUGAUGACAUGGCAGGUUUUAGUAUCCAUAACAUCAAAGAUGUUACAUGCCGUCAUUAUCGAUUUAUAUCUGAUCUUGUAAGGCCGCAUCAUUUGAUCUCUUGCUAGAUUUGUAAGUGUCGUCAUUACUGAUUCUAUUGGGUUUAGUAAUGCAGCAUCUUAUAAUCUCUUGCAAGAUUUAGUAGAAUGACCAGUUAAACUAAGAUUAAGGCACAUCGAUUUAAAUUGUAUGAAUCUAUCGUCUUGCUGUUCAUCUCGUUUAUUUUGUUUCUGAUGUCAGAUUGGCUUAUCGGCUGAUUAUAUCUUAAUCCUAGUCUAACAUAGUGUGUUUUCAAUUCUUUGUUUAACUAUAAAUAGAUCUAUCGGCCUGCAACCUUUAAUUUAUCGCCCCUGCUGCUAACGAUGUCUCAGUUUGAUCCAAUUAGUGGUGACGGUAGAUUUGAUCCAAUUAGUGGUGACGGUAGAUUUGAUCCAACUAGUCAUCUAUUACUUAGUUAAUAUCUUUAUAUGAAUAUGCAUUGCCGUCAUUGGUUCACUAGCCAAGGUAUUUGCUCAACUUGCUCUAUUUUAUCAUAUCAUUGCAUUUCGGCUUCAUAGCUACGUCAUUCCCCCGCGGCUCGCGUUUUUCUUGCUUCGGCUUUCUAGCCAAUGACCCAUAGAACUAUUCGAAUCAUCAGCCGACAUGUUUCACCUUAAAUUACUGAUUAUCUUUUCCCUUAUCAGUUAUAGGUCAAACUAAUUGACACACCUUAGAUCCCAAAAUCCACAUACACUGAAGCCAACCAGAUCUUCCAAGCUUGUUGUGUGUCUUGUGUGGUGACCAAAUUUUUGCGUGGACACAGUUAGUCUAUUUUUGUGCGCUUCAUCGUCAUCAAGCAUAUUAUAGUCUCGCCUCCCUUCCCCUAGUAGCUGCACCUCUCAGCUCUGUCAUCAAUUCCAGGUGGCACACCUACAAGUGAAGAGCACAAUCUUGGCCAAUAACAGAGGCCACUGUCGUCAGCCAUAGAUUCCAGCGGCAACCAACACCUUUUGUCCAAGCACAUUAUACUUAAUAAAUGUAUCUGAAGAGGCCUGUUUAGAACUUUUUAAAAGCGGAUUAUCAGGUGCUAGAUCGCGAUAAUCGCACCAAAGUCAUUGCAGCCGCUGCGAUUUUCUUUCACCGCCUCAGUCCACGUCCGCAGCUCUCCCACCGCUGAUGGCGUACCGCACCGCAUGGUGGGCAUAAGGCGAACCAAAUGGGGUCAAACAAUCGUUAGGGUUGUUCGGUUGUUCCUAUUAAAUCAUCUUGAAAUUAUAUGGAACAACACCAUUGAUUGGAAAAUGAAACAAAAAACGUUACACAACACCUUCGAAAAAAAACUUUACACAUCAAAUGUACAACUGCCUUACACAUUACUCAAAAAGAAUUCCUCAUCCUUCUUUCAAAAAACGCCUCAAAAAGAAUUGCCAAGUAAUUUUUUUUGUGAGGACUAAUGAACAUUGAGUCUAUGUCUAUCCCUCACCUACUCUCUCUUUCAAUAAACGUCUGCCAUCAAAAAAAUACUUGCAUAUUUCCAAUAGCACAUCCCUCCAAAAUACAAAUUUCUACUCCCUCCAUCCAAAUUGUAAGUUAUUUCAAGAAUCUUGGAAAAUCAAAAGAUCUCAAGUUUGACCAAGUUUAUAUAAUAAAAUAAUAAUAUUUAUGUUAUCAACUAAGUAUCAUUAGAUAAUUCAUUAAUUAUAUUUUUAUAGUAUACCUAUUUGAUGUUAUAAAUAUUUAUAAUUUUUUCUAUAAUUUUAGUCAAAUUUAAGAUAUUUUAACUUUUUAAGAUUUUUAUAAUGACUAAUAUUUUGGAAUGGAGGGAGUACUAAUCAUGUAGGAUUUCAAGUAUGUAGGAUUUCAAAUGAUAAGGCACUCCGAUCCGAUUAUGUACUCCACUACUACAGUCUAGCUGUUGUAGUAAUUAAUCUGUGUUCCAAAGAAGAUGCACUACUAGGCGAGUCUAGCUGUUCUAGUAAUUAAUCUUAAUGAUGUUCAAAUUUGAAGCAGAAGUAGAAUCUCAAGGACAGCAAACGAACAGAACAGGUUUCAAAAGAGUUGCGGAAUGAAUUCGAUUCACUGCCCUACUUUUCCUGUGCGGCGUACUCGUAGUACGUACGUACGGUCAGUGUCUUGUUUCUCAAGAACAGUAGAGCAACAAAAAGACACCACAACACCCCAUUAACGGCCACAUGCUGUGGUACUGUGAGUGAGGGCUUGUUUAGAUCCAAAAACUUUUUGGAUUUUGACACUGUAGCACUUUCGUUUUUAUUUGACAAACAUUGUCCAAUUAUAGAGUAACUAGGCUUAAAAGAUUCGUCUCGCGAUUUACAGACAAACUGUGUAAUUAGUUUUUAUUUUUAUCUAUAUUUAAUGCUUCAUGCAUGUGCCAUAAGAUUCGAUGUGAUGGAGAAUUUCGUAAAGUUUUGAGUUUUUGGGUGUAUCUAAACAAGGUUGAGGCAGCUGAGCAUUUGCAGUUUGCAGUGCGGUGGAAUCGUCCGCAGCAGCAUUAUCCAUGGAUCCUCACUUGUCAGCAGCAGCAUCAUAGCUCCCCAAUUAAUUCCCGGAGUAAAGGAGGGACGAGAGCACGAACGAGGGCCGUGCGAAUCGCAAAUCACUGCAUCCGGACCAAGAGGAAUCAUCCAAACAAAAGACGAGAACAUGUAGAGACAUCUAUCUGAGCGCAGCGGCGUAGUACCCCCUCCAUUCGGCCAUGCAUUCAUCAUCAUCUGCAUUCUGCAGGCAAGGCCAAUUUUCACAGCACAUGGAGAUAGAACAACCACUGUGAGAGUCAGUGAGUGUGAGCUUCCUGAAAACGCAAAAUGAUUCAAACAAGCACAUGCUACAUACAUGUCUUCUGUGCUCUGGCUGCCAAUGUUCUAUGCCUGUGCCCUACACACAUUUAUUUGACUCAUCAGAUCAGGGUUAAGGGACUCAGCUCAGGACCAUGUGUAAGCUCAAAUACUGUGCAAGCUACGGUACAGUACUCAUUCAUCUUCAGCUGACGCUCUCGGAUGGUAUCACUAUCACUGUGCCAUCACCACAGUGUGGUACAGUACUAUGAAAAUUGAGAGCUCAGCUAUUGCUCAAUGCCAGUGAGCAAAAAGAUAUAUAUACUCCUCUACGUCUGCAAUUCAGAAAUUUAAAACAAAUGAAGCUGUCCCCAGUCCCCACAGUGUGGCUCUUGAGUGGCAGGAGGUGGGUUAAUCAGCAGUAGAGUGUUAAAUCACUGAUUAAAGAAUCAGCUGUAGGAAAUGUCCAACCAGUGAAAACCCCCAGCAGUGCCGGGACUUGAAAAUACUAUGCCUUACGAAAUAUGUUAAAUCACUAUGCAAACUUGAAUGAAACAUUCACAAACAGUUCCACCAUCUCUCCUGAUGAAUACUGUAGUUUUGCUGCUGAUGCACAUACAGCUGCCGAUUGUCUCCUGAUGCACAUACAAUUCCCUGCUUGUGCACAGCACAAGGCAUACCAAGGACUACAACAACAGUAUAUAGACUUUGCAACAACCAAUACCACCAGUUGGUGAAAAAAGAAAUCCUGGACGAACGAAAUAGUGCCUCUGGGGCCUGCAAACAAACGUUCGUCAGCCUCUGAAAGCUGAAUGCCCCAGUUCUCUUCGUUAUUCUUCGCAGUUCCCAACAUGGAAAUCACUGCCAUGCAUAGGCUCAGCCCCUCUCAAGUCUGAUCGAUGCCUGCUGCUGCAUCAAAUCAAAUGAAAUCGUAUAACUACUCCUCCUACCAUGCAGUGCACUGGCUGCCAACUUCAUUCCAAGUAGGAAGUCUGCAUUUUUCUCUGGAUAGGUAUAAGAGAGAGACCGGCCUGUGUCCUGGUUCUAAGGGACACGUAUAUUUAAGUUGCUGAGAUGGAUAGGUAAGAGAUGGUACUACAGUCAUGGGGGACAGCAGGAAUUGAAAGCUUAAGGAGUAUCAUUACUGAUGAAGCCUGAAAGGACUACAGAGCCUUCAUUGGCAUGCAUGACAUAAUUGUGUUCUCAGAAUUCUGCUAUCAUCAUGUCAUGCAUGGCAACAAUGGCAAAGGUAAAUAAGUGAAUAAUAGUAAUUCAAGUCAUGGUUAUGUAGUCAGGUCACUUGUGAAGAUUAAUCCGGACCAAGAGCAUCAGGGUGCUUAGAAACCAUUGAAUUUUAAACAAGGACCAUCCAAUGGGACCAAGCCUGAUGCGCCUGCUAAGAUCACUUGACACUUGACAGAAUGGAUUCUUGCAGGAGUGCCUUCGCCGAAGGAAUUAAAACCCUGCUCACUGAACUCGUGGAAUGGAUGCAGAGAAUUUCCGGCUGCAGUAGGUUUGUUUUUCCCUAGGCACUACAGUUUAUUAACAUGCUCAAAUACUCCUCUUGAAAUCUAGAAAUAAAAUUACAUGACGAAUGCUCGAGAAUAUGACAUGAUGUUAGUGCAGAAAGGAUUGAAGAUCUGCAAAAGGAAUCAUCCCUGCAUUUGGAACUUCCAGUACCUACCAGGAUACAAGACAAGAUGAAGUUGACAGCAGUAGAUUAUUUCUAAUGAGUUUUUCUUUCAAGGUCUUCGAUGUAACCUGUAACUUGUCAGCGAAGUCCGAUUAUCGGUGUCAGAAAACUCAUUGAAGGGCAUUUCCUUUUUUUUUUUGAGAGAGAGGAACUGAAGGUCAUUUUCAUGUGCCAAGUGUAUGACCAGGUGAUAAUAAUAAGCCCAAAAAAGCAAACAAAAAGAAUAAGGAAUAGGUCUAAUUUUCUACCUUGCCCAUUAUAAUUCAGCCUGCUUAAACGUACCCAGUAAGGCCCAACAACAAUAUUAUCAUGCCCCUAUGCAGCGUCCAUAUUUCAGUGGGCCUGCAAACACUGAACUAGCUUCCAUGAGAAAUAUAGCCCAGCACGAGCAAAUUUAUUUUAUUUUGUUUUUCUUUACUAAGACCUUGUUUAGUUCCAAUUUUUUUUACAAAAUAAACACCGUAGUAUUUUCGUAUGUAUUUAAUAAAUAUUGUUUAAAUAUAAACGUCUCGCAAAAUUAUAGGCAAACUGUGCAAUUAAUUAAUUUUUUUUUAUAUUUAAUAUUUUAUAUAUGUAUCGCAAGAUUCGAUGCGACGAGAAAUCUGCAAAAUUUUGUAAAGUUUUUGGAACUAAAAAGAGUCAAACAGCUGAGAGCCUGAGACACUGCCUAUGCCAACACAAGAGCCGCUUCGACGCGACCCUGAGCGUUUCCUGACAGCGUCGACGCCAGCCAUGGCGGCGCCACAGUCCUCCACCGGUUCGCUGGUUCCGCCACUCCGCCGCCGCCCGCGCCGCCUCGUCUUCGACCGCCGCUACGGCUGGAUGUAAGAGACACCCGACCCCCAGCCAGCUCCCCCAUCUCUGUCUCGCUCGGUCGGCGCCGAGACCCUGUUUCCGUGUGCUCUGACGCUCCUUCCCUCCCGCAGCUUCGACGAGUGGACGGACCCCGCCGACCAAGCCCUCUCCGGCGGCCGCGGAAUGUUAGUGCUUCCACUCCCGCGUUCCGUGGAUGCUGCUGGGUUUCCUCAGAAUUCCUUCUUUUCCCCAAUUUUACCAGCCUCAGCUCUCGUUCAUACCUGCCUUGUCGCUUCUCAGGUUCUGUGCGGUGACGAUGGCGCGCUCGCUGGUGGACGCUGCGGCGUCCUCGGUAAUCUCAUCUCCUUGCUGGCAAGUUAGGAUAUGUGCUGAAUUUUGUCAUCUUCGCUGGAUUAAAUUAGAUUGUUGGGAAAGGGGGCGUGCGUGCUAGGAUGCAUUGGAGAAAUCUAGGCCUUGUUUAGUUCACCCCCAAAAUUCCAAAAAAAAAAUUAAGAUUCUCCGUCACAUCAAAUCUUUAAAUGCGUGCAUGAAGUAUUAAAUAUAGAUAAAAAAUAACUAAUUACACAGUUUGCCUAUAAUUUGUGAGACAAAUUUUUUGAACCUAGUUAGUCUACGAUUAGACAAUAAUUAUCAAAUACAAACGCAAGAGUCAAACCCAAAAUUUUUCACCAACUAAACAAGGCCCUAGGCGAUAAUAGAGUGGCAUGCUAGCAUCACUUUGUUCUUUUUACGGAUUUGCAGUGACAAUACAAGUUCUGGAUUCUGAGUUCUGAAUUCUACAAUGGACUUAUCAUUAUUCCCCAGGUUCACUAUGCUUUCACAGCAUUAGUUUAUGGUCGCAUCUUUAACGUUUGGGGUUUAUGACAAGUACAAGCUGGGCAACAUUAUCGGCACGUGAUUAAAUUCCGGGAAUUUGUUUGUUGGGUGGAGAUUUCUUUUCUAGAUUGCAAAAAUAUGAUGAGGCAACCAAUUUGAGGUCUAAUAUGAGAUAUAUGUUUUUUUUCUGAAAGUUAUCCAUUAGAGAAUUUUUCUUCAUGUGAUUGGCAUUUAUCUUUUCCUAACAUUACUAAUCUCGCAAGGCUUCUGUGUCAUCCAGGAAACUCGGAAUCACUAUGUAUUCAAUUUGGAUAACAUUCUGAAAAAUUUGAACAGUUCUAUUCUGAGAUCAUUGAUCUACUAUGAACCUUUACUUACCUUAGAUGAAUUAUUACUGUGGUGGAUUGUUAAUCUUUGAAAACUGCUAAAUGUGUAUUGGACUACAUGUACCACACUGUAACUUAAGUGCCCUAUUGAUUUCCUACGAAAUUUGAUACAUUGAUCUCCUAAGUAGAAGUACUAGGGAACAUUUUCUUUGAGGACUUAACUCUGGACUCUGUUCCUAUUCAACUGUUCAUGUUUUAGCAAUUUAUAUUUGGUGGGUGUUCAUGUGGUAGAUAUGAAGCCAUGCAUAUCCAUGAGUUUAUCUGAACUUACCAGUUGAACUGAAUAUGAUCCACUUUUAUGUCGACUGUUCAACUGUGCUUGUAGAUUAGUCAUGUCAGUCAAUAAUGCCUAUAGAUGAUGUUAUCCUUAUAGUUUUCCUUUAUUCCAAUUGAUGAUUAUAUCCACUCUAGUACUACACAUCUGUUAUUAUGGUUACUUGAAUACGCGAAGCAUGCAGGUUAUCUCCUAGUCAUAAAGAGAGAAAUGGAAAAACCUUUGAUUUGGCUAUUAAUAGAACAUCAUCCUGAUAUCUAACAGCUCGUUUGUUCCAUCACAGAUUAACUAUGCUGCCAGUUCGAUCAGCAGAGUUCUUGAACACCCCAAAAGACUGCCUCUACCAGCACAUAUAUCUACCCUAGCAUUCCGCAAGAAGCAGCAAGCCUGGUUUCGUGAACUUGAAUGCUCUGGAGUCGUAGCUGAUCUUAAGUUAGUACACUGUUGUACUCAUUCUGUACUGGAAUGUACAGCAACUGAUUGCCUCUGUUUAACAAAGAAGCAUGGUCAUCUGUAAGCAAUGCAUCAGAAAAUUAUAAGACACUUAUCCUUAGAAAAAGCUGAUUUGUUAUCUAUAUCUUGUUUCUACUCUAAUGCGGUAAAUGAUGACGCAGCUGUUUACUGGGGUGCUAGUCAUGAACUCAUGACAGUACUGAAUGACAAGCUGAAUCAAUGUAGCAAAUGAAAAGGAUAGUGCCCAACUAUGACUUUUAUAAUGUUCUUACACUUCGAAUAGAAUUUUAUUUUACCAAGGGAUUAGAGUCUUAAAAAGCUGCCACUUACAUUUUUUUUUGAAGCUAUAAUUUCUAGAAACCCCUUUUCAGAAUAAUGCCAUUAAAUUUAUCUUGUGAAAUACUUCCUCCGUUCACAAAUAAGUGCACAUCUCGUUUUCUGAGAAGUUAAACAUUUUUAAGUUGGCAACGUAUCUAGUGCAAACUCAUCUCCCGUGCAAACUAUGCAAACUCUAAUCUGGACCGCAGGAUGUUGAUCCAAGAGAGCGCAUAAGAGAGGUGGAAGGAGAGAUUUGUAAAAGUGUGAUUAAGAGCAGGCGGUUAAGUGCAAAAUUACCCAAUCUUUUCGCGCCCUUGGAUCAACAUCCUGUGGUCGAGAUGAGUUUGCACUAGAUCCGUUCCCUUUUAAGUUUGACUAAAUAUAUAUAAAAAUAUACUAAUAUUUAUCAUAUGUAAUAUAUAUUAUUAGAUUGAGCAUGAAAUAUAUAUUUAUUUGUAGAUACAAAUAUUGAUAUUAUUUAAUAUAUUUCUAGUCAAACUUUGAAAAGUUUGACUCCUCGGGAAGCGAAAUAUGCAUUUAUUUGUGGACGGAGGGAAUACUGUCAUAGAUAUAAAUAUAGAUGUUUGUCUGUGGAUAUAUAAUUCUCAGUGUAUUCACUUUGCAUAUUUUGAUUGAAAUAAAAAAAUCCAGCAUUUCGGGUGGUAAAAAUGAAACGAAGACCCUCGGCUCUUGGCAACUUGGCUUCUCAUCAUAAGUCUGAGCGGAAGAAUGGCAACAUCAAUUUUCAUCGUAAGUCUGACCGGAUAUGGACAAAAGUAAUUCUGCAAGAAUACAGCAAUGACAAUUUAUUUCAGAUACACAGUGGUAAAACAAAUUAGUUAUUAGUAGUGAUGCUCAUUAAGAUGUGUGAAAGAGCAUCUAGGCCCCUAGUGAUUUCGGUGAUUAAUGACAUUAUUGAUUACUAUGACUAACGUGUGUUUUGCAGAGACAAAGUCAUAGGUAAGGUCAUGGUAAAUAGGUACUCGAUGGACAGGAACGUACAUGCCAACUUAAUAGUGGAAAUCGUUUUCGGUUUUCAAAGGAUGGAUGGACAUCGUCAAGACUAGACUAGGUCUAAGUGCCAUAUGGUGAAGAAGGGCACUUAGAGUAGCUUAGGACUUUGUUUUCCUUUGACCGUACUAUUAAGAGGGGCUUUGAUCUAGUAGCUUGACUUAGGCAAGGCUUUAGGUUUAGGUGUGGUGCACACUUGGUAAAUCUAGCACUAGGCAGCUCAGAGAUAGUCCUUAAAUCGAGAGGAACCAACUUCAUUUUGGAGCUAUCGCGUUUCGACGAAGUUAGGGUGCCCAAAGGGGCACCGGACGCUGCACCGGACGCUCUGUGAGUGCGUCCGAUGAGGUCCUUAGCCGUUGGAACAGUGUGGUGCUUAGGGUUAGGCACCGGACGCUAGCACCGGACGCAUCGGGCAGCGUCCGGUCCCAUACCCAGGGAGGUUGCAAGCCUUCCUGGAGCACCGGACGCAUCGGGUAGCGUCCGGUCCCUUGCGCAGGAAGCUUGUAAAGUUCCCCGAGCACCGGACGGUGCACCGGAUGCUGGGAGUUAGCGUCCGGUGACCUGUCAGAGAGAAGUACAGGUAGCCGUUAUGAAGCACCGGACGCUCGGUGCAGUGCGUCCGGUGCAACAUAAUGUGCGUCCGGUGACCCCGUUUUCAGUGGAAAACGGUUGGCCGACCUUUGGACUUCGUGGAUAGUAUUUAUACUCCUCCACCUCGUCCAUGAGAGCUCUCUUGCCCAUUUGAACAUCAGAGAAACUUGUUGUGGAGCAAGAGAGUUGCAAGAGCCUAGAGAGGAUUGAAGUUUGAGUGAUUUCUUGAGAGAAUCCUUCUCUAGUGAGUUCCAAGAGUCAAGUGUGCAUCCACCACUCUCUAGAGCCUUGUUUGGAUCAAGUGAGAUUUCUUUGCUUGUUACUCUUGGUGAUCGCCAUCACCUAGACGGUUCGGUGGUGAUUGGAGGCACGAAGACCGCCCGGAGUUCUUGUGGGUGGCUAGUGUCAAGCUUGUGAGCGGUUUUGGGCGAUUCACCGCGACGGAGUGUCGAAGAAUCAGCCCGUAGAGAGCACUUGGUCCUUGCGCGGACCAAGGGGGAGCAAGACCCUUGCGCGGGUGCUCCAACAAGGACUAGUGGAGAGUGGCGACUCUCCGAUACCUCGGCAAAACAUCACCGAGCACUUUCUUCCACUACUCCUUUACUUUCUAGCAUUUACUUUGUGCUUUUACAUUCUUAGAAUUGCCAUGCUAGAAUAGGAUUGGAACUAGGUUGCAAAACUUUUAUCCGGUAGCUCUCUAAGUCACACUAGGCACAAGGGGUUGAAUUGGAGCUUAUAGGUUGCUUAAAUUUUUAGAGAAGCCCAAUUCACCCCCCCUCUUAGGCAUCUUGAUCCUUUCAAUUGGUAUCAGAGCCUAGUGCUCAUUAUUUAGGCUUCACCGCCUAGAGAAAGAUGUCUAACGGGGAUGGACCGCCACCCAUGUUCGAUGGGGAUGACUUCCCGUAUUGGAAAAUACGGAUGGAGUCAUACCUUGAGGCAUGCGAUGUAAAGUGCCUAAAAGCCGCGACCGAAGGGUUUGCCCCUCCGGAAAGAGCCACCGCUCUUACUCCACAAGAGCAAGAAAACGAGAAGUGGAAUGCGAAGGCCAAAAACCACAUCUUUAGAGGCCUUUGCAAGGAGGUGUUCAACCGCGUUCGGAGCCACAAAACCGCCAAUGCUCUUUGGAAGGAACUUUGUGCGCUCCAUGAGGGAUCAAAGAGUGAACGCGAGGAACGCUAUCACUUAGUGAUGAACAAGCUUAAUACAUUUGAAAUGCUUCCCAAAGAAAAUGCUAAUGAAAUGUAUUCUCACUUGAAUGUCAUUGUAGAGGAGCUAAAUGGACUUGGACUCACUCAAAUGAGUGCGGCGGAUGUAGCAAGGAAAAUACUAUGUGUGCUUCCCAUUGAAAAAUAUGGGCACAUAGUAACGGUGCUUCAUCAAGGAGAUCUUUCCACCGCUACACCAACCGCCAUAUUAGGAAAGAUCAAUGCUCAUGAGAUGUACAUGCACAUGAACCCCCAAGAUGGCUCCUCAUCGGCCAAGAAAGAGAAGAAGCACUUGGCUCUCAAGGCUUCUCACAAGGGCAAGGCUAAGAAGAAUGAAGUUGAGUCAUCAACUUCAAGUGAUGAUGAUGCAUCUAUUGCCCUCAUGGUGAGAAGAACCACAAAGAUGUUGAAGAAGCUCAACAAGAAUGGAGUCAACUUUGACUCCAAGAAGAAGAAGUUCUUCACAAGUAGCAAGAGGAAGCCCAUCUCCGAGAUGGAUUGCUACAAUUGUGGUGAGCUUGGUCAUCUUGCACAUCAAUGUCCAAAGCCCAAGAAGGACAAGUAUAAAAAGAAGAACAAAGAGCAAGAUGACUCAAGUGAUGAUGACAAGAAUGAGAAGAAGCAAUACAAGAAGAAAGGUGGCAAGAAGAAGGAGCACUACAAGAAGAAGAAUGGCAAGGCCUACAUUGUUGGUGAUUGGCUCACCGACAUUGAAAGCUCAAGUGGUGACUCCUCCGGCAAUGAAAGUGAUGAUGAGAAGGUUGCCGCCAUUGCCAUCGAUGCUCCAUCACCAUCAUCUUCACCACCAUCUACAUCCUCUACACACCUAUGUCUUAUGGCUAAGGGUGACCGGAAGGUACAAAGUGAGGAUGAGAGUAGUAAAAGUGAUAGUGAAUAUGAAUCACCUUCUUAUGAUGAACUUGUAAAAUUGCUAAACAAGUACACAAAAGUCAUAAGAAAAACUAGAAGUGAAAAUGAAAAGCUUGAACUUGAAAAUGACACUCUUCUAGCAAAGCUCAAAUCUAGUGAUGAGCUUAGAGACCAAAAUGAGAUCAUGACCACCAAGCUCAAGGAGCUCAAACUCUCUCUAAAAGAGCUCAAAGAAAAACAUGAUAAACUUGAGAGUGUUCAUGAUGAGCUUAUCACUAGAUAUAGAGCAAUGAAAGAAGAGCUAACAACUCUAAAAGCAAACUAUGACAACCUUGAGAUUGCUUAUGAACUUGCAAUUGAUGAAACACAUGUUGCUACUAACAAUGUUGCUAAGCUUGAUGUAGCCACAUCUUGUGAUGACUUACUUGUGGAGAGCACAAGCAAAUGUAUUGAUUGCAAGGGCAAGAAAGUGGUAGUGGCCGAGAGCUAUGAGGACACUAUCAAGCUCAAGGAUGAAAUUGUCAUGCUCAAGAAAGAGUUGCAAGAACAAGUCAAGCACAAGACCAUUGUGAUUGAGUCACUUGACCAAGAUAAGAAGCUUGCAUAUGAGAACAAGUUGCUCAAGGAAGAAAAUCAAUAUCUCAAGCUUGGUUUGAUGUAUGACAAGCAAGAAGAAGAUGAAACAUUCAUCUUGGAUGAGUUAGCUAGCAACAAUGACCCAAUCAUCAAGAAGCUAACUCAAGAGAACAACAAGCUCAAGAAAGAGAAGGAACAUUUAACCAUGGGGUUAGCAAAGUUCACCAAAGGGAAAGACCUUCAAAGUGAGCUUUUCAUGAACACCGUCAUGAAGAUGGACAAGAGUGGGAUUGGCUAUAAAGCUCAUCAAACAAAGCUCAUCAAGUCUCUAGCCACUCAUGAUCAACCAAGCAAGCCAAAGCCAAAGAGAUGCUUUGAGUGUGGUCAAGAAGGACACUUUGCUCAUGAGUGUAAGGCACCACUACCACCACCCUUGCCCAAGCAUGCAAGACCAUUUGCCUUCAAUGCUCAUUACAUUGUAAGAAAAGACAAGUGUGGCAAGGUCAAGGUUAGCUUCAUGGGGCCGCCCAACAAGCAAAGGCCAAAGAAGAUUUGGGUGCCAAAGCAACUAGUAGAGAAGGUCAAGGGCCCUAAGCAAAUGUGGGUCCCUAAAUCUCAAGCUUGAUCUCUUGUGUGUAGGUGAACUACAAGACCGAUGGAUCACAUUGGGUAAUUGAUAGUGGUUGCACUCAACAUAUGACCGGAGAUCCCCGGAUGUUCACCUCUCUCGAUGAAGAUGUUGACAACCAAGAGAAGAUCACAUUUGGUGACAAUUCAAAAGGCAAGGUCAAGGGAUUAGGAAAGGUUGCUAUAUCAAAUGACAACUCCAUCACCAAUGUGCUCUAUGUGCAAUCAUUGAGUUUCAACUUGCUCUCAGUUGGACAACUUUGUGAUCUUGGAUUUGAAUACCUAUUCAAGAAGAAGGAAGUAAUUGUGACCAAGGAAGAUGACAAUGAAGUGAUAUUCAAAGGCUUCUGGCACAACAACUUAUAUGUAGUUGAUUUCUCAUCCGAUGAAGUUGAUGUCAAGACUUGCUUAUUCACCAAGACUUCACUUGGGUGGUUGUGGCAUAGAAGGUUAGCACAUGUUGGAAUGGGCACACUCAAGAAGUUGAUGAAGAAAGAAUUGAUUAGAGGCUUGAAGGAUAUGACAUUUGAAAAAGACAAGCUUUGUAGUGCAUGUCAAGCGGGCAAACAAGUUGCAAAUACACAUCCAACCAAAGCCUAUCUCUCUACUUCAAGAGUGCUUGACCUACUUCACAUGGAUUUAUUUGGACCAACCACAUAUGCUAGUCUUGGAGGCAACAAAUAUUGCUUGGUCAUAGUUGAUGAUUUCUCCCGGUACACUUGGACAUUCUUCUUGCAAGAUAAAGCCGAAGUUGCAUCAAUAUUCAAGAAGUUUGCAAAGAUUGCCCAAAAUCAAUUUGAUGUGAAGAUCAAGAAAAUUAGAAGUGACAAUGGCAAAGAGUUUGACAACACCAACAUUGAAGAGUAUUGUGAUGAAGAUCAAGCAUGAGUUCUCCUCAACAUACACACCACAACAAAAUGGGGUUGUAGAAAGAAAGAACCGGACAUUGAUCACCUUGGUAAGAACAAUGCUAGAUGAGUACAACACUUCGGAGAAGAUGUGGGCCGAGGCAAUCAACACCGCAUGCUAUGCUUCAAACCGGCUCUUUCCUCACAAGUUCCUAGAGAAGACACCAUAUGAAUUGCUCAAUGGGAAGAAGCCCGAUGUCUCAUUCUUUAGAGUGUUUGGAUGCAAAUGCUACAUCUACAAGAAGCGCCAACACUUAGAAAAAUUCCAAAGAAGAUGUGACAUUGGCUAUUUGGUUGGCUAUUCAUCAAAGUCCAAGGCAUAUAGAGUCUUUAACCAUGCCACAAACAUGGUUGAAGAAACUUUUGAUGUUGAAUUUGAUGAAACUAAUGGCUCCCAAGGAGCAAGUGAUAAUCUUGAUGAUGUUGGUGGUGAACCAUUGAGGGAUGCGAUGAAGAACAUGCCCGUGGGAGACAUCAAGCCUAAAGAAGAUGAUGAUGAUGUACAAGUCAUUGAGCCACCAUCCACCUCACAAGGUCCACAAAAUGAAGACAAGGAUGUGAGAGAUGCUCAUGAAGACACACAAGUCACUCAUGAGCAAGCGGUGGCACAAGCACAAGAUGUUGAUGCUCCCCAACCAACCCCUCAAGUGGCACCAAGAAGAACAUCACAUCUCCUCCAAGAUCACUCUCAAUAUCUCAUCAUCGGGAGUCCAUCACAUGGUGUAACUACUCGUUCUAGACAUGCUUUAUUUAUUGAACAUCACGCUUUUGUGUCUCUUGAAGAUGAACCAAAAACUAUAGAGGAAGCUCUUCGUGAUGCGGAUUGGAUCAUGGCCAUGCAAGAGGAGUUGAACAACUUCUCGCGCAAUCAAGUAUGGACACUUGAAGAGCGACCAAAAGAUGCAAGAGUGAUUGGAACAAAGUGGGUCUUCCGGAACAAGAAGGAUGAUCAAGGCAAAGUGGUGCGCAACAAGGCAAGACUUGUGGCAAAAGGCUUUUCACAAGUGGAAGGUCUUGACUUCGGUGAAACCUUUGCACCGGUGGCAAGACUUGAAGCAAUCCGUAUCCUACUUGCAUAUGCAUCUAGUCAUGAUAUCAAGUUAUUUCAAAUGGAUGUGAAAAGGGCCUUUUUAAAUGAAUAUAUUAAUGAGCUUGUCUAUGUUGAGCAACCCCCCGGUUUUGAAGACCCUAGGUACCCCAAGCAUGUCUACCGGUUGUCCAAGGCUCUCUAUGGUCUCAAGCAAGCUCCUAAAGCUUGGUAUGAGAGGCUUAGGGACUUCCUCAUUGAGAAGGGCUUCAAGAUUGGGAAAGUUGACACAACACUCUUCACCAAGAAAAUGAAUGGGGAAAUCUUCAUUUGCCAAGUUUAUGUUGAUGAUAUUAUUUUUGGCUCUACUAAUGAAGAUUUUUGCAAGGAAUUUGGUGAUUUGAUGUCCAAGGAGUUUGAGAUGUCCAUGAUUGGCGAGCUAUCCUUCUUCCUAGGAUUUUAAGUUAAGCAAAUGAAGGAAGGGGUCUUCAUCUCUCAAGAGAAGUACACUCAAGAUCUUCUCAAGAGGUUCAAGAUGAUGGAUUGCAAGCCAAUCAAGACUCCCAUGGCAUCAAAUGGGCAUCUCGACUUGGAUGAGGGAGGUAACCCUAUUGACAAGACUCUCUAUCGCUCCAUGAUAGGAAGUCUACUCUACCUCACCGCAUCUAGGCCCGAUAUCAUGUUUAGUGUGUGUAUGUGUGCAAGAUAUCAAGCAAUGCCUAUGGAAUCUCACUUGAUUGCGGUCAAGAGAAUUCUUAGGUACCUAAAAUACACACCUUGCCUAGGCUUGUGGUAUCCCAAAGGUGCAAGAUUCCAACUUGUAGGCUAUUCCGAUUCGGAUUAUGCCGGGUGCCGAAUUGAUAGAAAAAGCACAUCCGGAGGGUGCCAUUUCCUAGGUAGAUCACUUGUCUCUUGGAUGUCAAAGAAACAAAAUAGUGUUGCUUUGUCAACGGCCGAGGCGGAAUACAUUGCCGCCGGUGCUUGUUGUGCACAAAUACUCUACAUGAAACAAACUUUGCUAGACUAUGAAGUAGUACUAGACAAAGUACCUUUGUUGUGUGACAACGAAAGUGCCGUAAAACUUGCAAAUAACCCGGUUCAACACACCAGCACAAAACAUAUUGACAUCCGCCACCACUUCCUUAGGGAUCACGUUGCUAAAGGUGACAUAUCUCUAGAGAAUGUGGGAACGGAAAAUCAAUUGGCGGAUAUCUUCACAAAACCCCUAGAUGAAGCUAGGUUUUGUAUGUUGAGAAAUGAACUUAAUGUGCUUGACCUAUCCAACUUCACUAAAAGAUAAAAGUUGUGUGUUGAAUCUUGUAAAUAACUUUUGCUUUGCAUAUCAUGCUUACUAAAACUAAAAAAUACAACUUGCAUGUAGGGCUUGUCUAACAUGGUUAAGAUAACCCCCUUGUGUGUGUGAAAAAGCUUAACCUUGGAUCAAACUUGACAAGCAUUAGUUUACUUUCAAGUAUUGCAUUACAACUCAUAUCAUAUGCAUGCUUGUUAGUUGACCGUUUCUUUUCGGUUAUUCGUUGAGCAUCCGCUGUGUUCGUCCAUAGAUAGGGGGAGCAUUCAAAGCUCAUUGUGAUUCAAACCCCUAGCUUUAUGGCCAUACGAUGCUCCUUGGUGUUUUUCUCGAAUUAUUUUCAUAAAAACUACUAAGCCUAUGGCUAAAUAUUUGUGAAAAUUUGAGGGUUUGAGAGAAGUCACUCAUACCAGUUCCAUUUAGUGUUUAUCUGUGUGUUAUUGAAGAUGGAACUUGGUUGGGUCAAAAUCGGACGAGGUGCUAAGUUGAAAAAGGGCUCAGAGGAGCACCGGACGAUGCACCGGACGAUGCCUCUGUGCGUCCGGUGCGGUGAGUGUGCCAGACUGCACUCACCGGACGCAGGAACAGUGUCCCUGCUGCGUCCGGUGCGGUGCGUCCGGUGCUCACCUAGCGUGACCUGAAGCACCGGACGCUAAAGCCAGCGUCCGGUGCCUAUCGUCCGGUGUGAUGCAGUUUUGCAUAUCUCUCUGCGCAUGAGUCCGGUGGUCACCGGACGCGUCCGGUGCCACAUUAAGAGCGUCCGGUGAUCCCGCGGCGGCCGCUUAAAGCCCGCGCCCAGGGGCAUCUCGCGGCGUUUUUCUCCCUCUUUCCUCCAUCGCCCGAGUGUUGACAGUCCUUAAUGCUCACAUUUAACCAUCAACUAAUCAUAGAAAAGGAUCCAAAUGCAACCAACACCUAGACUUAGGGUUUUAUCUGACAGAAUUCCACAAGUUUUGGUGUUUGUCUAUUUCUGCAGGGGGUUAUCAGGAAAUACGGAAGAAAGGCCCACACGUCGGGUUUACAUAGAGAUAUUAACGUGCCGCGUAAUUUUCUAUCAUCUAGAAGACUCCAGAAGCCACGGGACCGAAGCGGAAGCCGAGAGGCCUCAGGGACAGGGCGCCCGCCCUAGUCCUGAGGGCGCCCGCCCUCCCCCCUGGACCAAUCAGGGUGAAGUUCGGGGAUCGUGCUCCACCGACCUAAGGGACCAAGGAAAACCGUGUGAUUAAUGUCGGUUUGAUCCGACGGCCCAGAUUCAUCUGAAAAGACUAUAUAAGCAAGGCCCCCUGGCCCCUUGAGAGCAUACCUCUUCUACAGAAUCAAAGUUAGGGUUUCAAUUCUUCAUCCAAGUAGAGAGGAUCCCUCUAGUUCUUCUAGUUCUACCUCUAGUUCAUCUAGAUCUAGUUCUAGUUCAUCUAGUUCUAGUUCUAGUUCUUCUAGUUCUAGUUCUAGUUAGUUCUAGUUGUAAUCUAGAAAAUAGGGAGAGAGAAGAGGAGAGUGGAGGAGGAGCCGGAUCUGUCGGAUCUUCCUCAACAUUAUACUUUUGCAGCAUCUGGUUCGUUCUUCAUCGUUCUCCAGGUUCUUCAAUUCAUAAUCCUGAGUUCUUUAAUUACUUUUAUUUACAUUCAAGUUAUUUAUUGGAUUCCCGCUUGCAUCAAGUGCUCUAGUCUUUAUAACGCUAGAGUAGUAAUUAAUAGAUUAGACGUGGUGUUUAGUCUUGCGAUUACCUGGAAUUGCACCCAAUCCUACGGAUUGUUGUGGUAGCCCUAGGGUAGUGACAGCCCUAACGGUCGACGUAUUCCACCACGUUCGGAUCGGUGUUUGUAGGACCGUAGUUAGAACUUCCUAGCCCCCUUCUCAUCUCUUUCCGUGGUUAGUGCUCUGAUGUCCCGAUAUAGAUAAUCUUGAAGUAAUUCUUGAUUCUUAGAUCAACUAGAGAACUCUCAGGAAACUUCCUCUCUUCCCACCAAAAAUAAUGAUAUAGUUAUCCUUGGGCGAUCUUGGAUCUUAAUUAGUACACUCACGUUCCCUGUGGAAAAUCGAUACUCUGGAAUACUCCCGGGUGAAAGCUACAUCGGUAUCCGUGCGCUUGCGGAUUUUUCUGUUUGCGUUUAAAAUACCCAACAAGCUUUCUGGCGCCGUUGCCGGGGAACGGUAGCUGUGCUAGUUUCGAACCAAGUCGUCCGUGUAUCCUUUUUCUUUUCCUUUUUUACCACACUCACCUUACCGUUUUCAUCACACCACAUGGAUUUCACUCUAAGCAUUAAUGAGCAUGGAAUUUAUUUCAUAGCCACUUCACUUACUCCAUGCUCACAUGCAACAUCUUCACAAUCCAUUGGUCUCUCCAACAUCACCACAUUCGAGAUCUCCAACCCCCACUUCCUUUCUAUUUAUAAAAACUUUAAAAGGGCGGUUGUCGAUGCAUAUGUCUAUAAGAAAUAUUGCAGAUCUCGUUGAGUUGAUCUUGAUAUAGGUCAGCGUUGGAGGGGAAACCACUUCGCCAACAUUAAUUGAUGGUUUCCCAAGGACAAGCUUAGUGUCCUGAAACAAGCACUGAUCAGAUUGUAACAUGAGCUUUUAAUUAUUUACAACAUUACCUUGUGUAUUGAGCAUAUAAGGAUAAUUGUAAAAAAAUUCCUUCGGGUAUUCUUGUCACUAACCUUUCCAGGAUUGGAGCAAGAAGAUCGGAUGAAUGACAAGCACAAGGUAUGUACAACCAAUCAUCAUACAACAUUGAAUUAAAUUCAUCCAAACUUGAAUUUUGCAAAAUUCAAGCUUGGGGGAGUACUUUACAUAAAAUCAUCCUUUGCCAUGUUGCUAUGUUGGUUGUCCCUACCUUUGAGACAUGCUCAAUUUGUUAAAUACUAAUCACACUACUUCAUCUCCACUUGAGUAGAUCUCUAUAAAUGCUCUCAUGCUACCUUUAUUUGCUUUAGUAUAUGUCUAGGUUUGGAGUAGUUUCAUUUAUCUCUUACUUAAGCAUGGUGCUUAGUUUAGGGCUGAUGAUCUUACUUCCAAGGGAGUUUAAAUUAAGCAUGAAGCUUAGGUUAAAAUGCCCUCCUAAAUCAAAUUAGACAUGGUGUCUGGGUUGAUCUUUGAGCCAAUAGUAUGCUAUAGUAGAUACUGGAUAUUUUGUUGGACUAACCCUUGCAGGAAUACUUUCAAUAUCAACCUGGGAAGUCCUGAGAUAAACUCACAUUAGAGACAAAGAGAGACACACAUGAAGUUGAACAAUUUACACAAGGAAGGCAUAGCUCACAAGAGAUGAUCCAUGGAGGUGCCACAAACACAAUGCACAACCGCUAAGAAAGGAAAGCUUCCACAAGGUGAUACUGUACCAUCACUCUUCAAGUAAGGUAACAUCUUAAGGUACUUGACUAUCACUUCUAUAAGCUUCUCCUUGGUUCUGGCAUUCACAUGAAUAAAAGAGACAAACAUGUAAGAUUUACAACUCUAGAUUAACCAACCCAAUCGAUUCAAUAUGUUUAGUCCUUCCACCGUUGUGAUCCCACACUCCUAAUCUUAUGAACUAAAAUGUUGCACACUCAAUCUUUGGAAGAUAUAUUUUAUAAAAAAAAACAACAUAAAUAUAGAUAGAUUAUCUUUCCAUUAGGUUGAGCGAUUUGAUCUGACAAAUGUUUUAAAUGUUAUACUCAUGAUCUUAUUAUCCAUCAACUUUCUCUUGCUCACUAUGCUUAAGGUUAGAGAAGAACAAAUACACUUUUGGUUCUGUUGGUGUUUUCCACCAACAGGGCCCAUGCACUUGAUCUCUGCCUUGUCUCUAUGAGCAGGUACACUUCGAGCAAGAUAUGAGGGACUUUUACAACUCCCAGACUCCACCAAGUGAAGAACCCAGAUCUACGAGCCCAACACACUGGAAAUACUGGACACUCAGGCAAUCACUACCCUAGGAUGCUUGAGGACGUAACUACGAGAGUAACCCCAUUGUGGAAGUAAUUACUGACCUUCUGCUGGUUAAGAGAGGCGAUCCAGGACGCACCGUCAUCCCGAUCUCCAUCGGCAUGGUGGACUUCCCAGAAGCACUCUACAACUUUGGCUCCAGCGUUAACAUUAUGCCCAAGGGAAUAUUGAAGAACCUCUACGUCCGAGUUGGUACCUUGGAGGCCAUUCCUAAACACUUCGGGAGCUGUCAUCUACGCUAGUGCUGCCAAGAUCAGUUUCUACAUCAAAGGGAGAAAUGAGACGUUUUCCUUCAAGAACAAGACUACAUAAAUCUCAGAGCAUUCCCGACAUGAACCAAGGAAGAGGACCAACAGGAGGAAUAGGAACAAGCAAAUGUGGACUGAGUCAGCUAAGAUGGUCACUACAGCUCAAGGAGGUCAAGAUCGUCAACUCAAGUCACCUUUCUUGAUCAAGAAGGACGACCCUGGUGUCCCAAGCAUCGAGUGCACAAUCAACGGAUAUUCUUUUCAGAAGACACUCUACGACAUCGGGUCAGGCAUCAACAUAAUGGCCGCAGGCACCUAUCAACUCCUGUUCGGAACCAUACCCCUAAAACCGACAUACAUUUAGCUCUAGAUGGAAGAUCAGACAUUCCGAAAGGUUUAAGGUUAUUGACAUGGGAGAAGACGAGUAUGAUCCACCCAUCAUCCUUGGAAGACCGUUCCUCAGCACUGUUAAAGCAAUCAUCUACAUUGAAACCGGAGAAGUCCACAUGCACUUCACCUCUGAGAAGGUAUGCCGCUGUUUUACUGACCCUAACUAUAUAGUUGAAGACUCUAAGCAGGUCAGGACAAGAAGAAGACGACGCAACCGCAACCAGAGGAGGCAAAUCAUCAAGGACGGAUGGGCAGACUAUGAAGGAGAAGUUGUAAGGUCUGAAGACAUACAGCUUGAACAGAACUGUCCUGAGGAGACCGUAGCACCGAGUCAGGUGUGUAGAGAGAAGAUAGUUAUACAUGAAGAGCAGGCACUGCCGGAACCACCGACUACGCCAUCCAGCAAAUCCCAGGACAACUGAGAAAAUAGAGAGUCCCGUUCGGAGGACUUAAAAACGCCAAACGCCUUGGUAAGAGUUAAACUUGGUAGUUAUCCUUUUUCCCUUUCAAUUAUUUAAAAUAGUUUGCUUAGUUAAUCAGGUUCAUAUCAUCUUAAAAAGAAAAUAAAAAUGUUAAAAAUAGUAAGCCCCAUGUGAGUAUGCUCAUGGCAUAAAACCCAUAAGUACAUUCACUGUGGUGGCAUAAAAAUAAAAUAAAUAUAUUCCUGUCCUAUAAAAAUAAAAUUAUAAAAAUAAAUUUAUGAUCCUACUAAACAGAGUAAUAUUUAUUGAGGAGGCUCAACAUGAUAAAGGCUAGAUAUUUAUGCUAACACUUAACUAGUUCCACAAAGCUUUGCUGUCUAUUUGAGCUCCACAGAAUUUAAGGAUCAAAGAAGACUAGCAGACGGAGGACAUCCUAAUCGCUGUCAGAGCCGACAUUCAAAUACAUCUCCGCCACCUGCUAGCUACAUCAAAAGGAAUUAUGUCAAAAUCCAGCUUGGGGGAGAGCACCCCCAUUUAUCCAGCUAAGUAUUCUACUCACGUUUAUACUUUACUCUAAUAAUAAAAAGAUGCAUAAUCAUAUAAACCCAAAUAAAGAUUUUGUGCUUAUAUAUAUAUUUGCUUAGUUUGCUAAAUAAAAAUUUGCUAUGAACCCUCAUGAUAAGCUCUCACAUGGAAAGAUGAAUAGUUGCUCUGCCAUGACUAGUUCUCAAAAUUGAAAUCUCUCUCAAGUUUAGGCAUCACUAUUAUUAAUUAAGAUUUGCUCUAAACCUGAACUUGUGGGAAGAGUACUUGAUCUGAAGUCUAAGUCGUUAACGGAUAUGAUAUGGGAAGGUUGAGCUGCUGUUUAUCUAUUCCUAGAGAUGCUAGAAUUUUGGAGAAUUUUAUCUUUGAAAAUCUUUAAAAUAUCACAUGAUGAGUUCCUGUAUGAUGAGAGUUUAAAUUCCUACCACAGCCAUAUAUACAUGCUUUCUAGACUUUGAGCCACACAUUUACUUUUUACUGCUUAUGAGCAUUGAGUGUGGUCAAGCUGUGUAGACCCUUAGGAGCUUGUCAUGUGGUUAAGUCAAGAUUCACUUGCACGUUCACUCAUACAUGCUACUUCUACUCUGGAAGUACCAUCCACAUAUACCCAUUUCCAUCUCCAGAACCACCCAAAAAUAUUCUACUCCUAAUCCGGGAGAGAAUAGCCAAAAAUAUUCCUGUUUUUCCCCUGUGAAAUAAAUGCUCAAGUUAUCUUGUUACUACCACUUGCUAUAUUAUCUCAUGAGAUGAGUGCUCUAAAAAAAAGAAAAAAGAAAGAAAAAAAUAUAUACGAGGAAAUAAAAAGGGGCAAGUGCCCGGAACCUCGAAAGAAAAGAAAAAGUGAGACGAGAGGUAAAAAUGGACAAGUGUCCGACAGUAGAAUUAGGGGUACAAGAUACCCACCUGAGAGAAAAGAAAAAGAAAAUAUAGAGCAUCUCAUUCUCCUCAAAAAGUUUCAAAAGAGCAAGAAAGGUAUGUAUCCCCUCAAAAGAGCAUAAGUAGAAUUAGACUUUCACCAUUGUUAUCACCAUCAUCACCAUACACCAUUCAUUCGCCACACAUGCACAUCUUGAUUUGACUUAUUGACUUGUUCUUUUGGAUCCAUGGUUUGACUAUGCAGUAAAUGUCUUGUAAGUAUGUAUUAGCUGUCUCCUACCUAUGAGCUCCAGAUAUCAAAAGCCUUAUUAGAGUAGGGUGAGAGAGAAGGCAAUGUCACUAUGCCUUAUACCACAAAUACCACAUACUUUGAGAGAAGGCAUAUACCAUUACUGCCUUGGUAAGGAUCCAGAAAUACCACAAAUGAGAGACUAGAGAGAGUCAUACAAGGAAUCUCUGAGUUUUAUUUGAAAAUCUGCAAAAACCUCAGAGCUAUAGCUGAUCAAGAAUAAGAGACAUGGCACUUGACUAGACUGUUCUAUCUUUUAACUACUCAAGACAGAAGUGACGGUUGCAAGCCCCAUGGUGAAGGUAAAAUGAGUAAGUUUAAUUCUUAACAGUUUACCCUAACUCAGAGAUGAGAUCUUGUUUGAACUCAUGUGUACCUUUAAGGCAUGAAACCACUGCAGAAACUCUUGAGUUCAUCUUUGCUCAGGGACGAGCAAAGGUUAAGCUUGGGGGAGCUUGUUGACGGUCCUUAAUGCUCACAUUUAACCAUCAACUAAUCAUAGAAAAGGAUCCAAAUGCAACCAACACCUAGACUUAGGGUUUUAUCUGACAGAAUUCCACAAGUUUUGGUGUUUGUCUAUUUCUGCAGGGGGUUAUCAGGAAAUACGGAAGAAAGGCCCACACGUCGGGUUUACAUAGAGAUAUUAACGUGUCGCGUAAUUUUCUAUCAUCUAGAAGACUCCAAAAGCCACGGGACCGAAGCGGAAGCCGAGAGGCCUCAGGGACAGGGCGCCCGCCCUAGUCCUGAGGGCGCCCGCCCUCCCCCCUGGACCAAUCAGGGUGAAGUUCGGGAAUCGUGCUCCACCGACCUAAGGGACCAAGGAAAACCGUGCGAUUAAUGUCGGUUUGAUCCGACGGCCCAGAUUCAUCUGAAAAUACUAUAUAAGCAAGGCCCCCUGGCCCCUUGAGAGCAUACCUCUUCUACAGAAUCAAAGUUAGGGUUUCAAUUCUUCAUCCAAGUAGAGAGGAUCCCUCUAGUUCUUCUAGUUCUACCUCUAGUUCAUCUAGAUCUAGUUCUAGUUCAUCUAGUUCUAGUUCUAGUUCUUCUAGUUCUAGUUCUAGUUAGUUCUAGUUGUAAUCUAGAAAAUAGGGAGAGAGAAGAGGAGAGCGGAGGAGGAGCCGGAUCUGUCGGAUCUUCCUCAACAUUAUACUUUUGCAGCAUCUGGUUCGUUCUUCAUCGUUCUCCAGGUUCUUCAAUUCAUAAUCCUGAGUUCUUUAAUUACUUUUAUUUACAUUCAAGUUAUUUAUUGGAUUCCCGCUUGCAUCAAGUGCUCUAGUCUUUAUAACGCUAGAGUAGUAAUUAAUAGAUUAGACGUGGUGUUUAGUCUUGCGAUUACCUGGAAUUGCACCCAAUCCUACGGAUUGUUGUGGUAGCCCUAGGGUAGUGACAGCCCUAACGGUCGACGUAUUCCACCACGUUCGGAUCGGUGUUUGUAGGACCGUAGUCAGACCUUCCUAGCCCCCUUCUCAUCUCUUUCCGUGGUUAGUGCUCUGAUGUCCCGAUAUAGAUAAUCUUGAAGUAAUUCUUGAUUCUUAGAUCAACUAGAGAACUCUCAGGAAACUUCCUCUCUUCCCACCAAAAAUAAUGAUAUAGUUAUCCUUGGGCGAUCUUGGAUCUUAAUUAGUACACUCACGUUCCCUGUGGAAAAUCGAUACUCUCGAAUACUCCCGGGUGAAAGCUACAUCGGUAUCCGUGCGCUUGCGGAUUUUUCUGUUUGCGUUUAAAAUACCCAACACCGAGUCGCGCAACUCCCUCUCCUUGCCCUAGCGCCGCCGCCCCCGUUCGCUCGACAAUCUCCGGCGAUCUCGUUCUUCCCCCUGCGGCCAGAUCUCGCCCCCGGUUUCCUUUCUUCUCUCCUCUCGGUUGAGAUCCAAUCUCGCGGGGAUUUAGGGUUUCUGGGAGAGUUGCUUAAGUUCUGCCCCCAAGGUGAGGAGUCAAUUGAGGAUUUGAUCUUGAUUUCGAUUGUCUCACUCGUGCAGCACUUUGAGGAUUUGAUUAGUGUUCUCCAGAGGUUUCCGAUCGUGAUAUUUCAUCCGGAACGUGUCUCGUCCGUGGAUCGUAAGCCGUUCGCGCCCAUAUCUUAUCUAUUCUUGCGAUCUAUAGGAUUGUCUCAUCUCUAGUCGAUAUGAUUGCUUAUGUAUAUAUCCUAUCUUGUCUAUUCUCUGCAGCGCAUUAAUCUCCGUUGUCAGUUGGUUGUUUGUCGGACAUUUGAUCAGUCAUUAGUUCUUGCAAUGGCACGUUGCAAGAAUGUCAGCGGUCCGGCAGCCGGCACUGGAGGUUCCUCAGGUGGUGAUGGUGGAGGUGAUCCUCCCCGUCGCCUAUCAGCGGCAGAAAAAGGCAAGGGCAAGAAGCUGGCUACCAAGAAGCGCAAGGCCAGUGACAGAGAUGCAGAGGUGGCAGAGGCAGUUGCAGCAGCGGCCGAGGCAGCUGAGAGAGGUGGACGUUCUGGUGCUUUGAGGAUUGGGGAUGACCUCACGCCACGGCAGCGGCGUGCAGUUCUUGAGACAGAGGCAUUCCAUGGAUCCCCUCCAGGCACCGUGACGGUUGGAGGACAGAGGAUUAGGCUCGUGGUUACGGAUCCGGCUCAGGAGGAUCCAGACACUGAGACAGAGACCCAGGCAGAGGGUCCAGCACAGGAGCAGGAGCAGGAGCAGCCCCUCCGGAGGUCGACUCGCGCUCGUACCCAGGCCACUCCUCGGACUGGUACGCAGGGUCAGUCCACCUCUAGUGCUCGUGCUACACCAGCUAGAGGCACUCUAGCUUCUCGACCAAGGCCAGUCAGGAUCCACAGGGAUCUCACUCUUGUGUCAGCCAGAGAGAUCCAGCAGCUGAGGUUCGUUCCGUUUCCCACCUGGUUUCCAACUGCCAGGGAUCCCAGAGCCGGUGCCAGGUUCUACACAGUCAUCCAGGAGGACAUCCACGAGGCACUGGUUCGCUCUCAGGCACAGUUCAGGGAGCACAGAGUGAUAGACCUAGAGAUUCUGGGGAACGUGGUUGGAGCAGACAUUCGUCAGUAUUUCACCUACCUCCACGGACUCCCAGAGCUGCUAGCACUCCCUGGUACUUAUUGUGAGCAGUGGGUCAGAGAGUUUUACGCGUCAGUAUGGGUGUCUCCAGACCACAGCUACAUACACUACGCUCUGGCAGGCACAGACUACAGAGUUACAGCUCAGAGGGCCAGAGAGGUGCUUGGGCUGCGAGCCUCUCCCACCAGGAUUCAUCGGUUGUGCUACGGGAACGUCGAGCCCCCUCGUCGUCCUCACGGUGGUGAGAUACCACCGGUUGACUUCGUGGCUCCCUGUUUCUGUCCACCUUUUGGGGAGGGCUCCAGCAGGACAGUGGGAGAUUUGACUCGACCAGCUAGGAUCCUCGACUUUGUGUUGAGGAAGACUCUUCUCCCUAGGACAGGCUACAGAGACGGAUUCACUCGUAUUCAGCAGUGGCUCGUUGCUCACCUCAUCAGUCAGACACAGUUUGACCUAUGGGAUCUGAUUGUCUCAGAGAUAGAUGACACCAUCUCAGAGAGCUUCAGGGACCGGCGUCAGUUGCCCUACGCACAUUGGAUCACCUUGCUUAUACUUCGUGCUAGGCCACUGCCCUUGCCAGCUCACUUGCAGAGGGAGUUGACAGAGUCAGACACCGUCUUCCCCCACUACGACCCCAGGCAGAUGUUGAGAGCGCACCACGACCUCCGAGCUGCUCCUCCUCCUCGUGCACCACGCGGACCGGUGCCCCCACCUUCUCCUAGGGGUACCCGCAGUACAGCAGCAGUUCCAGAGACAGAGGAGCAGCAGGAUAUAGCCAUUGGGGCUUUCACAGAUGCAGAGGCAGAGGGAGAGUUUGACUUCGCCUCAGACAGCUCGGAUGAUGACUAUCAGCCGCCAGUGACAGAUCUCCCUCCCAGAGCACACGACCAUGAGGCAGGCGGUUCUUCGAGUGCUUCAGACCCUGCCCUGCUUGCUAUCUUAGAGGGGAUGAGAGCAGAUCAGCGCCGUGCAGCUGAGGAGCAGGCGAGGCGAGAUAGGGAUCAGGCUGCCAUCAAUGCAGCCAUGCAGGCUAGGCAGGAUGAGCUCCAGCGUCAGCUUCUCACCUUUCAGGAGCAGCAGCUUGCUUUCCAGGCCCAGCAGACAGCGAUGAUGGCCGCUCUCAUGGCCGCCUCAGGGAUCCAGCUACCGCAGAUUCAGCUCCCAGGCACCUCGACUGUCAGGCCACCUACUCCGGCGCCCCAGACUCAGAGUCCGUCUCAGCAGCUUCUCCCGCUACCAGCUCAAAGUCAGCCGUUUUCGACGCUGCAGCACCAGGUGUCUCAGGGUGCUAUCUCUUCAGGCUUUGAGCAGGUACCUCAGUUUACUCCUCUCCGCUCAGGCUUCACUCCUUAGUCAGCGUCAGCGUCACAGCUUGUGUGGGACUCGCAGACAGAUCCGCACCUCAGCUUCACCUACAGUGCUCUGACUUGUGACCCUACGCCUCCUCCUCUGCAGGCCCCUGCAGUCUUUACGGCGCCAGUUACCACUACAGAGCUUCUGUCGUCGUCUGUAGCGUCGUCCGAGCAGCUUGCACCGUCUUCUACCGUGCCAGAGACGACAGCUACCGCGACCGAGCCCGUGCCUGCUUCGUCAGCCAGACUCGAGCAGCCAGCACAGCCUGUGACAGCUCCAGAGCAGACCCGGACCGCUUCACCAGCUCCUGCAGCUUCAGAGGGUCACUCCACCUCCUCUGCCUCGACGGUCGAUAGUUCAGAUGAUGCAGCUUGCUUCGUGGCCGUGCCGAGGGACUCCACUGCUCCGCCUCCUCCACCGGCUACUUAGGUUUUUGGCGCUUGAUGCCAAAGGGGGAGAGAGUGCGUAGAGUUAGGAGUUAGGAGUUAGGGGGAGCUAGAGAGAGUGUUUAGGAGUUUUAUUCUUGUGGGAUACUUGUUAUGUGUGCUACUUUAUCAUGCAUCACGUUUACUUUCAUGCAUUGCACUUGUGUGAGUUGCUUUGGUUGUGAGACAUGACUUGUGCUUAAUGUGAUAUCUUAAUGUCAUGUGUUUUGGCUCAUAUUACCUUUGCUUCCGCGUUUUACUCCGAUGUACUUAUGAGCCUUAUGUUAAUAUCCUAUCGUAUAUCUCUCACAUAUUUGGGUGCAGGAUAUUGGACUUGGUUGAUACAAGCAUGACUAAUCCCGUUGUUCUUAUUGUAUCAUGCUUAUUGAAACCGAGUCACUUCAAAAAAAACCUCAACUCUUUUCAUACUCGAGGUUGUCAUCAAUCACCAAAAAGGGGGAGAUUGAAAGAGCAUCUAGGCCCCUAGUGAUUUCGGUGAUUAAUGACAUUAUUGAUUACUAUGACUAACGUGUGUUUUGCAGAGGCAAAGUCAUAGGUAAGGUCAUGGUAAAUAGGUACUCGAUGGACAGGGACGUACAUGCCAACUUAAUAGUGGAAAUCGUUUUCGGUUUUCAAAGGAUGGAUAGACAUCGUCAAGACUAGACUAGGUCUAAGUGCCAUAUGGUGAAGAAGGGCACUUAGAGUAGUUUAGGACUUUAUUUUCCUUUGACCGUACUAUUAAGAGGGGCUUUGAUCUAGUAGCUUGACUUAGGCAAGGCUUUAGGUUUAGGUGUGGUGCACACUUGGUAAACCUACAACUAGGCAGCUCAGAGAUAGUCCUUAAAUCGAGAGGAACCAACUUCGUUUUGGAGCGAUCGCGUUUCGAUGAAGUUUGGGUGCCCAAAGGGGCACCGGACGCUGCACCGGACGCUCUGUGAGUGCGUCCGGUGAGGUCCUUAGCCGUUGGAACAGUGUGGUGCUUAGGGUUAGGCACCGGACGCUAGCACCGGACGCACCGAGCAGCGUCCGGUCCCAUACCCAGGGAGGUUGCAAGCCUUCCCUGAGCACCGGACGCUAGCACCGGACGCAUCGGGUAGCGUCCGGUCCCUUGCGCAGGGAGCUUGUAAAGUUCCCCCGAGCACCGGACGGUGCACCGGACGCUGGGAGUUAGCGUCCGGUGACCUGUCAGAGAGAAGUACAGGUAGCCGUUAUGAAGCACCGGACGCUCGGUGCAGUGCGUCCGGUGCAACAUAAUGUGCGUCCGGUGACCCCGUUUUCAGUGGAAAAUGGUUGGCCGACCUUUGGACUUCGUGGAUAGUAUUUAUACUCCUCCACCUCGUCCAUGAGAGCUCUCUUGCCCAUUUGAACAUCAGAGAAACUUGUUGUGGAGCAAGAGAGUUGCAAGAGCCUAGAGAGGAUUGAAGUUUGAGUGAUUUCUUGAGAGAAUCCUUCUCUAGUGAGUUCCAAGAGUCAAGUGUGCAUCCACCACUCUCUAGAGCCUUGUUUGGAUCAAGUGAGUGUUCUUUGCUUGUUACUCUUGGUGAUCGCCAUCACCUAGACGGUUCGGUGGUGAUUGGAGGCACGAAGACCGCCCGGAGUUCUUGUGGGUGGCUAGUGUCAAGCUUGUGAGCGGUUUUGGGCGAUUCACCGCGAGGGAGUGUCGAAGAAUCAGCCCGUAGAGAGCACUUGGUCCUUGCGCGGACCAAGGGGGAGCAAGACCCUUGCGCAGGUGCUCCAACGAGGACUAGUGGAGAGUGGCGACUCUCCGAUACCUCGGCAAAACAUCGCCGAGCACUUUCUUCCACUACUCCUUUACUUUCUAGCAUUUACUUUGUGCUUUUACAUUCUUAGAAUUGCCAUGCUAGAAUAGGAUUGGAACUAGGUUGCAAAACUUUUAUCCGGUAGCUCUCUAAGUCACACUAGGCACAAGGGGUUGAAUUGGAGCUUAUAGGUUGCUUAAAUUUUUAGAGAAGCCCAAUUCACCCCCCCUCUUGGGCAUCUUGAUCCUUUUAAUGUGGACGAUUAUGAAUGUUUUUUUCCUUGUUAUUGAAUUAGAUAUCUCUGCAAUCUGACAUGAGGAGUGGGAUUUCUUAAACUGCCAUUUUCCAAGCAGGUAGCAACAGUACUAAACUAAAUCAUAUGUAAUGAAGCCUUUACCAUUCUAGUCUUUCAUCAAUUGCCUCUAUAAAUUGCAUGGCCUGGUUGCCUCCUUUCUCCAACUCGCACACCCUCCCUUUCAUUCCAACAGCAGAAACAGGCGUUACUGUUCGGUGGCAUUGCAAUGUCUUUCUUGUGGACUCUUCCUGUGGCUCACAUCUAUCACUUGACCUGGAAAAGAUGAAUUCAUUCGCCAAACUAAACAGACUGAAGUUUACACAAAUUGGCACUACAAAUUAUAUUCGUCUAUAAAAUAUGGACAACGAAUAUUUUUUGACACAAUCGGCAGGGAAGUCCCCUACCUAUUUUUUUCAUUUUAUCAAUGUUUUAAAUAGCGGGCUAACACGUUUAGCAGUUCAUGUCUAAAGCAGCUAAUAGCGGAGCUAAAUCGGGCUAUAGCGGAAUAUAGCGGCUAAAUUGUACAUGAACAUAAAUAGUGGUACUCUGCCUUAAAAGUCUAUAGCGGCAGCUAUAGCGGGAUAUUUAAAACUAUGCAUUUUAUUGAUUUAUGUACAAAGAAUAAAGAAUACAAAGGCCUUCAAGGCCCAAAGCGAAAAAUACAGUGGAAACUAGAGUCUAUUCUCACACCAAAGUUUCAAUGGGUCAGCAAUCCUCUGUUUGGCCUUGAUGAGCCUAUCUCCUCCUUUAGCAGGAUUUUCCAUUCAGUAAGAGAGACUGCUUUAUUGUCAAAAAUGGCACCAUUUCUGACUUUCCAAAUUGUCCACGCUGCUGUGAUGAAGAUUUCUCUGAAGAUGUGGCUUCCAAAAUUUAUUCUGGCUUUUGUCAGCAUCUCGUGGGGAGGGAGGUCAAGAUCCCAGUCAAUUUGCAGCCAGUUCCAGCAAGAUUGGCUGAAGGCACAUGUGAAGAACAAAUGCAAACAUGUCUCCUCUGGACUAAGAUUACAGAGAGCACAAGCAUAGUUGUCCAGAUGCAUUUUUUCCUCUUGAGGAGGUUUCUUGUACACAAACGGUCCCUAACCAGUAGCCAUGCAAAGAAUUUAUGUUUUCCAAGGUUUCCCCCUUUCCAAAUCCAUUUGAAGAUCGGUGAAGCAUUAACUUGGCCUUGGAGAUGGUUGUAUGCUUUUCUGGGAGAGAAGGUGUUUCCCCAGUUGUAUUCCCAAGAAUCAAGACUUUCUGAGCUUACAAGAUUUUGAGUUAGGAUUGCAUCUAGAUCAUACAGUUGGUCAGCAGCUUGCUCUGAGAGGGACAGGAAGAGGGUAGCUUCUGGGUCCUUUUCUACAAAAUACUUGAGUGACCAGUGUUCUUUCUACAGAACGAAAAUAGUUGUGGAAACUGCCCUUCCAACAGUUGUCGUGACCAAUUGUCAAACCAAAGAGUGGUGGUGUUACCUUUCCUAGGAUUACACCUUGCAAAACUUCUGAAUUUCGGGAAGAGCUUUAAAAUAUCUUUCCACCAGAAGGAGCCACAUGGGUUUUUUUCAUGUGGUGGUAUGUUCUCAUUACGGUAUAGCUUGGACCAUGUCAAUUGAACCCAAGGGACUGCAACAUGGUUAUAGAAUUUGUCGAGGAACUUCAUAAGGAGGGCACUGUUUUGGUUUUCUAAGUUGAUGAUGUUUAGUCCUCCUUCAGCUUUGGUUCUGCACAGUUCUUUCCAGGCUACCAGACAUGUGCCCUUUCUAUUGAUAUCUCCUUUGCUCCAGAUGCAAUGUUUUCUGAAUCUAUCAAUCUGCUCAAGGACCUGAAUUGGGAUGGACAAAGUGCACAUAUAGUAGGUGGGGAGAGCAGAAAGGACCGAGUUGACCAGUAUCAAUCUUCCAUGAUAAGAGAGAAAUCUGUUAAAUCCCGAGAGUCUUCUUUCCAUUCUAGAGAGUAAAGGUGUGAAGUCCUGAACUAUAGGUCUUGUGGUUCCGAGAGGAAGUCCAAGAUAUGUAAAGGGCAUGCUUCCAGCCCUGCAGCCAAAGGUGGCUGCUAAGUGGGACAACUUAGCUUCAGAGACAUUGAUGGGAAGGAGACAACUUUUGCUGAAGUUCACAUUAAGUCCUGUUGAAUCAGAGAAACCUCUGAGCAGUCCUUUUAGAAUGAAAAGUUGUUUAGCUUCUGCUGGGAGAAUGAGUAAUGUGUCAUCAGCAUAUUGCACAAUGGGAAAGUAGUCCUCAAAGUUGUUUGAGAGAGGGUGGUUUAAAAUGCCAUCAUGCCAUGCUUUGUUGAUAAUACUCUAAAGCAGAUCAACUGCAAGCAAAAAGAGGAGUGGGGAGAGUGGGUCUCCUUGUCUUACACCUCUCUUGCAUUGAAAAGGUUUCCCAGGGAUCCCAUUCAAGAGAACUAAGGAGUUACCAGAGUCCAGGAUUGCUUUGAUCCAACUUAGCCAGUGAUUAUUGAAACCUUUGUAUUUCAUCACUUCUAGAAUAGUUUGAUGCUCAAUUUUGUCAAAAGCUUUCUCAAAAUCUAGCUUCAAAAUUACCACUUCUUUCUUGGAGUGGUGACAAAGGUGUACGAAUUGAAAGGCCUAGGCUAGGCAGUCUUGAAUGCUUCUGCCUUUGAUGAAACCAUAUUGGUUAGGGUGGAUGAGUUUUGUGAUUACCGUCUGUAAUCUGAUAGAUAGGAGUUUUGUGAUGCACUUAACUGAGCAAUUGAGCAGUGAAAUAGGCCUGUAAUCAUCUACUGACUCUGGGUGAUCUUUUUUGGGAAUAAGGGCAAUGUAAGGGCUAUUGAUACUUGUAAGAUAAAUGCUGUUGUUGAAGAAAUCUUUGAAUAAUCUUUGAAAAUCAUUUUUGAUAAUGUGCCAGCAGUGUCUUAUGAACUUCCCAUUGAAACCAUCAGGACCCGGAGCAUGAUCAAGUGGGAUACUUUUAACGACAGCCUCAAAAUCCGUGUCAUCAAAGGUUCCUUCAAUUUGCCUAAGGUCAUGUCUGUCUAACAAGUUGUUUAAAUCAUAAGUGAUGUUUGAGAACUCAGAUACACCCAUUCUGUUUUUGAAGUUAGCCCAGAGCAGUCCUGCCUUUUGUUCGUGAUUUGUUACUUGGAUGUCUCCCCCUGGUACUGUCAGACUGGCAAUGCUGUUCUUUCUGUGUGAGAUGGAAGCCAUGGCUUGAAAAACCUUGCUAUUUUCAUCCCCAAGCUUAACCCAUCUGAUGGUGUUUCUCUGUUUCCAGUAUAUCCGUCUCGAUUCUAAUAGGUUGGCUAUGUGCCUUUUGACAAGGUCUCUUAGGGAUAUUUCUACCUCACAGAGAGGCCUUUGUUCCUCAAGACCAUCAAGUAGAAGAAGGACCCAUUCGCUGUUGUGUAGCAAUCGGUUGAAAUUUUGUAAGUUUUUUCUCCAUUUCUUGAGUCCAAUCCUAACUUGUUUAAAUUUUGCAUUGAGGGUUUUGGCAGCAUUGGCAAAAUAGGGGGUUGUAUUCUAGUGUAGUUCAACUGUUUUCAGAAAAUCUGCAUGCUCGAUCCAAAAAUUUUCAAAUCUGAAGAUAUUCGACCUGGGAAUGGAGCUGCCAAAAGAGAUGACAAAGGGGGUAUGAUCAGAGAUGGGCCUAUCCAGGGUUUGGACCUUAGUCAAGAGGUGUGCCCAGCUCUAGCUUUGAGAGCAGAAGACCCAAUCUAGUUUAACCAGCAGAGGAUCAGACUGCAUAUUACUCCAGGUGAAAGAUCUACCAUUAAAUGGGAGUUCAACCAAGUCAAGAGCAGAGAUGAGAUCAUUAAAUAGCUGCAUUUCGUUGACAUCUCCUCCUGGUUUGUUUCUGUCGUCUGUUGAUCUAUAGAGAUUGAAGUCACCUGCUAGGAUCCAGUCAUCUAGAUCAUCUGUGUCUAUAUUUAAUAACCAUGUUAGGAAACCCAUUUUUGCUUCAGCUUGAGAGGGGCCAUAAACAUUAGAGAGAUGGAAGGCAGUCUUAUCCAAUUUAUUCACAAAUUUCAUUGUGACACAGUAGCCAUUCGAAUGAACUACUGUUCCAUCAAAGAGCUUACCAUUCCAGAUGGUGAAGAUUCCUCCCGAGGCACCAGCUGACGGUGAGAAAGCAAAGCAAUUUAAAUGUUUUGGGCAGAAUUUUUUGAGAUAAAGGUUGUUAAAUAGUUCUCUUUUGGUUUCUUGCAGGCAAAGAACUUGGCAAGAACUUUCGGCUAUUUUAACUCUGAUUGCGUCCCAUUUGGCCUGGGAGUUUAUUCCUCUUAUGUUCCAAACUGGGAUGUUAAACUGCCUGGUGUUACUCAUAGAUAAACAUGGGUAGAAGAGAGUGAAGACUAACCCCCCAGAGGAGUUAGUAAGACCACUAGUAGAAAGAAGCCGAUGAAGCUGAUUGAAAGAACUAGUUUAUCUAUCUCAAGGCAGUUGGAUUGAUUGCAACCCAAGGCCAAAACAAAGUGAUUGAGAGGGACAUAAAACUCAGCUAGAUACCAUAAAGCAGAUCUCUCAUAGUCAUUCCAUACCAGCACACAGCAAACGUGUUCAAAAGCAAACUGCUGAACAUAAACAACCACAGGAAUAAAAGGUAACCAGCAUGCAAGCUGGGAAGGACAAGAGUGUUUGUUGCUAGGGAACAGAAAACUAGAAUUAAACAAAAGGUGCACUCUUCUCGUAGAGUGCAGAGACCAAGAGCUAAGUUCUUCAGAUUCCAUCAACAUCAACAUCCUUUUUGAAAAUGGCAGCAGAUGCAUCACUAGGGUGGAUCUGCAGGAAGCCGGUGGCAAUUCCUUGGGCUACUUCCAUCGGCAGGUAUGGAGCUGGUUCUGGAGCUGACGCCUUUGGGGAGGCGGGGACCAUGGCCAAGGGAACUGGAUGAAGCACAUCCUUUUUGAAUCCACCUUGUUUGAUGGCACUCCUCUUGCUGCGCCUGAGGUGACGGUCAUACACUUGUUGUUUAGUCUUGGAGAUCCUCCUCUUUUUCUGGGUGAACUGGUUGCUUACGAUAUCCAUCAACUCCUCUUCACUGAUCUUCAUUAGUUCAGCUCUAGUGGGUGCCACGUCCAAGUCCUGGUCACGGAUGAGGAAGGCCAACCAGGCCAGGGUCAGAAAGUCACAAAAGUAUGAAGGGAUGGGAAGAUCAGGGUUAAUAUCCAAAUGAUUUAGGAAGUUAAAAACACUAGGAGCAGGAGAUUUUGAGAUGUAAUUGAGUACCUUGUUUAUGUGCAAGUUCAGAUUCAACUUUACUGGUGGAACAUUGGAAUGCUCCUCCAAGAUUGUUCCAACCACCACUGAUUUGAGCCUGGGACUGUCUCUGUUAAACCCUGGAGGAAUUGAUUGGUACCUGUCUUCAAAAACAGGUGCAUCUGCCACGAAUCCAGGCUCUCCAAGCUCUGCUUCUAGACCCUGCUUCAUUCCCUGACCUUCAGCCUUACCUAUUGGGGUGUUUGAGCCACCAGCAGCAGAAAUAACAGGACUGGCACUCGGAUUAGCCGGCGGCACCGGAACUUCCCAGUGAGGAGCAGGAGUUGGGAAGGGGUGCAGUGGACCAAUAGUGACGAAGCCUUCCUCAUCUGGCAGUAAAGUGACAUUGUUUCUCUUCAGGAUGUAGCAAGGUGAAGUCCAGGAUUUCCCAUUGGGGGGCAGACCAGUGAUCAACUUGAUGGAGGAUGGGAUCUUGGCGUCAUCAUUGAGGUAGACUUUGGCUGUGACACAUCCUGGCUGGGUGUCAUCCCAACCAAUCAGGAUGCCAAACUGUGAAACUGCCCUUGCGACAUGCUACGUGUACCUCAGAUCCUCGGGGUAGACCAGAAUCAGAAUCAUGGCUUCACGAUCGAUGGGGAAGGCUCUGGCAUUUUCCGCCUCAUCAUGUCGGACGAAGUGCAAGAAGUAAUUACCAAACACAAAAUUCAGUCCCAAGAAUCUAUCACGCUCAAAAGGAUUGCUGAAUUUGACAAAGGCAUCACCAAUAGGGCAGGGUGAGAUCUCGGUACCGUACCUGGUGCACGUCGCGGAAGAAGGCCUUGAGCUCUCUGGCCAGCAGACAGAAGUCGUCCUUGUGCACGGGUGGGGUGAGCUUUGCAAUCGCCAGGUCCUCAUUGGUCUUGUUGUAGCACCCAGUGACGUAAACUUCAUGACGCAGCAGCGGGGAUGCUUGGACGUCAUCCAGCACGAAGCCCUUGGGGACGAAGGGCCUGGGGUCCGCGGCAAAGUUCGCCAUCGGAGAGCUCGAGGGGGGUUCUGGAACUAUUGAUUGGGGGAGCAGAAAGGCGGAGUUCGAAGGAGAUGUAUCCGUGAGACUCGAGGACGGAGAAUAUAUAUCCCUUGGUCGAGACCCUUCGACUUCCUUAACAGUAACAGGCCGAAACUUCUGGGACUUGGAUUUGGAAAGGUAGGAUUUUUGGGAGUGCCCAUACCGGAAGCAGAUCUCGCAGCGGAGUCUGUCGUUGCAUGAAAUACGGUCAUGGCCUAGGCCCAGGCAACGGGGGCAACGAUUCAAAGGUCCAUAACUGGGUUUGGCAAGAUCCAACCGAGCCGAGAUUUCUUGGGGAGACUCCUGAAAAUCAGCUCGGGAGAUGGGCUUCCAAACAGGGAGAGGCCGAGAUUGGCGGGAUCGCAUCAACGCAUUUGAAUUUGAAUUUUGACGAGAUCUGCUGUUCUCAGAACUGAAGGGAUCAAGCUUAUGAUUGUUUCCCAGGAAAGCAUCAGCAUAGUUCUUCGGAUAAUGAAGGCGCUUAAACACUGAUGUUCUAAUAGAAGGAGAGGAUUUGACUAUAUCAGCGUAGCUUUUCAGAGCAGAUUGACUUUUAGGAAUAACGAAGGACCUGCCUGGUCUACGAGAAACCGUGGUCCAUUCAGCAUUUUGUUCAUCAAUCCAGAGGUUGAAUUCUCUAACCCAAUUUGGGCCACCGUUGCCCCAAAGAAAAAAGAAAAUUGCAAACAAUCGGCAGGAGAAAGUUCUCAGACUUUUGAUCAUGAAACCCACCUUCUUGCAGGAAACAUGAAAGCUAAACAUCCAACCGGACAAAUGUUUGACAUGGAAAUCCUUACUACAACCCCCAGGCAGGAUUGCAGUAGGAGACUGACCGUAUCCUCAUUGAGACGGAGGGCUGAGCGGCCAAAACUUGCGACCAACUUGAAGGAGGGGGAAAGUUGGGAGGGGGUCGGACUCACCGAGCAGCCAAAGCGCAGCGAGAUCUGGUUGCCAAACUUGAGCCUAGGGUCGAAGGAGAUGUCCGAGAGCCCAACCAUGGCCGACUUCAGAGGGGGAGGACGCCAUGAGACGGGGAUGGGGAGGGGAGCUGGGAGGUGGUGGGGGGAGGAGGAACCAUGUCGCCACUUGUUGUUUCUCUUGCUAGAUCAAUUGACAACGAACCAAAUUAGCACAUGAAUGGAUUUGCGAUUUUAUGAGAAUUUCUUAGAACCACCAACAGAGAAACCUUGAAUCCUGGUUUAGAACCACAAACAGAGAAACCUUGAAUCCUGGUUGUCAGAUGGUAACAAAUAAAGCAAAUCCAUCUAAAAUCCAACAAACUUUUUUGAAGUAGUGUUCCAGCACAAUAUAUCCCCACGCAGAUAAGAAAUUUUCUCGGUGGACAGAAACAUCCUCUCGGUUGUAGCUCAUCCUGCAAUGGUUGCAGGAAAUUCUCGUGUGCAGUAGAUUUGCUUUCCAGAGGCACUGCGGGGCAGUAUUAACUUGACCAGUGUCCUCUUGAAUCUUGAAAUAAGUCUAUAUAAUAACAAUAAUAAUGAAUGCUCGAAAAUCUGAGAUGGCAAAUAGUGCAGAAAGAAUGCCAUUUGCGACUUCGAUAUACGCUACAGGGGGAAGUUGACAGCCGUAUUAUUCAACGUCAAUAACGUAACCUAGAACUUUAGGAACAAAAGUCCAUUUUUUUUCUGUGACGGAAACUACUACUCUCUAAUAAAUAGCAUUUGGGCCUGGGACAUAUAAGCCCACCCAGAAAAAGAACAAGGAACAGGCCUAAUGGGCUACCUAGCCUGUUCUGUUUCAGCAUGCAGAAACCUACCCAGUAGGGCCAAAGCCCAACUGUACCAGCAUGGAGUACCUUGCAUGCAAAAUCGUACAGCCAAGCAAAUUAAUUAUCUUUCAAACAACGAUUCAGACAGAAGCGUCCUAAAAAAUAAUUCAAACAAACAUGGACUAUUAACAUUGUUAGGAACUAAAAUCAGUAAACGAAAGGACUUGCCAUUCCAUACAAGUCCAGCUUUUUUAACAGAACAUCUAAACAGAGUAAACCCUUAAUAAUCCUGGUUGACCCUACUAUGUUCUGGGCUCUGCUUCUAUUACAUCGCCACUCCCAACAGGAAUCACGUUACAAGGUGUGUACUUCUCCAGGUCAAUCUUGAUUGAGUCUAUAGCUUCUUCCUCUGAAGGCACCAGUCCCGGUGUUGCCGUUAGCUUGCGGCCUGACAGGAGCGUUGGCUUGCACCCCUAUUCUGUAUCGAGCAACAAUCUUAUGGCUGUGCAAGUGCAGCAGGUUAAGGAGACAAGGAGAAGAUAUUUAAAAAUAAAGUAGCAAUAGCGCAGAAAUUGAUCUUAGUUGUAUAUGCAAACUGAAAGAGAAUGCUUUGGCCAUGACCGUGUAAAAGGAUACACCCAUUUCGGAGUCUUGAGGUAGUUCUUUCCGGUGGCAAGAGGGUGCAACACUGCAAAGAAGUAGUAUAGAUGUCCAACCAUGAUACCCAGAAGGCCACCCAUUAAUGGUGACCCAAAUAUCACAUCCAAUAAGAGCAUAACCCAUGGAAGAUAAAAUGCCUGCAAAAGAGAGUACAUCAACAGCUAAUGUAUUAUUCGCAAAGCUUAAUUCGCCUGUUCACCAAUUGAGCAACACAAAGAUGGGAAUUGCAAUCAAUGGUAGUGAAAUUACAUACCCUCAAUUGGACAAGACCAUAUAUAUUUAUCUGAGCAUUCGGAUUCUCUCGGCUCCAGACAUAAACAAGCAUGUUGACCAUAGGUACUCCCAAUGUAUAAGUAUUUAAUAGGGGAAUAACAGACACCACCUGAUUCAAGCAAUACAGAGUUAUACGCAAGUUUAGUAGAAGUUCAAGAAUGUCUCUUGGUUUGGUCUAAAUUGAAAUUCUGAAUGCAGAAAGAACUAUCACUGACCAAUAGUGAGAUGGCACCAAAUAUCAUCAUCCACAAGAAAUCUGCAGUGCGUCUAUCAAAUGCUCCCUUUUCCAGCAUGACACCAUACCUUGCUCUAUGUAAGUCAAUUUCAAACAACCAAAGAUAAUUUAAAAUUAUAGAUACUGUGGAAGUAACAAUAUUUUAUCAUUGGUGUUCAGCAAAAGUGCACAACUUUCACUUACAUCAUCAGAAGGCGAAUACCGAAGUUUAUGGAAAAUGGUCCCAGAAAGAUGAAACUUGUAAAUAGCCUCCAUACCUGCAGGGUCCAUUUUUCUAAUAUAUAAAAAAUGAACAUAUGGAGCAGGACUGCAGAACAUGUAAUUUACAAGUUCCAAGCUAAGUACAUGAUAGACUGCAGAAUAUAUUAAAUCAAAACAAAAAGUGUUCUGAUCUAUUCAUAGAAAAUCAAAUAUAGCAGGGUUGAAUGCAAUACAUAUAUUUCAAAACAAACUCAAGCAAAGUAACUUCCCCUUAAUUGUCAGGCAAGGUAAUCCAGCAUGUUACAAUGUCCUACCUAAUAGAAGCUUACAAUGUUUUGCAGUCAAAACUAAGUGAUACUAAUGUUAAGCUGUAUAGAUGUGGUAAGGGGAAGAGAAAACAGAAACAGAAUCUAACCUGAAACUUCUUAAACACCCAAGGGUAAUAUAAUACAAGAAAACCCCCAUCCACGAUAUGGAGCCGAACUAGCACGGUGGUAAGGAAACACAAUGUCCCAUAUGCCUUGCUUAUAGGUGGAAGUGAUUUGUAGUACCUGAAGAAGGCAAGUGAGCACACAUUCCAAAGCAGCUUCAAAGCAAAAGGACUUUGUACUUGUUUCUUAGUAAAAAGUCUCCAGAAAUUAGUACUCCAUCCGUUCCAGAUUAUACCUUGGCUUUUCUAGAUACAUAGCAAAAUAAGCAAUGUACCUAGACAUAGUGUAUAUCUAAGUGCAUAGCAAAAGUCAUGUAUCUAGAGAAUCCAAAACGUCUUAUAAUUUGAAACAGAGGGGGUAAUAAUUUACAACUAAUGCAUGAGCAGAAAUAAGAGCAGUAGUAGUAAACCAAUGGACAAUACCUUGCUCUAUUAGUUUAGGUAAUAUACAAUCAAGAUACGAAAUUUGCAAUUAGAAGCAUAAGCACAAUGGCAAGGCUAAAGUUACUGGCAUAAGCUACUCCCUCUCAAUUGCAUUAUAGAUUUGUGGUUGAUUCUGCAUAUAUCACUCUGAUGUUUUGUCUCUUCUCUUUUGCUUGUUGCAUUUGAAUGCAUGUGCCAACAGCCAACAUUUUAUAACUUUGGCCACUAAUUUUCAUUUAUUCAUAUUUUUCACAUACAAAUGAUUUUAGUUGAUGCUUCACAGAAUAGUUUAAUUAUUUUGGCCAGCAUAUAAUUAGAACAGGUAAGGAUCAAAGGGUGCACAAUGGAGACUGCUAAUAGUCAAAUUGGCAAUUGAAGCGGAAUGGAGGUGAUUGCCUGCUCAAUUGAUGUGUUUGGUGAAUGGACAGUGGACACUAUAGAGGAUAGAAGAUGAGUACAAAAAUCAUGAGUUCAUAAACUGGCUCAAAAACCCAUAUCAGAACCUCAUGCCUCAAUUAACAAAUUCAAAUAGGAAUAAUUUAGCAGAGCUAAAGGUCACAGGGUCAGAAAAACAGGCCAAACUGGUUCGAUCAUUUCAGCUGGUACAAAAAUGGUGACAGUUUCAGAUGACCAGAUCUACGGAUUUUAACAACCGACAAAAACAUCUUCAAUCAAAUUAUUUUGUUGAUUGGCAGAGUAAUCACCAGUAUCAAGGGCCCUAUAAUCAAAGAACAUCAAAGGGGUGUCUUCAUGAUAUAUUGUACUGUCAAUGAUGCCCCAGCAAAAGCAAAAGAGGAAAGAAAAAAACGAGUGGCGUUUGUAGAUUUCGACAACAGCAAAGUGGCAUAAUAUUAUUAGUAAUUUAUAGAAUACCUCUAUGCAUCAGGUGAUGCACACUCCAGUUCUUCCUUUUGAAAUAAACUAAUCGUGAAUAAUGCUUCAAAUACCCUUGUUAAGGAACCAGGAAUCAUUUUUCGCCAAAGACACUAAGUAUGCAGCACAAACAAUCAUGGAACUAAAUGAUAUAAAAAUCAUCUGUAAGAACUACAUAUUAACAUUGUCAUCACUGACACGUCCAGAUAACCUUCCAGCCCAAGAUCACAAAGUCUGAAGUGCAUGGAAAAUAUAUUGUUAAUUCAAACUUGAAUGAAAAUGGAGCCUGUAAACAACCAAUUCAGGUGCUAGAAUUUUCACAGGAAUAAAGGCAAGUGGUGAAUCAACUUCGCCUCUAAGUUGAAAGACUAUUUAUCAUGAGUGAUAACUACCCUUCAUCUUGUGACAGUCCAAACUCGCAGUACAAAUCCGGAUGAUAUGUAUAUAAGGCUGUACCAGUCCAGCAACAUACAGAUAAUAUCACUAUAGCACCGAUGAACAUGAACCUAUCAGCUAAAAAUCCGCAACCAAUUUCGAAGCCGAACCCUAAGGUACCAAAGAGGCGCCACGAAUCCGCAACCACAGCCCUCUACUGUCGCAACCACAGGAUAAGCCCACACUAUUCUGAUUUAAAAAAAUGAGAGAAUCCAUCGAUUACUGGGAACAGUUCAGCUCGGAUUCCUCUAGAGCAAUCCCCAACCCGAAUCACGGGACGGAGCCUACCAUACGACAUCUACGCGUCGGAAUCUGAGAUCGAAGCUCGGAAUCAGAUGAAACCGCUGUAAGAGUCGAGGGGACUCACUCGGCGGGCGAAGACAUCUUCACGCGUCGAUGGAUCCGAUCCGAGGCCUCUUCGACGUUCCCCUGGUCUAGUCUUCUCCUCUCGCGUCCGCUUCCUUGUUCUCGUCGUCGCGUUCGAAGCUUGGGACGAGGAGGAGGGGGGGAAGAAGAGCUGGGGUUGAAACCGAGGUCGGCCGCGCCUGCGGGAACCUUCCGGAGGAGAGAAGCAAACGCACCGUUGAUCUGCGAUCGGAGGGACGAAGAUGGCUGGACACGUAGGUGUGCGCGCUCCGGCGCAGGCGAUUGGUCGUGCUACGCGGCUGGAUGCUGAGGUGGCCUUGGUCGUGCUACGUCGAACUGAGACGGAGUUUGGAUUAGAACGUUGCAGAGCCUGAUCUACAAUAGUUAGCCCUUGUUUAAAUGCACCCAAAAAUCCAAAACUUUACAAGAUUUUCCAUCACAUCGAAUCUUACGACACAUGAAUAGAAGAUUAAAUAUAAAUAAAAAAGAUAAUUAAUUACACAGUUUAUCUGUAAAUCACGAUACAAAUCUUUUAAGCCUAGUUACUCCAUGAUUAGACAAUGUUUGUCAAAUAAAAACGAAAGUGCUACAGUGUCAAAAUCCAAAAUGUUUUUUGAUCUAAACAAGGCCUUACUUCCUCAACGUAUUAAUCAAUUUGCCUUUUCACAGCUGCAUCGAGCAUACCUAAGUUAGAAUCGUUUUUUGGAUUCUCAACAACAAUAACGAGUUGUUUGGUUAUAGAAACGAAAAUGAAAUAGAAUUAAGGUGAAAACUCUUCUUUCAGGCGACGUACUGUUCAUCUUCCUUCAAUUCUCUCGCCAUGGCGUCCGUACCAACUCGCUCCUUGCCUCUGCUGCUGCCCACCGCCCUACCAAGGCGUAGUACCAUGGAGCUUUGAUGAGCCCCUACUUCGCUCGUGAUGGUCUCCCUCUUCCUCUACCCCCCCCCCCCUCUCUAGGCACCGUUUUCUUCUCUAAUUCUGGCGAACCACCAUGACGCCCCAUCCAACCUGGCCUGAGCGCCUCCACUAUCAGCCACCAGAUCCCCUAAACCGUCCUCCCCAUCACACUGUCUGGUUGACCCUCCUCCCCCAAACUUUCCUUUAUAAGCCCACUAGAGUUGUGAAAGAUGAGAGGAAGAGCUCAUCGAAACCCUAACUCUUAGAUCCACGAAGAGCAGGAGGAGGACAUACCUCGUUGGAUCCACCAUGGCCGCUGCCGGAUCCGCUCACCGGAGUUGGGGAGGUCGCCGAAUUCCUUGAUGGGACGUGGGGAGGAGGUCGCUGGGUGUCGAGGGGGAGAGAGAGAGAGAGAGAGGUGCGAUCGCCAAGCGCCAGAGGGAGAGAGGGAGAGAGAGAGAGAGGUGUGUGGUUGCCAAGCGCCAGAGAGAGAGGUGCAGACAUGGAGUAACGCGGGUCGGGGCGUCGCCUGAAGGAUAUCCAUAUCUUAGGCAACUGAGAUACAAGAAACGUAUGGAAUUAAAGCUAUGGACGUUACUGCCAGCCAUAGCAUUUGAAGUACUUUUAUUCCAAUUUACGAUAUUGUAAUACAAACCAAACAACACGUAAACAACAUUUAGAAAAAAGGUUUUCUCUCGGUUGGUAGGCCGUCCCUAAUCAUACUACUAGAUGUCUAGAUAUAAUGCUAAUACAUACAUAUUAUUUAAAACACCAUUUUUUACAAACAUGUCUUCAAAAUAGCAUUUGACGUUUAUAGCAAUCCAUCGCUCUUGGGUACCUAUGCCUAGAGUCCGCAUGACCCAUCAAACUCUCCACUGAGAUGGUCUGACACCUAUCUUGUAGAUAGGGUUCGAUGUUCAUAGAAUCUUCUUCUCUUGCAUUUUCUUCGUGAUCCUUGCGUAUGGCUCGGUUCCAAACUUGUGGCUUGGACUUUGCUUGAGCUUCUAUGUCUUUAACAUGUCUUAUAAUGUCUUGCUUGAGGUAUUGAUCAUCUAGAUCACAACAUCGCCUAAAUCCAAGCCACCUUUGCACCCUAUUGAACUACAAAACAAACACUUAUAAGUUCAUUAGUCCUACUUGGUCAUGUUGAUCGUCAAACACCAAAAUCCAAAUUAAAUGGGCCAAGAGUUCAUUUUCCUUAGAGGCCUAAACCUAAGUUGCCUCAUGGUGGAUUCGAACUUUGUUGUACUAACUCGAGCAAUCCCCGAUCCAAGCCGUCCAUACUUUGCGCCUCCACGACUCUUGCUCGGUUUGACACUCUGUGGUGGUUGUUGUUGCCCUUGCUUUGUUCCACACGAAAUGUUCAUGUUUGCAUGGUUGCAUGGCUUUGCACACACUAGACAUACACUCAUGCUUAGCAGAUCCGCCCUACAUGGCCACCAAUGUGGAGAAGCCCCAUGGAGCAGGCAUGACUGUAGCAAGAAAUAAAAGGUGUACUCUCUCUAUCCCAUAAUAUUUGAUCUUCCAGCAUUCAAAAUUUAUCCCAAAAUUAGUUGUCAUACUCGCUUCACAAUACACCUUUAUCUUUUCCCAUUAUUUCACUAUCUGUAUCUUUCCCCUUCUUGUCUCCUAUGCACUAUACUUUCUUCACUCCUUAGUUCUAGGGCCCAAAGCUAAAAUCAUCUAUUAUGGGAUUUGGGGAGUAAGUCAUAAACCAAAAACAAACUCGUUUGCCUUUUUGUUUCGAGUGAGACAAAGUUAUCUUAAUAAAUAGAGUAUUCCUUAGAGCAUCUCCAAGAGUUUUGUAUUUGGACUUUGCAUUCUUGUAAUUUGCCAAAAAUCAUAAAAAGAGGUAUCCAAUGAUUUUGCAUUUGGAGUUUGCAUUUUGGGUAACUUGGCAAAUGAGAGAGCAAGCUUGGCAUAUAUGCCAAGCCGCGCACGGCUUGGCAAAAGACCGAUCGCGCGUGUCUCCCGGUCCCCCACGCGACCUGGACUUUCUUCGCGCCAUAUAUCGUGAUCGCGAGCAACACCAUCGUCGCCGUCCGCUACAGAACUCACGAGGGAUUCCAUCACGACAGUCGGGCUGGCACCGCGGCGGCACCUGCAACGAGUCUGAUACGAGUCGUCGCGGAGGCACCUGCAUCGAGCGGUGGGGAGCAGGAAGAACUGACGGCACGAACUGUGAGAAAAAUGCGAGAACCGCGGUGACUUUACGCGCGGGAAGACGAUCGCGAGCGCACGCGAAGGAAAAAAAUCACAGCCGGGUCCACUUUGGCUAAUUGUGAACUCAAUUAUGCAAAACCCUUGGAGAUGACCUAUUUUAAACUUUGCAUUUUGUUUUAGGAGUUUGCAAACAACAACAAAUGCUAACUCAAUUAUGCAAAACUCUUGGAGCUCUAUAGCAAACACUACUAAGGUUCCCUUUGAAUCCUGGUGGAUCCUAAAAAUUUAGAUUAAAAAUCUAGUGCAUUCAUUGGAUUUUGUAUGUACGUACUAAAAUUCAGUAGAAUCUAGCAUGUUUGGAUGAUUUUUUUUAAAAUCUAGAACAGAGCCUAAAAACAAGAAUAUCCGUCUUUCAAAUUAAACACCACCUUUAAAGUAGUGACUAGUGAAAUCCGCGCCAUCGCGCGGUCAGGUGAGUAAACACACUUAUGUUAUACACAUGCUGCUAAUGCCCAUAAUGAGACCAUGGUGAUGGAGAUAUACAUGUACACGAUGCGUAUAGUACAUGUGUAUAGGUAUAUGCAUACGGUACAAUGUGCAGGUAAAAAUUACAUAUACUGGUAGUUUACUACGUUAGGUGGAAGGACUUGGUCUAGUUCUUCUAUGCCUUCACAAACAUUUCGAUUCGUAGGGGUCAGCAAAUGAAUCAGUGAUCUGCCAACUGGACGAAUCUGUUCACAUAGCAUGAAGUUGUUAACAGCAUAUGAACCAAUCAAGAGGGGGGCAGAGAAGGGACAAAGAGAUCAAAAAUCAUUGAGUAACAUAAAAUCUGACAUCAUUUGGAGUCCUAUAUGAAAAAUUAGAAAUAUUCAUAAAACAAUGAAUAGGAAAAAAAACUAAGUAGUUCAGCCAAAACAAGGAUAACACAUUGAUCUGAUAGAACAGAGUUUUAGUCCCCUUGGUUUACAUGAUGGAUCUAUGUGAUUAUAACUAAGUUGAGCAUCAACAAAUGUUAUAAUUGAAAAAACUGAUACUUUGACAACCAAACUAAUAUUCUUGAAACAAAAUCAUAAAAGAACAGAUUGCAAAGAAGAAAUGAUAUUGUGCCACUGCAACAUGUACCAGGAGCGAAUAUGCAUAAUAGGCACAUUGUAAAAAAAGUUGCCUUUUUGAAUUGAAUUUGCUUUAAUUUCUAUUCUAUAGAUCUUAGUUGAUGACAAUUAAAUAUAAACCUCACCUAUGGAGAAGCAACAUCCUCAUUGUAGUGGAUCUUGUAAACAGAAAAUCACACCUCUAGACCAAAUUGUGGCCAAUGCAGCAAGCUACAGAACACAAAGUAUGCAUACUGAGGGAAUGGAUGAAGCAACAAACUAUACACCAAAUCGCACAAAAUCACCGGCCUUAUUGAAUGUGCACUAACAACAUGCUCAUCGGGCAAUCAAAGCACAGAUGGAAGCUCCCAUAUUGUUUGCAGGUACCUCACAUUGAUGGCAGACUAGAGAAGCACCGGGAAUUUAGCAUCUUGUAUGGCAAGGGGAAUAGCUUAUCUGCAGUGUCAAAUCAACUAUAUUAGUAAGAGAGGAAAGAAAUAGAGACCCAAAUUCUUGCAGCCUAAGUCAUCUGUUAGAACCAACACAAUGAAAAGGAGGAGAGAGCACGUGGGGACUGACCAAGCAGGAACAGAAAGAGCAACGCAAAUACAUCUGAAGAAAAACAGAUAGAUCUAAAAUAUUCGAGAUAGAAGAAGAAGACGAAGCUACUGCAUGAAAAAAUGAGGACAACAGCCAUUGGGACAUUCAUUUUUUUACCUAUUAUGAAGUAUCCUUAUUAUUGUUAAUCAUCUAGCAACUAUAUGUAUCUUUGUUCAAUAAACAUGGAUAGACAAAUCUUCGCCAUAAAUUAGUAACAAAGAGAUUCCAUGUGCAGAUUGGGAGGACACCUGUUGUUUCUUUGGUUUGCUGAAUUUGAGCAUCAGGCAGCAAUUAACAAUGCUCUUCAAUUUCUCACCAUGAAGGUCAUUUAAAUUGCAGAAAAUAGGAAUCUUGGAUAUCUCGAUGCAAACAACAAGAUCAGCAACACCACCCCUAUCUCCAGCAGUCAUACUGUCAACCUCAUCCAUGAUUAGCAGAGCAUCAGGUUUUUUGACCUUUGUGGCCACUUAAUAUAUAAUAAUCAUCAAAAUACAAAGUCAAAAAAAACAUUCCUCAUGCUGCUACACCAACAGAUUGUGACUAUAAUUCAGAGUUGUGUUGCUAAUAAGGUCCUAGCUGAAGAAAAUGAAAUAUAAAUAACAUAUUAACAUGAGAAAUACAAAAUUAGAAACAAAAAAAAUGACAGUGACCUGAUUCUCCAGAGUAUGGGAGCAUAAUAGCAGGACGAAGCCAACAUCCAUAAUAUGGACAGAACAGUCAUGUCUCAGAUAAUCAGAUCCAAUUAACUAUGAGCAUGAAAAAAUUAUGUAUUAAGUUAUGUUAAGCAGGAUUCCAUGACAUGGCACCCAACUAUAGAAUCAUUAGGAGUCAGAAGUUCCAGUCCACCUCGUUUUUCAUCUUUAGCUGGAGUAUUGGUUGUCUGCUUGUACAGGAUCCUUUGCAAGCUUAAAUUUUUGGAUCAAAUCAAAUAAACCAUCUAUAGUGAAAAAAUGGGACAAUGCAAGUAAGUGCAAGUACGCAUGAAAAUCAAAUAAACCACAUAAUACACGGUGCAGCCAUAACCAAACUUUACUUUCCUUCCAUAACAACUGAAAAAACUACCUAACAGAGACAUGCACAUUGCCUAAUUUGACUUACACUGAAUAUUUUCGGUAUUGAAUUAGACGUUCUUAACAACUAAUUAUGUAGAGAUUUUUUUUAUUCCCCCCCGGCUACUUGAUGGCAACCGGAUUAAGGUGGACAGCCAUCUCCUAUUGGUCAUUUUGUGCAAAAAUAAUUCCAAUUAGGCCAUUGUACUAUCUAUUGCAUAAAUUUAUAUUUUCUAAGUAAAGUUGAAUCUCUAAAAUUCUCUGUAAUCGCAGUAAUUAAUGGAUCUCUAAAAUUGUCUGUAAUCAUAGUAAUGUACCUCAACCAAACUGUGGAAUCAGCCAUAGGAAAUAACAGGAAUUAUACACAUGUUGUCUUGAACAUGCGGAAACUCCCUUCCUUUGUACCUGAACAAUCAUAGACGAGGAAGGGAAGAAAACAAGCUGAAAUCAAUCCUGAAAAACAAUAACGAAACCAGAUCAGAGGAGGUAACAAGCAUGUAACCAAUUUGUAGCACGCGUAUAGGUAGCUAGGGUUUUGGCAACCAGAGGAGCGCCCGUUCCUCGGCAGGAGAAGGCAUUGAGGAUCCCACGCGAAUGAUGAGGGAGAGGGAGGUGGCCACCAGGCCCCAACCGCACUAGCGCUCUGCCCGCAGGGGCCGCCGUCUCGUCACGCCUGCCGCCGCCUCGCGCCUGCUGCCGCCUCGUGCGAGAAGGGUAGAUAGAGGAAGGGGAGGGAGAAACAGAGAUGAGAGGCAGCCGAGGGAGGGCGGCGGAGGAGGAGGGCCGACGCCGACGCCGACGCCGGCUUGUGCCGCGCCAUCGCCCUGCCCGCAUCGGAGAUGAGGAGAGCGAGAUAGAGCGAAGAGAGAGAGGAGGGGGUGAGAAGCUAGAUGGAGAAGCGGAAGUUGGGAUAUAUAUUUGCCUCUGUAGAUUCGGAAGAGAAGCAGAGGAAGCAGGGGGGAAACGGAAGAAUCCAACGAGAAUCAGCAGAAUUGGCUUCCGAUAGAAUCCGCUUCAAAAAAUCGUGGCCAUCCGAUGAGAGAUCUGAUGGCCAGGAGAAUUCCGGGCGACAUGGCCCCUGCUUCUCUAACUGGAAUCUGUCGGAGAAUUUAGGGGAGAAUUAUACAGUGAUGAGUAGGAUCAUAAUACUAGGUCCUUUUACGGAAAAGAGAAAAACAAGACUAUAGUAGAAAGCCCAACACGAGGGCUGCGCUGCUGUACUCCAUGCUUGUGUUAACUGAAAGAUUCGGUUAUCCGUUGUGUGCUAACGUGUUAUUGUAUAUUCAGGUAAUUAGUAUUUUACCUUUUUCAUGUUUUAUUGUUUUGAUUGAUUGAUUUUGUUACUCCAUUUGUCCAAGUAGUAUAAAACAUUACUAGUAUGGAGUAUUAUUUAUGAUAUUUAGGUAAUUAGCGUUUUUGUUCUUUUUAAGUGUUGGCUUCGUACCGCUUUUGUUUGGUUCGAUAAUGCAUUUGAGGAGAGGCUCGCCCUCGGUUCCUCCUGUUUUUCGGGGAAAAAAACGGAUAUCAUACAAGUUUGAUGAUAUUCGUUAUGAAAUGUACCUUUUACAUCUGAAACACAUAUAACUGCCAUUAUUUAAAUUAGAUGUAAGAUUACAUUUGUGUUUUUUUUUUGACAGAGAUAGAACACGUUUUCAAUUGAUUGAUUUGGAUUUUCUUGCUGAGCGUUUGCAGCUGAGGCUGUUGGUCAAAGAGAAUGGAUCUAGUACGUGUACAGUGCGCCACGGCAGGGUGGCUGACUGGCUGGUUGAUCGAUGGUGACUCACACGUGACGGGAGUGACGCGACCAAAUAUUUUCGGUUUUGAUUUGGCCGUCCUUGUUGUCCCAGCCCUUGCCUUUGCCAUGUGCCGGUGUCAUGCUGCCAUGCCGGCCGGUGCUUCUUGAUCUUAUCCCAACCGCGCGUGCCGUCCGGACCACGGCUGCCGCGGGCACCAGCAAAACUGGGCGGUCCUCCGAGAAAACCACGUCCCCGCGCGCAACACCAGCGGCCGUUCGCUGAUUCCGAUUCCGCCGCGCGGAGGGAGAGCGCCAGAGCGGCCCGUGCCCCGUGAGCCGGUCCGCGCCUCCUUCCCGUCUGCUAGACCGAACCCAACGAGAUGAUGCUAAAAGACGCCCAGAAGAUUUGUUGAACCGUGCAUCAAAGUCAAACUUAUCAUACCACGCUUUCAAGUACUCCAAUGAUUAGUAGUAGUAGUAGUACUACUGUAUUAGCCUUCGUAAGGCCCAAGUAAGGUGAUAGGGGGGCUCUGACCUGUGACUGUGUGUGCGACCACAAAAGGCCGACCUCCAGCGUCCGUAAGCCCCAAGUAACAUGGAAUCCCCUCCACUUCCUUUGAAUUCAACACAAGACUGCAAAAUGGAGAGAGAGAGAGAGAGAGAGAGAGAGAGAGAGAGAGAGAGAGAGAUUUGAUUUGAUCUCAUUCAUUUUGGCUACCCCUUUUUCAUUCGUAACCCAUUCAAGAAAAAAACAAAAGGUUGUGGGCACCUAGAUCUUGCUUAAAAUUCUCGCUUAAUGAAUUUCACUCAAGUUCCUUCUUCUAUUUGGAAACCGUAUGCGGUCUCGGUGCCUGCCGCCCUGCCCAAUGAGACAUGGAACAGCAUCGUACCGACUCACAGGCUACAAUAGAAAUAUUUUUUUUUUAUUUAGGCCUUGUUUGGAUCUUGGCCGCUAAAAAAUUUGUGUUUGCAAGCUAUUUAUAUUUAUUUUCGAGUCGUACUUUAGCACGUUUUUCAUUAAGCAAAAUAAAAGACUUUGCUACCGUUAGUGUGAAGUUAUGGUAAUCCAAGGAUUACCGAAAGUCACAUCCAACACCCACACCACACUCGCAUGUGGUUGUAAUUACACCAAAACUACUGAGCGACAGAGGUGUUGGUGGCGAGGGAUUAAUUAUCCUCAUCCAACCCGAUCAUAUCCAAGUUCAUGGGCGAUCGGGUCACUCCCCACCCAAAAGAAGCUGCAACGCCUCGUGUGUGGAGUCUGACAGCAGCGCCUUGAAGGUAGCUUUGUACUUGCGCACCGUUUCAGAGUCAACAUUGGAUGAUGGUGCCACUAUUCCCAAUUUCUCCAUGAGAACACACUGAGCCUGUUUGCAAGCCAUUUAUGUUGGGCGCAACACCAUUAAAACUCAGCAUGUAAGAUCGUUUGACAUUACAAUUAGCCUUUUUCUUCUCUUGUGAAGCUUGCUCUUCUCCUGUUUUUGGCUUGCAACAUCAAAUCAAAUCAAACUGAACCAUACCAAAGCAUCUAGUAAUCCAAGCACACCGUGACUGAUGAUACAAUGCUACUCCGGGCCAAAAUCAAAAGGCAAAAGAAGCAGCUCCUCCUAUCUCUUUUUCUCUGCGUACGUUGAUUCGAUGACCAAAAUAAAAGAUCAGCAAAUUUUAUCUUCUGCUACUGCGCGUUGCUGAGUGAGGUGGGUUUUAUCAGCACCAUCUUGACCGGGCAACAGCCCCCGGUCUUGUUUAGAUGCGAAAAAAUUUUGGAUUUCGCUAUCGUAGCACUUUCGUUUGUAUGUGGUAAAUAUUGUCCAAUUAUAGACUAACUAGGAUUAAAAGAUUCGUCUCGCAAUUUAUCGGUAAACUGUGCAAUUACUUUUUAUUUUUGUUUAUAUUUAAUGUUUUAUGCAUGUGCCUAAAAAUUGACGGAGAAUCUUAAAAACUUUUUAAUUUUUAAGAUGAGGAUAAAUCGAUCAUUUCCCUUCUCGCCUCCCUCCCUCGCUCCUGCUUUCUCCGUCUAUAAAUAAAGCCCUCCCAAAACCCGAUCCCAAAAACAAGCAGCGCUCCAUCCAGUUUCCAUUAGCAAUCGCAUUCAUCCUCUUUUCGCAGCAGCAGCAGCACCCAGCAAUCAACCAAACAAAGCGGCGAUGGACGGCGGCAAGAAGAGCCGGAACCCGCACAAGGUCCCCGCGGACUACCGCAGCGACCGCAAGUCGGCCUCCGGGAUGAGCGGCGACCCCAAGAAGGGCGGCCGCGGCGGCAAGUUCACCUGGGAGGGCGCCGACGGCUACGCCGACGAGGACGUCGGCCUCGUCUCCUCCAAGAACGCCAACACCAACCGCGCCACCAAGGGUGGAGGCGCCGCCGGCGCCAAGAAGGACGACGACGACGACGAGUAGGCCGGCCUCUCGCCGCCUCGGCCCGCCCUCCCCCCGUCGAUCGCCAGCAAGAACCAACAAGUCCUUCCUACCUAGUUUGAUUCCAGUCUCAGUUCGAUUCUCGUGUUGAAUAAAUCAUGAUCGUGUGGGUUUAGGUGUCGUGCUCGCGAGUAACACUGAGCACAGAGCCACUGGGCGAUCCACGGGCCGUGCAGGGUCUGUAGAUAUCAUCUCAUCUGUUCUUCGCUAGUACUUUGCUGAUUUGCUCAUGUUCAGGGGCCUGGCCUCGAUUCGGUUCUUGGAUGAACUGAUUUAUUAGUUUCCGGAAUCGAUGCUUUCAUUCAGUUAGCGUCUCCUGCUCUCCACUGCUCAGUCCCUGCUCUGGACUGCGAAAAUUGAGGACAGAUUUCUCUUAUGCUUUCAGAUGAGGUGCAAUUACGAAAGCAAAAUUAGCAUUUCGCAACUAACUCGCAGAUCCGUAACUGAAGAAGACAGCAAGGAAGGAAUUGGGAGGAUUGCAAUGUUUUUGUUGGUUUCUUUGUUUGUCAGGGAUUCCAAUGUUUAUCUUUGUAGGCGAUAACGCUGACUCAGCAAGUUCCCCAGCCAUCUUUCUUGAUGGCAAGACUAUUGUCUGUUGUCACCCGUGCCAUGCCUACAUGUUCCUAGCAACCAGUGUGCAGACAUUUCGCUGUAGCGGUACUGAUCAAAUGGAGCAAACGACGCAUCUACUGAAUUAUUUUAACAAAAACAGAGUCUGCUUAAUCUCUGUCGCAGUUCCAUGAUAUACCAAAGCGAAAGGGUUGGUUCCAUUGUACUCUGAGCAGUUUAGUGACCAUGCCGUUCUCUGCAUUUGGUCAUGCACAGUUGCAGAGUCGCUCUCGCGAUCGUUGUCCACCACUAGGGUAAGAAAGUCAUUCAUCCUCACUAUUUUUUAACCUUUUUUGACACAGGAGAUGGCUCCCCAUUGAAAUUGAAAUAUAUCUAAAGGUGACCUGUCGUAUGCCUCUAUCCAGUAUCCACAAUACAGCAGUUCUAAUCAUGUUGUAUGGAUAACCUGGGAAAAAAAAUCCGGUAUGGUAUGGCCUCAGAUGACUCUGGCUCCUUGCUAUUUUUCUUGAUGGAGCUGGUUGCGUGAUAGAGCUGGAGCAAAACCGAAUGGGUUUGUUUGGCAGGACUCCAACGUUUUUAUGGUGAAACCAUUUUUAAGUAAAAAGUAGAGAAACUAGAGUCGUUUUGGCAAAGUCACAAAUUAUAGCUUCUCCAAAACGGCUCUGGCUCGUCUAGAAGAUCCUCUCGUGAUGAGCCAUACCAAACACCACUUAAGUUUCUUUUGGUUCAACGAAUCAUGAACAACUAAAAUGUACCAAUACAGUUUAAGGCAAGCACGCAGCAUGAAAACUACAUGAAACAAAGGUCAUACUAAGAACUUUAACUAUCUUUAUAGCUGUAUAUGUUUAUGUUCGUACCUACUUUCUGGAUACAAAGAGAUUUGCGGUCUAGUGACGUUACUCUAAAAUAUUUACUCAUGGUGGGGUAACCUCUUCUAUUCUAGCUUAUACUUAGGGACUGUUUGUUUGGCUCAUACAUGCUCGACUUUGGCUCCUUCUUCCUUGUUACUCCCUAUGCAGUCCUAUAGCAAUGAAGAUAAAAGCUUCAGCUCCGGCAUAGCCUAGAAGAGAGCCAGGAUACCUGCGGUUUGGAGGCUUCUCCCGGCUCCGCUACGAUAGCGGAGCUGGAGCCACACCAAACACAACCUUACUUUGGCUAUACUCUCUCGAUGUGUGUGUGUGUGUGUGUGAGAGAGAGAGAGAGCGCGCGUGGUUGUGAUGGGUUGGGGGGAGCUUAAAAAAACUAUGAAUGAUCUUUUACAUGCAUAUGCGUAACUCCACAUGAUUUUUUAGUUGCGCUUAUAUUCAUCACUAUAUAACUUGGGUUAAACUCUCCAUUGUGUCUUUCCAUUAAUGGACUCAUAAGUUUUAGAAUGGAAUGUGAUUUUGAAAAAUUCCUAUCUCUAUGUGAGAUAUUUAGGUUUUGUGUAAACUCCAUAGACAUACAUAAGAGAAAUGCUAUCCCCACUGUGACUAAGACAAGACUUCUGUCAAAAGUUUAUUGCGAUCUUUUUGUCCAAAUAACAAUUAAGGUGAAGCGGAUCUUUAUGAUAAAUAUAUCUAUUUUGCAAGCUCAUUAUUUCAGGUAGUCCCUACAAAAAAUCAAAUUAAUGACUUAUACAAUGUUUGAAUUAUCAAUGUAAACACUGCAUAGUUAGUUCUCAUCUUUUAGAGACUAAGUGUAAUAGGAGCAUCCAUUAGCAAAUGGAUCACCAUGAGAUGAUCAUCUAAUGGCAUAAUCAAAUCAUAUGGUUCUAUUUCUCAACCAUUAUGACUUGCUCUUAAAGAACCAAGAUCGAAAGAACUGAAAAAGUAGGUCAUUCACAACCACUAACCAAGGAUUCCUGAAAAAGUUGAUGAUUGGUAGUUCUUUCUUGAAAUAUAUUUUGAAAAAAGAACAAAUCCAGUCUUAUACAUAUGCGAGGUAGGUAAUAAAAAAAUAUGAUUUUUCUUUCUUUUAUUAGUUAGGAGACGUGUAAGAAGAAAGUCCCAUGUACAUUUUUGCAUAAGGGAAAUAAAAGAAGGGUCCUCUUUUCGACUCUAACUCCUUUGGUCUAGUGGUUGCUUUUCAUUUUGUUACUUUAAAAAUAGUUACUUUUCAACUCUGUCUUUAAUAAAGGAAUGUAUAAGUCAAGGGGAUAACCUCGAUACACACCAACACAGAAUGAACUUCCCCUUCCACAUGUAAAUUUGCAAAUAUGUAGAUCAUUGCAAUAGAACAUACAUCUUGUUGUGAGAUUAUCUACAUGACUUGUGACUCAUAUAUUUGUGCAACAAUCGUGUCAUCUGUGUUCAAAACUUCUAAUACGUCUUGAAACUAGGCUACAUAGCAUGAUUAGACGUGCAUUGUUUGAAACAUGGUGUCAUGUGUUGAUUUGGAUUUUGUUGGCUUUGGAUGUGGAUGACAAGAUGGAGAUGCAGGUGGGAGAGUGGUGUGGUAGGAUGGACCAUCACUACUACGCGUUUCAUUUUGCGUUGCGUUUCACAUAUGGGCUCUGAGGCGGGGGUUACUUUUGUCCGCUACGGUUAUUUAGGGACGGCUCAAGCCGGCUAGCCCACAGGACAACCGCUAUGGUUACUAGUUAACCGUGGCGGGAAAUGUUAACUAACCACCACGAUUAAUAUCUAUUAACAUACAUGAAUGAUGUGAAUGAUGUGUGUUUAUGAAACAAUGAUGUGAUCACUAAUAUUGGUUCGUUUAACAUGCAUGAAUGUAUAUAUAUAUAUGUUUGUCAUCUAUUUGCUGCUAUAUCUAUAUUUCCAUUAGCAAAAUUUAAAUUCAAAUUUGAAAAAAGAUUUUUUAAAUGUAAAACAUUAACAAAGGCGGGCAAUUAAAAACAACCGCCUCCAUUAAAACUUUAAUCAAAGUGGGCUACAAUAACAACCGUCUUGUUUAAUCAUUUAACCGUGGCGGACUACUUAAGACAACUGCUACAGUUAAUAUGUAUUUACCGUGAUGGUUGCCUUAUGUUGUCCACCACGGUUAAAGGAUUAACCCAGGCGGUUCCAAGAACCACCUUGGUUAAGCCACAACGAUUAACCGUGACAUUAUGACCAUGGCGGUUGUAAAAACUGCCACGGUUAAGUUUUUCUGUAGUAGUGCAUCCCAUAGAAAAGGCAGGGAUAGAAUUUUUCUCCUUUGAAUAUAAAAGUAUAGAUAUAUCUGUCUCACUCUCUCCCUAACUCUCACAUAUCUUCUUCUGUCCCUCAAUCUGUCUCCCUCACUCACACUCACAGAUCGAUCUGUCUCCCUCACUCACACUCACAGAUGGCAAACACUAGGGCCGGUAGAUUGCAUUCUACUUUAGAGUUUGGAGCUGCAAAAUCUUCAUUGGUGCCGAGAGUUUGAGCCCUGGUAGAUUGUAUUAUCUUCCAACAUGACGUCGCUUAUAGUUUGGAGAUUCAUAACCUUCACAGGUACUACACCGCUCAUGUUGUGGCGUAGCCACCUGAGCCCAUGUUGUGCGAUCGUUUGGCUUGCCUUCAUCUUUCUUAACCUCACAAUAAGUGCACACAAUAUAGCCACCAAUUUAAUAAACUCAAUAUCCAAUCAAUUUUCUAAAGGGAGCAUUUACUGCACCUAGCAUCUAUUUUGAGCCUGAUAAUUUAUUUAAAUUACUCCCUCUGUCCUGAAAUAUAGUGUAUUGUGAUUUCUAAAAUUUGUAUUGAAAUAUAGUGCAUUCUAUAUGUAUCAAUGCCUAGAUUGGUAAAGUUUAUUAAAAAGAAAACUGUAAUUUAAGGAGAAACACCUUAAUUGGUAUUAAUCUAUGGGUACAUAUGUCACUUAAGGAUCCUCUCGAAUUAUCUUAAAAUAUUUAGAAUGCACUGUAUCACAGGACGAAUGGAGUAUGAAAUAGUUGAAAUAAGGUUAGGCCAAGUCUAGUUAAAUCUAAUAAAGAUACCUAUCUCAUCAUCAUUGUAUGAAGUGUUCUAAGCGAUUGCACAACAAAUUGUAUGUCAUGUUGUAUGACACGGCUAUGUGUUUGUAUGUAGCCAUGGGUAAAUUUAAUUAACGAAUGAUCUGCUUUUUUCGUUGCCUAGUUGGAGUGAGUGAAGUUGGGCCAGGCUUUUAUAAUACUGAGGUGAGCUAUCAGAACGUCAGUGGCAGAGCUGGCCAGGCGUGGCAUCUUGGCCCAAUACAUGGGGGCCUGCUAGCGUGAAUAGUCCGAUGGCACUUCCCGCUCAAUUGAUUCUCGCGCGUUGGUUAGGCCCGCUCGCCCAAUUGAUCCCGUAUAGUAGCGCGCAGGGGCAGAUAGCAGGCGUUUGGUGCAAUCUGCCCACCUGCAGGGUCCACCUCAUUCAUGUUGUUUUCUACUUUCAUUAAUAAACUUUUAAAAGUUAUAACUCUUAAACCAAAUAUUUAAGUUAAAAUUCGAUUACACCAUUAGAUUUCUUGUAAUAAAUCCUUCAAAACAAGAUCUCACAUAAUCAUAACUCUUAAAUUAACCAUUCAAAUUGAAAUCCGAUUACACCAUCAGGUUUCUUGUAAUAAAAUCAUUCAAAACAGGAUCUCACAUAGAUAUAUUUGGAUAAAAUUUAUUAACACCCAUUUAUUUUAUAAACAUAGAAUAUUUCUUUUAUUGAGUAGAGACAAUAUUCAAGGUUCAUAGAACAAUGUUCUAUUUUUGUAAGAAAAAUAUUCUCAGUUUAGAACAAUAGUGUUCCAAUUUUAGGUUCAUAAAAUUUAUAUUAUAAUACAUAUGAAAACAAAUAAAUACAUAACAUAAACAGAAAAUAAUAUAAUCUAGAGCAAAACAUAAAGAAAAAAAAUAAAACACGUAAUAAAAAAUUAAAAGAACAUCAAGGAAUAUUUUUGAAACGUCCUAAAAUAUACUAUAGAAUAUGUACUAAGUAAAUGUUGGCGUAUCGUAGCAUCACUAAGAAUAAGUAAGACCCAAUCAUCAGUGGCUAGGUUGUCACCCCAGUUUGACACUUGAAAUGCACGGGUGGUAAUGAAUAUGCAAUGCUCUCUUGAAAUAAAUAUAGAAUAAAGUAUCCGUAAACGCACAUAUGUAACACCAUUGUAGCAUUUCACCAAGACACCAGGUAUUGUUAUUUAUAAUUUUACCUAUGGGAAGGAUAGCCAAGGAAUUAAAUAUCACUUGCAUGUAUUCUCAAGAGAUAAACCAUAUCUUUAUCUAUCUAUCUAUCUCAUGUAGGGAUGAGACAUAUGAUAAAGAUAUAUAUAAUGAAUAAUAAUGAUAAACCAUACAUAAAAUGAUAAAUGUAUCUCUAUAGUACUCCACUCUAUAGCACUAGCAUGAAGUACGAAGAUCUACGAGGAUAAUUCCUAUGUAAUUCUAAACUAUAUAAUCAAAGCAUAUCAUGAUUAGUGCAAUUAUACUAGGCAAUCAUAGUAAGACAAGGUUAUAUCUACAUAAGGACAUUACUAAAGAAAAUUAGGAACAGAGUAAUCAUUUCCUUGUAACCAGGGUCUACAGGAAGAACUACAUUCGGGAGGUGGACUACAAAGGACCCAAUAGGUUUGUCGUACCUACGAUCUACCACACGGCCCGAAAUAUUGGGUGCAAACGUAGGCAAACACGGUGUAGGCACCACACCUACACAAUGUCGACCACCCACCAAGGAUAUCAAUGAGCGAGCGCUAUACGAACAUAUGUUUGAAUAUAAAUCUAAUCUUUAGCUAACCAAGCAUAUAAUCAUAAUAGACUAAGAACAAUAUAAUUGAGAAUAUAGGCAAAUAGAGCAAAGUCAUAUCCAACAUAAUAGAAUAGAGCAAGCAUAUAAUGAGAUAAAUAAUGUAUACAAUGAUGAACUAGAAUAAAGAGAAAGAUUACAACCAAGUAUCUCUUUGAUGGAUCCAGAAACCAACCAAGGUUUGCCUCCUACUAGAUCUAUCCUAAGUAGCUAUGCUUCUAAACUAUGGAUCUCUAGAGAGACGUUGGCUUGAUUGUAUGGAAUGACUCCUUCUCUUCUAAUGAAUGAGAAUGAUCUGAAACCCUGGGGUCUGGCCCUCCUUAUAUAGCCUGGUGGAAUGAUUUAUAGCCAUUAGAUCAAACCGACUUAAUUGGACGAAGAUUAUUAAUCCUUAGAGGCGGUUUAGUCCAUGAUCCACGCCCUCAGCCCUAAUUGGCUAAGGAGGGGUGGGCGCCUUGGGCCCCUAGGGAGGGCGCCCUGGCCCUAUGCCAGGUGGGCAGGCUCAUCUCAUAGGUUGGGGUAGGUUGUGCGACGGUCAGGGGUCCAUAGCCCAAGGGGCCCAUGAGUGUACCCAUCUAUAGUACAUGUAUUCAGGUUCAUACGGUCCAUUUGAUUAUCCUGCAACUAGUCCGCUUAGCCAACGCUUCGUAUUCACGCGUGAUGUAUCCCAUGGAGUCGCGACUUCCUUGCCCUGGACGCAGUGAUGGCGUGCUGCUGUGCCGCUGCAGGCUUGCAGCCAUUCAGGCAUUCCCUAGGCCUGGAGUUCCCCUAUCGAUCAAUCUCCAAACCGUCAACCGUAAGACUAUGAUCACAUAUUGAGUUCCCCGUUCAGUAGUCUUGACCUUGACACAACGGAUGUCAGACUGAAGAAGAUAACUUGGUUAGGGCCUAACUGUUUGCACUAAUUUCUGUUCAGUUAGGGCCUAACUGCUUGCACUAAUUUUCUAAAUUUCUAAUUCAAUAUAUUUUUUGAACAUCUUAGAUGUUGUCUAAGAAACAUGUUAAAAACAAAAUUUAGAUGCAUAUUGCUAAUGAUGUCCGAAGGCGGUUUAUAGGUUUAUUUGUGGUAAUCAUAAUAUUUAUUUUACCAUUCUUUUAGCUUCUUUGGUGUACUGCAUUAUUUUUUAUGAACUAAUUACAUGUUGCAAGGAAACCCAUAUAAAUAGUAUUAUAUAUUUCAAUCGUCAUACUAAAACAUUAGAUUGUUGGGUCUAAAAAUGUUGAGACAACUCUAUAGGUGGGUGUCCCCUUGGCUAGGGGUCUUCCCGACUCUUCUAGACUCUUCUUCUUCGUAUGUGGCGUUGAUAUAUCGUUUCUCUCUAUGUAAUCAUGACAUGUGGCCAUGUGGCCUCUCUUGGUCAUUUCCUGAUCACCCCCUACAAAAAUAGAUAUUCAUCAAAACCUGUGAAAUUCUGAUAGAUAAAACCUUAUUCUAUUGUUGGUGAUUGUUUUAUGCCUUUCUUCAUUCUCUUGUUGAUAUAAAAAAGAUACUUAUCUACCGUCAAUAGUAAACAUAACUAAAUACACCAACAUCACAAAACACAUUAUAGAAUAUCGUAUAUAUUACAUGAACAUCACUAAAAACAUCAUAGAACACCAUAUGUGUACUAGGUGAAUAUCAUAAAAUACACUAUAGAACAUCACUAACUACAUUAUAAAAUAUCACAUACAUAUUACGUGGACAUCACUAAAUACAUCAUAAAAUAUUACUAAAUAUAUUAUAGAACAUCAUAUAUAUGUUACACAAACAUCACUAAAUACGUCAUAGAACAUCACAUGUAUACUGAGUGAACAUCGCAAAAAACAUCGCAUAUAUAUUAGAUGAACAUAACUAAAUAUAUCAUAAAACAUCACAUGUAUACUGUGUGAACAUCACAAAAAGCACUAUAAAACAUCUCAUUUAUAUUACGCGGACAUCACAAAAAUAUAUCAUAGAACAUUACAUGUAUACACGUCAACAUAAAAAAUAUCUCAUAUAUAGCACAUGAAUAAAAAAAAUACAUAGAACAUUACCAUAUGAAUAUCACAAAAAACAACAUAAAAACAUCGUAAAAAAUAAAUAUGAAAAAAAUAAAAGUAAGUUAAAAAGUAUAAGAAUAUAUAAACAUAAAAUAAUAAUAAACACUUAAAACAUAAAAAUUUAAAAAAUGAUGAAAAAAAGGAAAAAGAAAAAAGAACACUUAAAACACAAAAAAUAGAUGCACAAAAAGGAAAAUGAAAAGAAAAUAUAAAAGAAAGAAAAAUAAAAAAUUAAAGAAAGAUAAUAAUAAGAAAAAUAGAAGUAAAAGGAAUAAAAAGAAAAGAAACAUAAAAAUUUAAAAUAUUAAAUAUACAUAAAACAUAGAAAUAAAAUUAAAAUAGAAAAUGAAGCACAAAAAGAAGAAAGAAAAGAAAAAAGAAAAGAAAAGAAAAAGAAGUGAAGAGAUAAUAAUAACUUACUUGCUUCCAUACUUCUGUACGUGUUGUAUUGUGCGGCUUCCUUCAGGAGCACGCGCCUCGUUUCCUGCAUGUAGAAACCGUGUGCUGUUCAACUGAUGCUUUUGUUGAGAUUAAUUAGGAUUGUUAAUUAAUGAUCAAUUAAUGUAAAUCUCAUAAUUAGCAUGUGCUAAUUACAGAACUAUAGGACCAACAGGCACCAUAUCCUUUGAGUCGCUGACAAAGGAAACUACCUCGUGUAUAUAUACAAGAUUUGUUCAUCAAUACAGGAUAUUCGUCAUUUGCAUGGUUAAUCAAUCCACUUUCACACAACACGUUAUCACGCACUUGGCUCUGCCAACGCCGACGCUAGUAGGCCAGAAAGAGGCGAGGAAAGGAAGUUUGCCGGGAAACUUGUUGGAACUUUGUCGGAGUCGCUGCUUACCACCAAAGGUAGAAGAUGUCAACCCCUGCCCUUUCCAUGAACUCGAUGGUCGGCACCAUCAAAGACGGUCUGACGCUGUUGAAGCCACCAUCAUCGGUGGCAGCGAGCACCCUAGAGGCAUUCGUCGUUUUAGCCUCCAAGGUGUUGUCCGUUGUGCCCUCCACGACAUUUUCACGACCACCGCACUCCCCUCCGUCGCCACAAUGGAGUGCGUCAUGGUCGUGGACGUCCAUUGUGGCCACGCCUGGUGCCUCGCUCAUCGGGGCUGCAGUUUGCCCCCGGCGUGUGCCCGUCGCACGGCUCUGCCAUGUUCAUCCGCCCCGUAACAUUGUCGAUGCCGCUGGUGUCACCGAGGCCGCCGAUGGAGUUCUUGCCGCCCCCACCACCACUGCCAUCGACCGGGCUCAAGGUGCCAUGGAACGAGGGUGGUGACUCUAUAUGGCUGGACAGUGUGGCACCCCCUUCUUGACCAACCGCAGCAACAACACAGGGGCAUGGCCUCCUGGCUUCGCCUAUGACCUUGACACCGUCCUCCCGUCGGUGCUUCGCACCACCUUUGAAUCGCGGCUGCUCCUACGCCGAUGUCGUAGCUGCCCGCCCCGUCUAGCGCCAGGGUGCCCUCCCGAACAGAGACGCCCUCGAAGUCGGGUUUGCCUCUUCCUCGAACGAGGGAGAGGCGGCUCCCCGCCUCUAAGCAGCCUCAUAUGGGUAGGUGGGGGUAGCCCUAUCAUUCUUGGCUCGCAGCAACGACCCUUGCGACCAGAGCUUGCCAGGGAUGGGUGGUGCCCACCCUGCUCGCUGUUGGGUAUUCUUAACAUCAUUACCAAAAGUAGACUUAGUUUUCUAAUUCUGUUAACGGUGCCAAAAAUGCCAAACCUAUCUCUCAUGCCACUUAAGCCAAGUUGUCAUCCCCAGCAUGACAUGAGAGACGCGGUAUUGAAAUAUGCAAUUGCUCAUCUAAAUAAAUAAUGAAUGGGAUCUGCAAGCGCACAGAUUAAUACCGAUGUAGCAUUUUAACCGGGAAGUAUUCCAGGUAUCGUUAUUUAUAUUUUUACCACUGGAAACGGAUUAGUAAUCAUCAAUGUUGAUUAUAGAAUGGAAUAUGAGUUUGAGUAUCUAUCAUUGCAUGUAUAAUUGAGAACAGUUAUCUAACUCUUUCAUAUAGGGAUAAGUGUCACAUAAAAGAUAUAUGAAGUAAUGAAUAGUGACAAAGAUAAUUAAUAUGAUCAGCAUAACUUAGCCACAUAAUAAAUAUGAUAAGCACCUCAAUUAGAUACUCUAGCAAGUCAUUAGCAUGGAAUUAGAACGAACUAUAAGAAUAUUUCCUAAGUUAUUUUUAAUUAUAUAGUCUAGCAUUAUCAUAGUUAGUGCAAUUAUACUUAGCAAUCAUUGUGAGACAAUGAUUACGCCCAUGCAUAGUGAUAUUAUCAAGGAAUAUGAGAAACAUAGCAAUCACUCCCCUGUAAUAAUAUUGCUCUGCCAGCCCAAUACACGAGAGGGAGACUAUAUAAGAAAUCAAUGAAGCUGUCACUAUCACGAACUACCCCACGAUCUGGCAUAUUGGGUACAAUCGCAGAUAAAUACGGUAUAAGCACCACGCCUACACAAUACCUAUCAUUUACCCAUGGAUCCGAUAGAUAAAAGCUAUAUGAUCCUAAACAUGUAUAUAAUUCCAAUCUAACUAAGCCAAGUAUAUAACUAUGAUAAACUAAGAACAAUAUAAUCUUGAAUAUAAACAAGUAGAAUAAAGUCAUAAGCAAUAUAUUAAAGUAGAACAAAGUCAUAUUCAUAAUAUUGAAGAACAAAGAUGAACAAUUAAAGAAUUACAAAGAAUCCUCUUGACAGAUCCGGAAACCAAUCGAAGAUUGACUCUUUCUAGUUCGAAUCCUAUGUAGCUAUGCUAAUCUAGAUGUCUAAUUGAUGUGGUGGCUCUAGGCUUGAUCAGAGGUUUCUUCUCCCUUGAUGAAUAAUGAAUUAGGGUUGAGAGCUCUCUCCCUCCAGGGGCCAGGGGGUCUGGUUUUAUAGUCCCUCCAAGUGAAUAUGGGCCGUCGGAUCAAACCGACAUUGAUUGAACGGUUAUCCUUGAUCCUUUAGGUCGGUGGAGCGUAAUCCCGAAAGAGUGUCCUGAUUGGACUCCAAGAGGGGGCGGGCGCCCUGGUCUCCUGGGCGGGCGCCCUGGGCCAGGCCCCGUUUCGCCUCCGCUUCGUUCCCGUGGCUUCUGGAGUCUUCUAGAUGUAAGAUAAUUGUACGUCACGUUAAUAUCUCUAUGUAAUCCCGACGUGUGGGCCUUUCUUCCGUAUUUCUUGAUAACCCCCUGCAGAAAUAGACAAACACCAAAACUCGUAGAAUUCUGUCAGAUAAAACCCUAAGUCUAGAUGUUGAUUUUAUUUGGAUCCUUUUCUUUAUUUAUUUGAUAAUUAAAUUUGAUACUUAAGGACCGUCAACAAACUCCCCCAAGCUUACCUCUUGCUCGUCCCUGAGCAAGGAUAAUCUCAGCGAUGGAUUAUAAGUUGUUGAAAUGCCUUUAAAAAUUGACGGUACACAUGCUUUUAAAUAAGAUCUCAUCUCUGAGUUAGAGUAAACUGUCAAGACUUAAAACUUACUUACUUUACCUUUCACCAUGGGACUUGUAACCGUCACUUCUGUCUUGAGUAGUUAAAAGAUAGAACGGUCUAGUCAAGUGCCAUGUUUCUUAUUCUUGAUCAGCUAUAGCUCUGGAGUUUUUGUAGAUUUUCAAAUAAAACUCAGAGAUUCCUUGUAUGAUUCUCUCAGAUCUCUCUUUUGUGGUAUUUCUAGAUCCUUACCAAGGCAGUGAUGGUAUAUGCCUUCUCUCAAAGUAUGUAGUAUUUGUGGUAUAAGGCAUAGUGACAUUGCCUUCUCUCUCACCCUACUCUAAUAAGGCUUUAAUAUCUGGAGCUCAUAGGUGGGAGAUAAAGUAUACAUACUUACAAAACAUUUAUUGCAUAGUGAAACCAUGGAUCCAAAGAAACAAAUCAUAAGUCAAAUCAAGAUGUGCAUGUGUGGCGAAUGAAUGGUGUAUGGUGAUGAUGGUGAUAACAAUGGUGAAAGUCUAAUUCUACUUUUGCUCUUUUGAGAGGAUACAUACCUUUCUUGCUCUUUUGAAACUUUUUGAGGAGAAUGAGAUGCUCUGUACUUUCUUUUUCUUUCCUCUGAGGUGGGUAUUUUGUACGCCUAAUUCUACUGUCGGACACUUGUCCAUUUUUACCUCUUGUCUCACUUUUUCUUUUUCUUUCGAGGUUCCGGGCACUUGUCCCUUUUUAUUUCCUCGUAUUUUAUUAUAUUUUUUUAGAGCACUCAUCUCAUGAAAUAAUAUAGCAAGUGGUAGUAACCAAGAUAACUUGAGCAUUUAUUUCACAGGGGAAAAAUAGAAAUAUUUUUGGUUAUUCCCUCCCGGAUUAGGAGUAGAAUAUUUUUGGGUGAUUCUAGAGAUGGAAAUGGGUGGAUAUAUGUGGAUGCGUACUUCCGGAGUAGAAAUAGCAUGUGUGAGUGAACGUGCAAGUGAAUCUUGAUUUAACCACAUGACAAGCUUGUAAGGGUCUACACAGCUUGACCACACUAAAUACUUAUAAGCAGUAAAUAGUAAAUGUGUGGCUCAAAGUCUAGCAAGCAUGUAUAUAUGGCUGUGGUAGGAAUUUAAACUCUCAUCAUACAGGAACUCAUCAUGCAAUAUUUUAAAGAUUUUAAAAGAUAAAAUUCUCCAGAAUUCUAGCAUCUCUAGGAACAGAUAAACAGCAACUCAACCUUCCCAUAUCAUAUCCGUUAACAACUUAGACUUCAGAUCAAGUUUUCUUUCCACAAGUUUAGGUUUAGAGCAAGCUUUAAAUUAUAACAGUUAUGUCUAAACUUGAGAGAGAACUCAAAUUUGAAAAUUAGGCAGAGCAACUAUUCAUCAUAUCCAUGCUAGAGUUUUAUUUAGAUUCAGUUUAGCAUAGCCACUUUAUUUAUUUAUUAAGCACACUAAGCAAAAGACAUAUAUUUAUAUAUAAGUACAAAAUCUUUAUUUGGUUUUUCAUAGUUAUGUAUAUUUAUAUAUUAAUAUAGUAUAAGUAUAAAGAUAGAUAGAUAAAAAUACUUAUCGGGAUAAAUGGGGGUGCUCUCCCCCAAGCUGAAUUUUGACGUAAUUUCUUCUGAUGUAGCUAGCAGGUGGCAGAGGUGUAUUUGAAAGUCGUCAGUAUCUUGACAGCGAUUAGAAUGUCCUCCGUCUACUAGUCUUCUUAAUCCUUGAAUUCUGUGGAGCUCAAAUAGACAACAAAGCUUGUGGACUUGAUUAGGUGUUAGCAUAAACAUCUAGCCUUUAUCAUGUUGAGCCUCCUCAAUAAAUAUUACUCCCUAUUUUUAUAUUUUUAUUUUAUAAUGAAGAAAAGAAAUAUUUAUUUUAUUUUUAUGCCACCACAGUUAAUGUACUUAUGGGUUUUAUAUCACUCGUAUACUCACAUGGGGCUUACUGUUUUUUAACAUUUUUAUUUUCUUUUUAGGAUAGUAUGAACAUGAUUAACUAAGCAAACUAUUUCAAAUAUUUGAAAAGAAAAAGAUAACUACCAAGUUUACCUCUUGGCAAGGCGUUCGGUGUUUUUAAGUCCUCCGAACGGGACUCUCCGUCUUCUCAGUUGUCCUGGGAUUCGUUGAGUGGCGCAGUCGUUGCUUCCAGUGGCGCCUCUUCUUCGUGUAUAGUUAUCUUCUCUCUCUACACCUGACUCGGUGCUACGGUCUCCUCAGGAUAAUCUUGUUCAAGCUGUAUGUCUUCAGAUCUUAUUACUUCUCCUUCAUAGUCUGUCGAUCCGUCCUUGAUGAUUUCCCUCCUCUGGUUGCGGUUGUAUAGUCUUCUUCUGACUUGCUUAGAGUCUUCAACGAUAUAGUUAGGGUCAAUAAAAUAGCGGCGUACCUUCUCUGAGGGGAAGUGCAUGUGGACUUCUCCAGUUCCAAUAUAGAUGAUUGCUUUAACGGUGCUGAGGAACGGUCUUCCAAGGAUGAUGGAUGGAUCGUAUUCGUCUUCUCCCAUGUCAAUAACCUGAAAGUCUGUGUAGACAAAAUGAUCGUCUAUUUUGACAGGAACAUCAGUUACUAUACCUUUAACCUCUCGAAAUGUCUGAUCUGCCAUCUGGAGUUGAAUGUAUGUUGGUUUUAGGGGCAUGGUUCCGAACAAGAGCCGAUAGGUGACUGCGGCCAUUAUGUUGACGCCCGAUCCGGUGUCGCAAAACAUCUUGUAGAAGCUGUAUCCAUUUAUGGAGCAGUAGAUGCUUGGCAUUCCUGGAUCGUCCUUCUUGGUUAGAAACGGUGACUUUAGUCGAUGAUCUUGACCUCCUUGAACUGCAGUGACCAUCUUAGCUGACCCGGUCCACACUUGCUUGUUCCUCUUCCUCCUGUUGGUCCUUUUCCUUGGUUCAUGUUGGGAUUGCUCUGGGAUUUGUGUAGUCUUGUUCUUGAAGGAAAAUGUCUGCUUUUCCCUUUGAUGUAGAAACUGAUCUUGGCAGCACUAGCGUAGAUGACAGCUCCCGAAGUGUUUAAGAAUGGCCUCCCUAAGAUGAUGGGUGCCCUCUCAUCAUUUUCGGUCUCUAUUACCAUGAAGUCUGCUGGGGCGUACAAGGUACCAACUCGGACACAUAGGUUCUUCAAUAUUCCCUUGGGGAAACUUAACGCCUGAUCUGCAAACUGCAAACACAUGGUUGUUUCUAAUAAAGGAUAUGUAAAGAAUUUUUCAUAGAGUACCCUGGGCAUAAUGUUGACACUAGAGCCAAAGUCACAGAGUGCUUCUAGGAAGUCCACCAUGUCGAUGGAGAUCGAGAUGACGGGGCGUCCUGGAUCGCCUUUCUUGACCGGCAGAAGGUCAGUAUUAACUUCAGUGACGGGGUUACUCCAAUAGUUACCUGCAUCAAACAUGUCUACAAGAUUUGCAGAUUCUAAUCCUUCCGGUUGUGAUGGUAUACCGGGGUUAGUAGCAGGAACAGCAGCAGCUAUUUGAUUUAACUGAGAUUCAAUCAUUUUAUUAAAGCUAAUUUGAUUCUUGAUGGCAGUAGAGAAAUUAUCCAUUCUAUUAUUUAUAUUUUCUAGCAUUUUAUCAUUAGAUGUCAAUUUCUUAGAUAGAUUAUCCAUUAGCUUUCCUUGAUUAGACACUAACUCUCUUAGAGGUGGAAAAUUAUUAUUAUUGUUAUAAGAAUUGUUACCUUGAUAAUUACCUGAGUAGUUAGGCCUCUGUUGAUUCCAACCUUGAUUUUGCUGAGGACGGUUAUAAUAGUAGUUGUUGUUGUUGAUGUAGUUUACAUCCUCAAGCAUCUCAGGGCAGUGAUUGCUUGAGUGUCCAGUAUCUCCACACUCCUCACAAGUCAUGUGAGAGUCGUAGAUGUGCAUAACUUCUUUCUUAUCUCCAGCUCUAUCAUCGAGCUUCUUCAUGAGCAGGUCUAGCUUUGCAGACAGCAUGUCUACCUCCUUGAGCUGAUGUAUACCUCCACCUCUCUUGCGUGUCUGGGUCCUCUCUUUAUUCCAGCUUUGAUUGGACGCCAUCUUCUCCACAAGAGCUGUGGCUUGUGAUAUGGUAAGUGAUAGGAAUGCUCCUCCAGCUGCAGCAUCCAUGGUUUCUCGGGCACUGUUGCCGAGCCCAUGAUAAAACGUCUGCAUCAGUAGCCAGCUCUCCAUUCCAUGAUGGGGACUUUCUAGGAUAUAGUCUUGGAAGCGCUCCCAUGCUUCUAGAACGGAUUCAUCAUGUUGUUGCUGAAAACUUGUAAUCUUCCCACGGAGAGCAUUGGUCUUGCCCAUGGAAAAGAACUUAGCCAGAAAGUUCGUGGAGCAGAGUACCCACGUAGUAUUCUUCUCCUUUGUUGCGUAAAACCACUGUUUCGCUCUCCCUAUCAGUGAGAAUGGGAAGAGACGAAGUAGUAUAGCAUCUCUGGGGACUCCUGAUAUGGUGAAUGUGCUGCAAAUCUCCAGGAAGUGUUGGAGAUUGAGCACUAGCAUCUUCGUGUGCCUUUCCAUAGAACUGGUUGGAUUGCACCAUGUUGAUAAGUCCAGGCUUGAGCUCAAAGUUGCCAUCGAUCUCUGUAGCAGGUCCAGUGCGGAUGUUGUCCGUAGUGGGAGCUGAGAACUCACGGAUCGAUUUGUUCGCCAUGGCUACGAAUUCUGAAGACAAGUUCCGGUGAUCUUCUUGACUGGAUGAAGCUUCUUGCUGAAGUGUUGAUGAUCUCUUCUUGAGCUUGGUUCUAGUUUUUCUGAAUAAUGCUUCGGGAUUGUCAACAAAGUUUCCUGGAAGAUGUCUUCUAUUCAUACAUCGCCCUACAUAAGAUAAAAUAGAAAAAUAUCGGGGUAAAACUGUAUGAAAGAAUUGAUAAGCUCAAUCAUAUUAGUGAUGCGAAUGAUGACUCAAAAUUCUAUAUCCAUUCCUGAUUAGUAAUCAACCUUCCCCGGCAACGGCGCCAAAAAUGCUUGUUGGGUAUUCUUAACAUCAUUACCAAAAGUAGACUUAGUUUUCUAAUUCUCAUAACGGUGCCAAAAAUGCUAAACCUAUCUCUCAUACCACUUAAGCCAAGUUGUCAUCCCCAGCAUGACAUGAGAGACGCGGUAUUGAAAUAUGCAAUUGCUCAUCUAAAUAAAUAAUGAAUGGGAUCUGCAAGCGCACAGAUUAAUACCGAUGUAGCAUUUUAACCGGGAAGUAUUCCAGGUAUCGUUAUUUAUAUUUUUACCACUGGGAAGGGAUUAGUAAUCAUCAAUGUUGAUUAUAGAAUGGAAUAUGAGAUUGAGUAUCUAUCAUUGCAUGUAUAAUUGAGAACAGUUAUCUAACUCUUUCAUAUAGGGAUAAGUGUCACAUAAAAGAUAUAUGAAGUAAUGAAUAGUGACAAAGAUAAUUAAUAUGAUCAGCAUAACUUAGCCACAUAAUAAAUAUGAUAAGCACCUCAAUUAGAUACUCUAGCAAGUCAUUAGAAUGGAAUUAGAACGAACUACAAGAAUAUUUCCUAAGUUAUUCUUAAUUAUACAGUCUAGCAUUAUCAUAGUUAGUGCAAUUAUACUUAGCAAUCAUUGUGAGACAAUGAUUACGCCCAUGCAUAGUGAUAUUAUCAAGGAAUAUAAGAAACAUAGCAAUCACUUCCCUGUAAUAAUGUUGCUCUGCCAGCCCAAUACACGAGAGGGGGACUAUAUAAGAAUCAAUGAAGCUGUCACUAUCACGAACUACCCCACGAUCUGGUAUAUUGGGUACAAUCGUAGAUAAAUACGGUAUAAGCAAGUAGAGCAAAGUCAUAAGCAAUAUAUUGAAGUAGAACAAAGUCAUAUUCAUAAUAUUGAAGAACAAAGAUGAACAAUUAGAAGAACAAUUAGAGAAUUACCAAGAAUCCUCUUGACAGAUCCGGAAACCAAUCGAAGAUUGACUCCUUCUAGUUCUAAUCCUAUGUAGCUAUGCUAAUCUAGAUAUCUAAUUGAUGUGGUGGCUCUAGGCUUGAUCAGAGACUUCUUCUCCCUUGAUAAAUAAUGAAUUAGGGUUGAGAGCUCUCUCCCUCUAGGAGCCAGGGGAGCUCUCAACCCUCUAGGGGCCAGGGGGUCUGGUUUUAUAGUCCCUCCAAGUGAAUAUGGGCCGUCAGAUCAAACCGACAUUGAUUGAACGGUUAUCCUUGAUCCUUUAGGUCGGUGGAGCGUAAUCCCAAAAGAGUGUCCUGAUUGGACUCCAAGAGGGGACAGGCGCCCUGGUCUCCUGGGCGGGCGCCUUGGGCCAGGCUCCGUUUCUCCUCCGCUUCGUUCCCGUGGCUUCUGGAGUCUUCUAGAUGUAAGAUAAUUACGCGGCACGUUAAUAUCUCUAUAUAAUCCUGACGUGUGGGCCUUUCUUCCGUAUUUCCUGAUAACCCCCUGUAGAAAUAGACAAACACCAAAACUCGUGGAAUUCUGUCAGAUAAAACCCUAAGUCUAGAUGUUGAUUUCAUUUGGAUCCUUUUCUUUAUUUAUUUGAUAAUUAACUUUGAUACUUAAGGACCGUCAACACUCGCUGGCCUCUAUGGAUAGAGAAACAGUCACGACCCUGAUCCACCAUGAGAGGAAGAUGGGGAGGAGGGCAAUGCACACGACUCUGACCAUCACCUUCGGGGGCUCGACGACGGCGGCACGAGCAAGGCGGCGGCGGCUAAUGCGGUUUCUAACCCUAACUGCCAUGCUUAUAUAGACCGCGACGGUGCUAGACCUGGCCGCUUGGCUGGGCCGUGUGCCUAGCCAGCUCGAUGGGCCGUGGGCCUAGCCAACUGGCUAGGCCGCGUGCCGGGCUGGCUGGCUUGGUCGCACGCCUGACCUGUCGAGCUGUUUGCUCAACUGAGCCUCUUUUUUCUUUUUUGUUUUCCCUAGAAUUUAACUACUUAGUUAUUUUUCCUAUCAACAGUAGUAUAGAUUGAUUAGCAUAUGAUUUGCUAGUUUAAUUUCUACAAGAACAUUAGUUAUUUGUCUUGAUUAUUGUUGCUCUGUACUGCUAGAUCCUGACAUUGUAAAUAUAAUUGUGGUUUGUUUAUAUUAUUAUUAUUAUUAUUAUUAUUAUUAUUAUUAUUAUUAUUAUUAUUAUUAUUAUUAUUAUUAUUAUUAUUAUUAUUAUUAUUAUUAUUAUUAUUAUUAUUAUUAUUAUUAUUAUUAUUAUUAUUAUUAUUAUUAUUAUUAUUAUUAUUAUUAUUAUUAUUAUUAUUAUUAUUAUUAUUAUUAUUAUUAUGCAACAUUGUAUUUCUAUCAUAUUUUUGGAGUAUGUGGUGCACCAAAACAUCCUUUGCACCACAUACAUAUUACAUUUGUGACUUGAUAAUUUUGUUUUGGGCUAUGUUGAUACACCCCCCCCCCUAUUUUGUAUCAACAUAUUAGUUACAUUUAUAAUUUUAUGAUAGAAUUGGGCAUGUUGGUGCCCCAAACUACAACUUUUGCACCACAUACAAGUUAAAUUUGCUAGUAGACUUAGUUGCAAUUUAAAUAUACCAUCUAUAGAAUUAGAAACUUUUAAUUACUAUAGAUUUAAAGUUGCAAUAUACAUAUCUUACUUAUUUUGGUUAAAUAACACAAGGUAAUGGAGUCUAUGGCAUUGGUGCGCUUAAUUCCUUGUGAAUUAAUCAAAUCACCCAUUACUGAGAGGUUUACAUCACGCGAUUCAAGAUAAAUUUAUGAGGAAGUCUUAUCUCUUUAGGAUCAACCCCAGUAUCGAGAAAUGUUUCUAUGAAACUUGAUGAUUACCCACACCGUGGUUUUACCCAAAAUAAAGGUUUUAGAUUGCACAAGAUAGUAGAGUCCUCAAAGGCUGCAUUUAAUUCACUUGUGAAUUAUCUUGCCUAGUGACCGUGCUUAGACAACAAUAUAUUUGCCUACUAUUAAGAUCUUCUCUUUGUCUUAUGAGUUAGAGACUAUCUGUCUUGUGUUUAUCAAAAUUUAUGAUAAUUUGGUUGUAUGGUCUACAUAAUUUUGUAAAAUACUGCAAAUAAUUUGCCAGCAUUAGGGGGAUAAUUGUACCAAAAAGAAUACGAGAAAAUAGAUCGGAAUGCAGCAGACAUUUCAUUCUUUGAUCCACGUACUACAUAAACUAAACUACAAGUCUAAAGAAUUAUCGAUUUGCAAAAUACUGCAAAUAAUCUGCCAGACUUUUUUUGAUUAUAAAGGUGUCACAAAGUCUCUCCAUCCUGCAAGGAAUGUGCCUGAAUGAGUGGAGGUACCUUAUAAAACCACUUAACCCCCUAUUGGCAAAAGGAGGGGGAGGAACAGUUCCAAGAGGCAAGAUGUGAUUGUUGGCAAGCAAAAGAAGACUACAAAUGCAACUCAAGCUUUGGUUGAAAGACACCUACAUUGUCCUAUGGAUAGAAGUAUUCCAUAAUCUAGCUCAGUUAUGUGCAUAAACACCAAGGCUGGAACAUCGAAAGAUCCUCCAUCGUUUUAGGAAGUCAUGAUGAAUCUUUAACUGUAGAUGGAAUUUCUAUAAAUUUUGCUGAGACUGGAGAGUCUUAUAGUCAUAAGUCCAUAAUAGUCAACAUUUAUUUCUCUGAACAAAUUGCAAAUAUCCUUCAGACCGAUUCAGAUCCUAAGUCUACGACAAAGUGCAAAAAGCGCUCGGACUGGGAUAAGUGGAAGGAAGCUAUUGAAACAGAGAUUGCCUCGCUUAAUAAAAGAAAGGUAUUUUUGGCCAUAAUUCCAAUACCUCCUAGUAUCUUUCAUUUGGGAUACAGAUAGGUUUUUGUCUGUAAAAGGAAUGAAAACAAAGAAUUGGUGAGAUAUAAAGCAAGGCUAGUGGCAUAAGGUUUUACGCAAAGACCUGGCGUUGAUUUCAAUGAAACUUACCCUUCGGUAAUGAGCAGAAUAACUUUAUGAUACUUGAUAUCACUGACAAUACAAAAUUGUCUAUCUAUGCAGUUAAUGGACAUAGUGACCGCAUACUUGUAUGGGUCAUUAGAUUCUGAGAUAUACAUGAAAGUUUCUGAUAGAAUCAGUAUACCAAAUCCUAAGGCUCAUAACAUGUAUUGCAUCAAGUUGCAGAAGUCAUUAUAUGGCUUAAAGUAGUCAAGCCGAAUAUGGUACAAUCGAUUAAGUAAAUUUCUUACACAAAAGGGAUAUAUAAAUAUUGGUGACUGCCCGUGUGUCUUCAUUAAGAAAUCAUCAACAAGAUUUUGUAUAAUAUUAGUAUACGCUGAUGAUCUUAAUAUCAUCGGCAAUGAAUCUGUUAUUAAUGAAGCAUGUCAUCAUUAAAAGAUAGAGUUUGAAAUGAAGGAUUUGGGUCAAACCAAAUUUUGCUUGGGUUUACAAAUUGAGCACUUUCAUUUUGGUAUAUUCAUAUACCAAGCUGCCUAUGUCCAAAAUGUAUUGGAGAAAUUCAAUAUGGACAAGUCAUAUCCAACAAAAACCCCAAUAGUAGUGAGAUCUAUAGAUAUUAAAAAAGAUCCUUUUAGACCACGGGAAGAAGAAGAAAUAUUGGGACCACAAGUUCCAUAUCUUAGUGUCGUUAGAGCACUAAUGUAUCUUGCUAAUAGCACUUGACCGGAUAUUGUAUUUGUAGUAAAUUUGCUAGCAAGACAUAGUGCUAAACCUACUAAACGUCAUUGGAUAGGAGUCAAAACUGUUUUGAGAUAUCUCAAUGGCACUAGAGAUCUUGGACUAUUCUAUAGCAAAAAUCAAGAUCUAAUUUUGUUAGGAUAUAUAAAUGUUGGUUAUCUAUUUGAUUCCCAUAAUGGCAGAUCAUAGACAGACUUUGUUUUCUUGCAAGGUGGAACAACAAUAUCUUGGAAGUUUUCAAAGAAGACUUUAGUGUCCACUUCCACCAAUCAUUCUGAAAUAAUUGCUUUACACGAAGCAUCACGCGAAUACGUAUAGCUUCGCAGAAUGGUAAACCACAUAAUACAAUCAUGUGGUAUUGGAGACUUGAGACACCUACAAUUAUCUUUGGGGAUAAUUCAGCAUGUGUUACUCAAAUGGAAUCAUGUUAUAUUAAGAGUAAUAUGACUAAGCAUAUUAUUCCAAAAUUAUUCUACCCCUGUGAGCUCCAAAAGAACGGAGAAAUUGAAAUCUUGCAAACUAAGUCUUGUGAUAAUCUAGCAGAUUUAUUCACAAAAUCCCUACCAUACUCCGCAUUUUGUAAAUGUGUUGAGGGCAUUGGUAUGAGAAGGCUUAAAAUUUUGCAAGAAUCAAGGGGAGAAUCUAUUAAAUAGAACCUGUUUUCACUAUACAUUAUACUAUUUUCCUUUAUAUGAGUUUUACUCUUCUAGAGUUUUCUCACAUAAAGUUUUUAAUGAGGUAAUAGUAACACAUAGUAAAUGUCAUAUUAUCUAUUUUUCCUCAUAGUGGUCUUUCGAAAGUAAUAUAUGACAUAUAGAUCUUUGAUCAAAGUUGUUUUAGACUAUGUCUUUGGGAAUACCCAGAGGGUCUAAUAACAUUGGGACUAAUAUAUAUCAUGGUGUUUCUCUUUAUUUUUCCCACUGGGUUUUAAGGAGUUUUGUUUGGUAUAUCGAUAUACUUUGGAUUUUUCCCAUAGGGUUUUUCCAAAGCUUCAAGACAUUUACUGAUAAACAAGAUGCUUACACAAGAUCAUCAAGGGGGAGUGUUGAGAUUAAUUAGGAUUGUUAAUUAGUGAUCAAUUAUGGUAAAUCUCAUAAUUAGCAUGUGCUAAUUACAUAACUAGAAUAGGUAACCGUAGAGGCCCUUUGGGCACCAACAGGGUCACUGACAAAGAAAACUGUCUCUUGUAUAUAUACAAAAAUUGUUCAUCAAUACAAGAUAUCCGUCAUUUGCACGGUUAAUCAAUCCACUUUCACACAACAGUUUUCACUCCGGCGGUUCGGACCAGUAGAAUUCCACAGGACCUGGCUUGUUGGAGUGAUCGGUAUUAGUUAAUAAAGGAAAAAUAUAUACGGCCCACUGAGAGCAUAUAAAAAACAUAAUUGUUUGAGAACUAUCAGAUUGCCGUCUUUUGGAUUUUGGACUUGUGCUCCGUCCUAAGCGGCGCGAGCGGCAACAAUCGGAUUGCCACUGCCAAGAAUUAUUACGCAUAUAGAAACGUGGUUUCUAAAUAUCUUCCAAGAGAUUAUUGUUUAUGUUAUCUUCCACUUUUUUUAUGGUCCAGAUGUUGUUUAGAUUCGUGCUGUGUGCUCACCUUUUAAGUUUUGUGGUUGUCGUUUGUGACUCCAUUAUCCCGCUACUUUUUAUAUUAAAAAAAAGUUAUCCUACCGUUUCAUUUCAAUUUCGUGUUUUCUGGUGUUGUCGACGGUGUCCGUAGCCUUGUCGCCGGCGGUGACGGCGGUGCUUGUGGCCUUGCCCCAACGGUUACGGCUGUGACGGCGAUGGCGGCCGCGUUGUCGAUGGUGGACGCAGCGUUGUCUUCGGUGGCGGCAGAUUUGUCUAAGGAUGCAGCAGCAGCAACGGCGAUGUUGUUCGAGGCGGCGGUUGCGGAUUUGUCGGAGGAGGAGGCGGUGACCACAGUGUUGCUCGAGGCGGCAGCAGCUACGUACCCUGCAGUGCCACUCUGUUCUCCUAUAUUUUGAUUUGAUUUGUAUUGCAGUUGUGUCGGUAGCGGCGUUAGUUGCGGGCUUGGCCGGGGCAAACUCACCGGCAAGGAGCUCCACAACCUCCGUCCCUCCAAUGUUGAUCCCUGAUUUGGAUGUAGCGCUUGUCAGGAAGCCUUGCCCCUGCUCCUCCAAUUUGUGCCCUAUUUUGGCAUUACACAUCUGUGUAUUUUUUCAGUCAAAUGUGGGAUUGGUUUAUUUGUUAAUGUGUUUUUUGUCCAUUGCUUGCUAUUUAUAAUGAUUAGUCUUGUUUUGCUUCUGGAAUGUGUACGUAUUACCAAGCUUUGUUGCUGAUCACUACGGUUUGUGUGUAUGUGUGUGGAGGUUUGGAGGAGGCACAGGUUUGCCAGUUCACCAUAGUUUGCUUGAAGUUUGCUUGAGUCUGCUUUUAUUUUUCUUGAUUUUGUGUGUCAAUAGUUAAAGAUGGUAGGUUGUGCGUACAAAGCAUCUGCUCUACUGAUCCAUUCCAAGGAUCUUGUAAUUUGGUUUUACUUAGUGAGGUUGCUAUGACUGUGAGAGGAUGGUUAAAUAAAUAAAUUAAAGAGGAGACUAUUAGUCAUCCACGUUAGCAGCAUGAGCGGAUGAAUUUUGUUCAGGUUCAUAUUCUGUUCAGUUUAUAAUUUAAGUAUUAUGUAUUUCAGUUUCCUCCAUGCUAUCUACCCAAUUUCAGUCUUCAAUUGCAGUUAGCAAUUCAGUGUUUGAUUUCAUUUAUGUUUUCAUUUUCUAAUAAGUUUCACUAUAGGUUCGGGUUCAAUCUAAUUUAAUUACAGUUUUUAGUUUUAGUCAUGUUCAGGUUAUAGGUUUGGGUUCAAUCUUAUUUAAUUUCAGUUUCCAGUUUCAAUUAAUUUCAUACUUCAAUUGCAGAUAGCAAUUUAAGUUUUUUAUUUCAUUUUGUGUUUUCAUUGUCUAAUAAGUUUCAUUAUAGGUUUAGGUUCUUUCUAAUUUAGUUGCAGUUUUUAGUCUUAGUCAUCUUCAGGUCAUAGGUUCAGGCUGUCUUAUUUAAUUUCAGUAUUCAAUUUGGGAUUGUUGUGAGAUUGGUGGAGAAGUAGAGUGUGCUUGAUUCUUAUUUCUCUUUCCUUGGCUUCGAGCCCCAAAAGUCUUAGAUCAAAUUUGAGCUCCUUUUACAAUUUUCUUCUGGUUUAUCAUCACGUUUGAAUAGUCACUUGUUAAUUUGUACUCCUACAUCUUCAACUUUGAGAGCUCGGAUGACUCGAGGCAAUGGCGGAGCUCGAGUCAAAAUUAAGGGAGGUUAUACUGUAGCUUUGUUUGUUCACUCUCUACCUGCUGCAGCUAUAUUGUCAGUAGCACUGCUGCACUGAUUUGUAGAGGUGGCGAAUAGCAUGACACUAAGCUGUUGAGCUGUGCACUAAUAAAUCGUUAGUAGGUGUUGUCCAUUAGCUGAAUUGCUUACAGCAACAGCUUUGCACUAACACGUUCUACAUCUAGUGUCCUCAUAAAUUUGCACAGACCAAGGGGGGCCACUGCCCAGGUUAGCCUACACUCAGCGCCGCCAGUGACUCGGAGACAUUUAUGUUUUGUAGGAUAGGAUUUUAGAUGUUUUUCAUUUGUGUUUUUAGAUGUGGGCUUUCUGAAUCAGGAACUACGAUGCUUUGUGUCACAGCGAACCAACUAGUACUUGAUGUCCGUGUUACCCUUGACCUGUCAGGUUAAGUGUCAACUUGUCCUUUCAUGCAGUAGAUACCACUAAGGAGCACCAAGAUAUUCAUCUUUCACCUUUGGAUGAAACAUACUAUAGAAGCUGAUGAAUAGCAUCCUGGUUCAUAUCAUGUUCGUUCCCUUUCGAAGAAUAUCCAUCCAGUGAUUGUGUUUAUUGUACUCUGAUUUUAUUUAAAAUUGUUUUACAAGUUAUGAGAAAUAUUAUGAAUAUUAUGUAGGGAAGGAGAAAGCAAGAAAGUCCAACUACGCUGACCUUUCAAAGAGAUCUUUUGUUUCUUUUUUAUAAAUUUGAUGCCCCUUAUCCUUUUUGUACCGUAGCUUUUCAGAUAAACUGCAGAUGCUACAGCUAAAGAUUUGCUAGCUUGCAAUUGUGCUCUACCAGGAUAGAUGUUAUUCUAAAAAUAAUUGAAGUAUUGGCAGAACACAUCACUCUAAUAGAAUUUCUCUUUCUACAUAAAGAGAGAACUCCCAUGCAGAAAAAAAUAUAUUGUUGGCCUUCGAUAUUUCAGAAUGAAUAAGUUUUUUAGUGCCUACUCUUCCAUGGUACUUGAACUAUGCUGAUUGAAUGGAGAAUCCUUACUCGAAAGCAUAAGAUCAUGAGCAUUUUCUUAUACUGCAGCUUGGCUUGAAACAAGGAAUGAAGGCCAGUUCUCCAUCAAAUACUUGAGCUGAGAUUUGGCCACGUCACUUUUCAGGAAGUUGAAGAUAACUACCCUAAAAAUCUUCCAGACACGUGACGUACAGGUGCUUUUUUUGUUUCUGUGUUCUAUUGUACAAAAUGAUGUGGCAACAUAUGAUUUGUUGAAAAAGUGAAAGAAAACAAAUUGAAAAAUCUUCUAGAAGAUGUGUAGUCAGUCCCAAAAACUAUAAAAAAAGUGAUGGAAUUUGAAAAUGUUUCUUACUAUAAAUCAUUAUAUAAAUUUUACGUCUAACAAAUCUGGUUGGUUACUAUUUGUUCAUCUUACAUGUGGAUCUAUAUCUUUAUACGUGGAGAAACAUCGAUGUUUUGCAAAGAGCCGUAUGCCUCUGACCAAAUUUUUUCACCGUGUUUCUUACCCCAAACAAAACAAACUCUGACUACCCAACAUUUUUUUCUCACCAAAGGUUUUACUGACCUGCCCAUAUAGAUUUUUUUUGCAAAACCUCCCCAAAGAUGGCCAUGCAGCUCGCACUCCCAUAGUCUAGCCGGCAGCAUGAAUUUUUUUUCUCCCCAUACACGUCGGAUAACUUGGACACGGCCCGCUAAAAUACACCAGGCCCAACAAGACCCGCUAUUCAGUCAAAGAUUAUACAUACUUUGGGCUCUCUCGCUUCCUCAUAUUAUGAGGGUCCCGAUUUUUUUGUUUUAGGUAUUAUAGCAUUUUCGUUUUUAUUUGGCAAAUCUAUACCUAUCUAUAAAAAGGGAAAAUUUCAGUAUGCCAAUAUUUUUUCUGCCUGCCCUCUCCAUCUUCCGUUGCCCGGAAACCUCCGUCCGUGCCCUGUCCGUCUUCCGUUGCUAGGAAACCUCCAUCCGUUUAACGCUUGGUAAGAGAGGAAAGGAAAAUAGAAUGUUUUCUAGGGUUCCCAAUGCAAAAUCUUUUAUUACUGUCGUCGCCGGUCCCCAGAAGAAUCGCUAGGCGCCGCCGUCCGCUUGUAGAAAAUAAAAAAAAUAUUUUUUUUUCAAGGUUCCCAAUACAAAAUAUUCAAUAUCCUAUUAGUUUAAUUCGGCUGAAAAUUAAUAAAUACGUAAUAAUUUAUAAAAAAUGUAAAAAUUACAAAACAAAUUUUGUUCAGCUCCACAUAUGUAGAUCCAUGUAGUAAAUAAAAAAUAGAUGCAAAAUGUCUGUCCUAUUAAUUUGUUUUUCUUUUAUUCUUUAAUUCGGUUGAAAAUUGGUAAAUGCGUAAAAAUUCAUAGAAAUAUCUAAAAAUUACAAAACAAAUUUUGUUCACCUCCACAUAUGUAGAUCCAUAUAGUAAACAAAAAAUAUCACAAAUUUCAGUAUAUUUUUUGUUGGGGAUGCUUGCCUGUGCUUUUUAGUGUAAAAUUGAAAUUAUAGUUAUCUUGCUCCAAUUAUUAUAAAAAUUUUAUGGUAGCCUAUUUAAUGUGAUGCUUGAUUUGUGGUAAAAGUUUUAGCACAAUUCCUACAUAUCUCACUUAUUUACUAAUUUACCUAAAUUUAUGCUUGCUAAAUAGUUUACAAUCAAUUUAAGUAUGUAAAAAUAUAAAAAAGAUGUUUCCACUACCUUUGCACGAUGUGUUGUUACGUCAUAUGAACACUUCAUAAGCCUAUGUGUUCAUAAUAUACAUACAUUUAACUGAUAUAUCGUAUUUUAUAGGAAUCAUAAUCUAAAUAAAAAACUAAAGCUAGCAACAAACUUCUCAUGAUUUAUAUAAUACUGAAGUAUAUUAAGAGAUAAUACUAGAGUAGGAUAAGAUUUGCCUAAUUUCUAUAAUUAUUAUUAAAUAAAUAUGUCUCCAAGUUAUAUAUUAUUGUAAAUAUUAACUAUCUAAUACCAUAGAUGUCAUGGUUAUCAAUAAAAUAAAUUAUGGAAUUUAAAUUUUAUAAAAAGAAUAAAUAUAAAUAGAUAUGUAACAUUAUGUCAUCACUUUCUAUAGCUAUUUGAUGUUUCUCUCCCGUUGCAACGCACGGGCAUAUUUGCUAGUAUUAUUUAAUCAUGGACUAGUUCAAAAGAUUCAUCUCUCGAUUUACGCUAAAACUGUGCAAUUAGUUUUUAUUUUCGUAUAUAUUUAUGCUCCAUGUAUGUAUUAAAAAAUUUGAUUUGAUAGAGAAUCUUGAAAAAGUUUUUGGUUUUUGGAUGAACUAAACAAGGCCUUACAUAGAUUUACAUAGAUAGGAGAUCUCUUUUUUGAGAAAAGAUAUAUAGAAGAAGAUUUUUCUAGGGUUUUCGGCCCACCAAAUGUUCCAUGGCCCAUUACAGACUCAAAAGUAUUUCCUUUCCUCCGACCGUCCGACGCCAUUAUUACAAGGACAAGCCAGGAAGCCUGAUGAUGCCAUGAUUGGGACUAGAAUCAGUGUUUGGCUUUUCGCUACCUUCCAAAAGACUCGCUAGAAUUGAGGAGGCCCUGUACCAUGAUGCUCCACUCCAGCUCAGCUAUGCGCCAAGCAGGCCGGCACCCGGCAGUGGAGGUCCCGCGCUCGCUCAGCUCCAUUGUAGGCAUGCAUACCAUGGCAUCUUCAGCGAUAGACAGCGGCCGCAUGGCAAGGCGAUGCAGGCUCUGCAGCUGCACUACUGCUGCGUGCAGGGCUGCAGGCCCACAGGCCACAGGUCAACUGCAGAAGAUGGCGGGCGAUGGAUGGGUUGGCCUUGAGGCAGACUCACGCAGUCACAGAGUCAGGUGCUCGAGGGCCAACAAAUUAGAGAUAGUUCCCGAUUUUUUUUUUUUUUUUGGAUUUGACUAUGGUAGAUUUUCGUUUUAUUUUAUAAUUAGCGUUCAGUCAUAAAUUAAUUAGACUUAAAAAAUUCGCCUCGUAAUUACAAACUGUAUAAUUAGUUAUUUUUAAUUUAUAUUUAAUGCUUCGUCCAAAUAUUCGAUGUGAUGGAUAAAAAGAAAAUUUUUGGAAACUAAACAGUGAUCAAAUCAUAGUGUGCGGUAAAAUGUUGUAUCUGCAUGCAGUGGAACCGUGGAAGUCAAAAGACUGAAAGAAAACAUUCAUAAUUCAUGCAUGGAGCUGGCUUCGUAAAAACACACAUCUCUGUUAUGUUUUUAGAAUUCUCACACCUGUAUUUGUAUUGUCAAGCGGAUGAACGCCUCCAAUUUGGAUCUCAUCUCAUGCCAACGCUCGGAUGAUUUGGAUCUCAUCUCAUGCCAACGCUCGGAUGAUAGCUUUGUCGUGAUGACAACUAGAGACAAACUCCCUACAUUGUUGGAUUUAUUAUGGGUUAGACUCAUUUAUAUAUUGAAUAAUUCAAUAAACUCUGUGGUAUGUAAACCGUUUCAUACGGUGCGAGUUUUUGACUGAAUGAUUGAGGUAUGUGUCACGCACCGUGGUCGUGAUGUGGCGAAUGGAGGGACUUUUCAUUUUGUUAAUCAUGGUGAUUGAAUAUUGGGGUUACUUCUCACGGUGAUUGAAUAUGGGAGUUACUUCUCAUGGUGAUUGAAUAUGGGAGUUACUUCCAUUAUUCUAAUUGAUUAAAUGAAUUGUCAUUAUGUCCACUAAGGGAGUGGCGUGAGCAUCAUGGGCUCUUGGCUUUCUUGCAUGCGUGUGAGGCUUUUGGCCUCCAAGCCAUGAGGCUCCUUGCCUUUUGGCUUGCCCACCUCUUGCCUACAUAUAGCACAUACUACUACGUCAGUCAAGGGUGAAGAACAUAAUCCAGAGACACAAUUCCGCAGCAACGUAGACUUCUCUAUCUCCUCGAUCCGCGCGCACGGAGAAGGGAGAGGGCAGGUGCUUCCGAAGCCCUUGUCGUUCGUGAUCCUUGCACGGGGAGGACGACAAUUAGGUUUUUGGGGAGCGUCUACGCGACUGCCCAAUCCACCGCCGUUGUUCGUCUUCCUCAAGCUGGUUCGGACGGAUUUCUUCUUUCCGGUGGAAAGAUCGUCUUCAUCCUCUACAUCAUGGAAGUUGGUCAAGGAUCGGGAUCAUCGGAGCGCAUGGGAGGGUAUGAUCCAUUCAUCUUCCUGUUGUGUUUCGUCUUCCUGUUCAUACAUGUUGCAGUAGUGUGUUUGUUUUGUUGCGCUUACUAUCCUGGUUAUGUUUCAUAUGUUCUACCAUGUAUUUUCUGUUUUUAUUUUAUAUAUGUUUCUGGUAUAAGUUAUAUGUCAUGUUUGCUUGUUUCGCUGGUUAAGUUAAAACGUUUCAUAUGUUGUUGUCUCUAUGUUUCACUAGUGGUUCAGUCACGUCGUUUGAUAUACUGCUUCUCAUAUGUUUCAGUAGUUCUAUUUCAUCGUUUAACAUGCAGUCUCUUGUUUAUUGCUAUUUUAAGAUAUAUGUCUUGCCUUGUUAUUAUAUUUCAUAUAUUAUGCUUUUAUAUUUUUAAUAAUCACAUGUUCUACAUGUUCAUGGAUCACAUGUUCUAUAUUCCUAUGAACAUGUUUAAUAUCAUGAUUUCUAUAAUUAAUUAUAUUAUAUAUGUCAUCAUCAUAAUGUUGAUUUAUGGAAUUAAAAUGAUAUGGAAAUUGCCUAAAUAUCUAACAUUCCAAAAACCUAAUUAUAAUAGGCAUUUUUCUGUUAGAGUUUUUGCUGCUGCUAUGAAGCCUGAUUCUUUUGAUGGGAAAAACUUCUUGUUUUGGAAAGCUAAAAUGGAACUAUGGCUAACUGCAAUGUCAUGUUAUCAUGCUGCUGAGGGCAAACCUGCUAACUUACCUCCUGCGGAUGAGGCAAAGUUUAAGGUUGAUGACAACCUCUUUCGAGGUGCAGUAAUUAGCGCACUUGAUCCUAAGUUCUAGAAAAGCUAUAUUAUCCAUCCUACAGGGAAAGAGCUGUGGGAUGCAUUUGUGGGAAAGUUUGGAGUUACUGAUGCUGGUAGAGAGUUGUAUCUCAUGGAGCAGCUGUUUGACUACAAGAUGGUUGAGAACCGAUCUGUAGUGGAACAGGCUCAUGAGAUUCAGGCACUAGCUAAGGAAAUUGAACUGUUCUCUUGUCUUUUGCCCGACAAGUUUGUGGCUGGCGGUAUUAUCGCCAAGUUGCCACCUUCUUGGAAGGACUUUGACACCUCUCUCAAACACAAGAGGCAAGAGUUCAAUGUUGAGGAACUCAUUGGCACUCUAGAUGUUGAGGAGAGAGCUAGAGCAAAGGACAAUGGGAAAGGUGUUGAGACCUCAUCUGCCAAUGUGGUGCAGAAGAAAUCUUACAAGUGGAACAAGAAGAAGAUCUAGAAAAAGAAGGAGAACACUCCUAAACCCGUUCAAACCACACAGUUCAAGAAACAAAACAACAACAACAGGAAGAAAGGUGGCUGCUUUGUGUGUGGCAGUGAGGAUCAUUGGGCAAGUGAGUGCCCUGAUCCUAAGUUCAAACAGGAGAAGAAAGUUGUAAACAUGGUUACUACUGAAACUGGAGAUGGAACAUCUGGGUAUGGUAAUUCUUUACCUUUUGUUCUUUCAGUUUGUAAUUCACCUGAGUGGUGGAUGGACAGUGAUGCAAAUAUCCAUGUAUGUGCUGAUGUCUCUUUGUUUGCCACUUAUUAGGUCGGGAGGUCUGGCGCCUUGUUGAUGGGAAAUGGGUCGCGUGCUCAUGUUCUUGGUGUUGGUAUGGUCAUUCUGAAGUUUACUUUGGGAAAGACGGUGCCAUUGAAGAACGUACAACAUGUUCCCUCCAUCAAGAAAAAUCUUGUUAGUGCAUCUAUGCUAUGCCGAGAUGGCUAUAGAGUUGUUCUUGAAUCAAAUAAAUGUGUUGUGUCGAGAUAUGGUUCGUUUGUGGGUAAAGGAUAUGAUUGCGGAGGUUUGUUCCGCUUAUCGUUGCAUGAUGUUUGUAAUAAACUUGUGAAUUCUGUUGAUAUUUCUGAUGAGUCGGAUUUAUGGCAUUCACGGUUUUGUCAUGCAAGUUAUGGCUGUCUUAUGCGCUUAGCAAAUCUAAAUUUAAUUCCUAAAUUUAACUUGGUCAAAAAGUCUAAGUGCCAUGUAUGUGUUGAAUCAAAACAACCCCGCAAGCCUCACAAGGCUGCUGAGGCGAGGAGUUUGGCACCUCUUGAACUUGUUCAUUCUGAUCUGUGCGAAAUGAAUGGUAUUAUGACUAAAGGCGGUAAAAGAUACUUUAUCACAUUUAUAGAUGACUCUACUAGAUUUUGCUAUGUGUAUCUCUUAAAAACAAAGGAUGAAGCGCUCCAUUAUUUUAAGACCUAUAAAGCUGAAGUUGAAAAUCAACUAGAGAGGAAAAUAAAACAUUUAAGGUCUGAUAGAGGUGGAGAAUAUUUCUCAAAUGAUUUCGAUGAAUUUUGUGUGGAACAUGGUAUUAUUCAUGAGAGGACAUUGCCAUUCUCACCACAAUCCAAUGGGAUUGCUGAAAGGAAAAACCGCACUUUAACAGAGUUGGUGAAUGCCAUGUUAAAUACAGCGGGAUUAUCCAAGGAAUGGUUGGGUGAGGCAAUUUUGACCGCGUGUCAUGUCCUAAACAGAGUUCCUACUAAAAACAAAAAGAUCACACCAUUCGAGGAAUGGGAAAAGAAGAGAAUAAAUCUUUCAUAUUUACGCACUUGGGGUUGUUUGGCAAAGGUGAAUGUGCCAAUCAACAAGAAGCGUAAAUUAGGACCUAAAACUGUUGAUUGUAUUUUCCUUGGUUAUGCUUUCCACAGCGUUGGAUAUAGGUUCUUAAUUAUAAAAUCUGAUGUGCCUGAUAUGUAUGUUGAUACUAUCAUGGAAUCGAGAGACGCUACAUUUUUUGAGAAUGAGUUUCCCAUGAAAAAUACACCUAGUAAAAUAAGUCAUGAGACUAUAUACCCCAUGAGCAAGAAAUGUCUAUUCCUAUAGAUCAUGCUGAGGAGACUCACAUGCACAUCCAUGAGGAGGAUGACACUAUAGUCACUCGAAAGAGCAAGAGACAGAGGAUUGCAAAAUCCUUUGGUGAUGACUUUAUAGUGUACCUUGUGGAAGACACACCAACUACUAUUGUUGAGGCAUAUUCCUCUCCUGAUACCGACUUAUGGAAGGAGGUAGUAAGGAGUGAGAUGGAAUCUAUUAUGUCCAACAAAACAUGGGAGGUUGUUGACCGACCCUAUGGCUGUCAAUCUAUAGGCUGCAAAUGGAUCUUUAAGAAAAAGCUUAGGCCUGAUGGUACAAUUGAGAGGUACAAGGCAAGGCUGGUGGCCAAAGGAUAUACCCAGAAAGAGGGGGAAGAUUUCUUUGACACCUAUUUACCGGUCGCUCGAUUGACUACAAUUCGCACUUUGAUUGUCGUGGCAGCUUCAUACGGUCUUAUCAUUCAUCAGAUGGAUGUUAAGACGACUUUCCUUAAUGGAGAGUUAGAUGAGGAGAUCUAUAUGGAUCAGCCAGAAGGGUUCAUUGCAGAUGGUCAAGAAAGUAAGGUGUGUAGGCUGUUAAAGUCAUUAUAUGGCCUAAAGCAAGCAUCUAAGCAAUGACAUGAAAAGUUUGAUAGUACACUUAUAGCUGUUGGCUUUGUUGUGAAUGAAGCUGACACUUGUGUGAAUUAUCGAUAUGGUGGGGGUGAGGCUGUUAUGCUAUGCCUUUAUGUUGAUGACAUUUUGAUCUUUGGAUCUAAUCUCAAUGUGAUUGAGGAAGUAAAGAAACUUCUAUCGAGUAAUUUUGAUAUGAAAGAUUUGGGAGAAGCUGAUGUAAUUCUCAACAUCAAGCUUAUAAAGGAAGGUGAUGGUGGGGUAACUUUGUUAUAGUCCCACUAUGUGGAAAAUGUUCUAAGUCGCUUUGGGUUUAGUGACUGUGAUCCUGCACCUACUCCUUAUGACCCUAGUGUGCUAUUAAAGAAAAAUAAGAGAAUAGCAAGGGAUUAAUUGACAUACUCCCAGAUCAUUGGUUCACUAAUGUACCUUGCGAGUGCAACAAGGCCUGACAUCUCUUAUUGAAAGGAUCUAAUUGGCCUAGAGGGGGGUGAAUAGGCGUAUCUUAAAAACCUGAAACUCAAAAGCUCAAGUUGCGGAAGUUAAAUGCUUGCCGGUACUACCGACAGUUUGGGCCGGUACUACCGGUGUAAGACAUCCAGUACUACCGACACAACUGUUGGUACUACCGACACCCUAUGAGAUCUACGAAAUCAGAGUAGAUUGAGUUUUGAUUUCAGAUCUAAGAGUUACCCCACUCUCCAAGAUGUAGUAGAGGAUGAUGUUGAAGUUCCCUUGGCUCGGUUCUUCUCCAAAACAUAGAUCGGCCCUUGUUCACCUAUGAAAGGGAGUAGAGAGGAAGAACACGAAGAACACAAGAACAAGGGUAGUCGAUGCUACCACCACAGCAAGACAAGAUAUUUUUCCCGAGGUUCGGCAAUCCCCACGAUGGAGUUCCUACGUCUCCAUUGUUGAGGUGACCACGAAGGUCCGACCACUUAGGUCUCCUCCCUCAAGCAACCACACAGGUUAGCUCAAGAUUUCCACUAAGAAUCAAAGGGUUAUACAAACACUUCGGGGUGCCCUCACAAAUGAAUCAACACGGGCAACCACGAAGAACGCCUAGCCGGCUAGGGUUCCAAGAACCCAAGAGUAACAAAUGCAAACCAAACCAGCAAGACGAAGAAACCAAGUGCUCAAGUCACAAAUCGAAGCUCCCAACUCUCUAAUCUCACUUCUCUAGCUCGAAUCUCUCAAGGAGUGAAGUCUAGGAGCAAAGAGGGAGAGAGAGUGGGUGAGUCAAAGCUUGGAGACUAUUUUCUCAGAUCUAGAGUUGAAGGAAUGGGAGAGCUAACGGUCAGAAAUGAGGGAAGAGAUAUUAAUGCACAGGCCCAGAACAACUGCCGGUACUACCGGGGCAACCACCGGUACCACCGAUUACCUCAGAUCUAACGGUAAGAAGUCUCUAGGAUUUGCGAGAAAUAAGCCUACCGGUACCACCGGGCUUUUGUCGGUACUACCAACCAUUGCCGGUACCACCGGUGGAAGGCCGGUACCACCGGAAGUUCAAAUCUCUGCAACCAAAGUCAGCGCAGAUUUAGCCUGCCGGUACUACCGGCGUUUCACACCGGUACUACUGGUGCUGGCCGGUACCACCGACCCGAGCCCGGUACUACCGGUAGUUCAUUUUCUCGCAAAACUUAGGAGAAGGGCUGGCACUGCCGGUACCACCGGCCCUGAGGGUCGGUACUACCGGCUCACCCUAGCAAAGAAGAAAAAUUCCUAGUGGUUCGUGCGUGCAAGUGUGUCUCUCAAGCGCAAGAGCUAAGUUGACCUGAGCACUCUUAUCCUCAUCUUACCAACUCAAUUUGCAUCCCUCUUGAUAGUGCGGCAUUUCCUAUAACUCAAGCAAAGAAUAAAAACUUUGUAGCCACUUGAGUCGAAACACCGUUCAUCCAUUGGAAAUUUAGGGGUGCUAUAAUUCACCGAAUGUUUUCGUUCAAUUCCAUCAAUGGACUAACACGUGUAGAUUAUGCUUGAUAAACAUGUUAGUCCCUAAUUUGAUUGUCAUCAAUUAUCAAAACCCACAUCGGGGGCGAAUGCACUUACAAACUCUCCCUUUUUAGUAAUUGAUGAUAACCAACUUAGGCUUAUAAAGAUUGAAAGAAUAGAAGCUUUUGAAUUCCAAAAUUCAAGUUGAGCUCCCCCUCAAUGUAUGCAUUGGAUUCAAAAUUUCAAAUCUUGAUUAGAAUCAAGAUGGCAUACAUUAAGAACAAGCUCCCCCUAAAUUUUGCAAUCCGUGGGGUGCCUAAGUGUGUGUGAGAUAAUAAAGUGUGAUGCAUAUGACAAUAUAUAUCACAAAGAAUAAAAAGAAAGAACUUGAAUGGUUAUGCAAGAAAGAAAAGGACUUACAACUUAUCAUAACCAUUCAUAAACAACAUUGCAUCAGCACAAACCCAAAUUAGCUAACACAAGCAGGAUAUAAUAAUGAAGCAAAGGUGUUUAGCUUACAAUCAACCAUCACACACACAAAGUUUAAGUUUACCACAUGGUUCACAACACAAAAUAAUCCUAAUACCAAGCCUAAUACCACAUGAGAUAAGCCUAACACUCCCCCUUUGGCAUCAAAUGCCAAAAAGGGUAGGCUUCAUGAAGCUCCAAGGGGCAAAGGCAGUAGGUGAAACUACUCAACAUUAUCAUCAUCAUCAUCAUCAUCAAAGGCACCGGUUCACUGAAAACCCUGCUGCUGCUCAAACUCAGUGUCACACUACACCUCAUCAUCCUAUGCUGCACCAUUACCACUAGCAUCUGUUGCUAGCCCUUUUCCUUUUGCUUGGACUUAGCAUAUAUACAUCUGACAUUCUAGUCCAGGUGCUUGCUGUCUUGCUAGAAUGCAAAGCCAGUGACUUGCUCAAUGAUAUACAUGAGAUACGGAGCAUAGGGGAAGGACUAGUUGGAGGUCUAGGAACCCUCCUCAAUGUAAUGCCACAAGAGAUCUGUCACACUGAACCUCUUCUUAAGCCCAAAGCAAAUAGAGAUGGUUGGAGCAUGAUUCUGAACUGAAGUAGCAUCACCAACCUUUGGGUCAAUAGUAGCACGGAGCAAAUUGUUGAGCACAUAGAAAUAGGGCUUUAGACCUUCUGUCUUACCAUUUGCCUUUGUCGGAUCAACAUUGGGCUGCUUCAAUGAAAUCAGCCUUGCCCACACCAUUUGGAUAAUGACCAUAUAAGCUAGGAGCAUCACAAUCAUGGUGAUAAAACCCAAGAAGGUGGGAGAACUGGUGGUAAUCAUAGUGGUAGUGAAGGCCCUCAGUCAUCUAGUGAAGUAUCUUGUGCUCUACAUCAAUGUAAACUGUGUCCCAAAACUAACAAAUAACCUCUGUGUUCAUAAGUUGCAGUUGGUCAAAAACAAGCGAGCAGAAAUUCUAAAGGAGGUGAACCACAUAGUAUACUCAAACCAACUCAAAUUUGUCCAGAUUUCAUGAAGCCAUUACAUAACUAUGGACACAUUUGAGCUGUGAAAAAUAGAUUUUGAAAAGUUCACACAAUUUUUCACAAGAGUUUUUGCCUAUUCGAAUACACACAUGCACACACUAAGCAUAAUAUAAGCCCUAGAUGCACAAAGGUAAAGCAAAGAUCUAAUCAUGGAAUGAUAUACCUUUUGAUCAAUGGCCUUGUCGUCUUCAUCAAGAUCAAGAUGUCCGGUUGUUGGCAUUGGUGUCUUUAUGGGUUUGGCCUUGUCAAUGUCAAACUUUUUUAGCAUGUCGGUGGUGUACUUGGUUUGACUUAUGAACGUGCCGUCUUUGAGUUGCUUGAUUUGAAAUCCAAGAAAGUAUGUCAACUCCCCCAUCAUGGACAUCUCGAAUCUCUUGGUCAUGAUCCUACUAAAUUGCUCACUGAAAUCCGCAUUAGUACUACCAAAUAUAAUGUCAUCGACAUAUAUUUGGCAUAUAAAAAUAUCAUUAUUGACUUUGCGAGUAAAUAAAGUGGGAUCGGUUUUUCCAAUCUCAAACCCUUGUUUCAGUAGAAAAUCCUUGAGACAAUCAUACCAAGUUCUAGGGGCUUGCUUAAGCCCAUAGAGUGCCUUGUCAAGCUUGUAGACAUGAUCGGGAUGAUGUGGAUCUUCAAAACCCGGCGGUUGCUCCACAUACACGGUUUCGGAGAGGGGGGCAUCGAGGAAUGCACUUUUCAUGUCCAUUUGAAAUAACUUGAAAUCAUGGUGAGCAGCAAAGGCAAGUAAUAUAUGAAUAGAUUCAAGCCUAGCUACAGGUGCAUAGGUCUCCCCAAAAUCCAAACCUUUGAUUUGAGUGAAACCUUUGGCUACCAACCGUGCCUUGUUCCUUGUGACCAUGCCAUACUCAUCUACUUUGUUGCGGAAGACCCAUUUGGUACCUAACACAUUUUGCUUGGGUCUUUCCACCAAGGACUAGACUUUAUUCUUGGUGAAGUUGUUUAGCUCCUCUUGCAUGGCAAUCACCCCAUCUGGGUCCUUCAAAGCAUUCUUCACCCUGUUUGACAACAUCGAGGAGACAAAAGAGUAAUAUUCACAAAAACCAACUAAACGAGAGUGUGUUGUUACCCCUCGUUGUGUGUCUCCCAAAAUUCUAUCAAUGGGAAGAUCUCGUUGAAUGGAUUGAUGAACUCUUGGGUGAGGUACUGUUGUUCUUGUUUGAAUUGGACAGUCAUCUUCAUCUUCAUUAUCUUGGUUGAUUGGAGAAUCAAGAUCUUGAUUGUCUCGAUCACCACCUUGGUUGGGUCUUGAGCUUGUGGUGGAUCUUGACUAGCUUGUUCCCUUGAGUCAUGACCCCUUCUUGAGGUGGAAGCAUCAUCAUGGGCAUUGGUUGACCCAUGAUGCAAGUUUGGAUCAUGAGGAAUUUGCAUAUGUGCAUCAUCAUCUUCUUCAACGGGUUUCACUUCACCGGUAGCAAGCCUUUUUCAUCACUUGAUGAGAUGGUUCUUCUUCACCUAAAAUUUUAGCAUUGACUUCCUCCUUUUGAGAGCCGUCGCUUUCAUCAAAAGUCAUGUCUACCACUAUUUCAAUUUGACCGGUGGUCUCAUUGAAGACACGGUAGCCAUGUUCGUUAGUACCAUAACCAAGUAAGAAACCUUCAUCAACCUUUGGUGCAAACUUAGAGCUUUUGGAUUUAUUAUUAAGUAUGAAACACUUGCAUCCAAAAACUCUAAAGUAGUCCACCUUAGGCUUUUUACCGGUUAGAAGCUCGUAGGCUGUUUUCUUCCUCAACUUGUGGAGGUACAAGCGGUUGAUAGUUUGACAUGCCGUGUUGACGGCUUCCGCCCAAUAGUCUUCUUGUGAAAUCUAGUAUUCAUCCAACGUUGCUAUUAUGGCUUCAAUGAGUGUCAUGUUCUUCCUCUCCACAACACCAUUUUGUUGUGAAGUGUAUGGAACCGAGAAUUCAUGCUUGAUGCCUUCUUUAUCAAGGAAAGCUUCAAUGUUGGUGUUUCUAAACUCUCUCCUGUUGUCACUUCUCACUUUCUUGAUCUUCACUUCAAACUUACUUUGAGCUCUUCUUGCAAACUUCUUGAACAUCCCUUGGGUUUCACCUUUAUCUCUCAAAAAGAACACCCAAGUGAAGCGAGAAAAAUCAUCAACAAUUACAAAACCAUAUUUGUUACCUCCAAUACUUAUAUAAGCAUUGGGUCCGAAUAAGUCCAUGUGAAGUAACUCAAGUGGUAUUUGAUGUAGUCAUGAUGUUCUUAGUGGGAUGCUUGUCUCCAACUUGCUUUCUCGCUUGACAUGCACUGCAAAUUCUAUCUUUCUCAAAAGAAACAUUUGUUAGUCCUAGGAUGUAUCCACCUCUUUGAAGAUCGGCCAAGUUCCUCAUCCCAACAUGAGCUAGAUAUCGAUGCGAUAACCAGCCCAUGCUAGAUUUUGCCACUAAACAAGUCUUGGACCCCACUCUACUAGAUGAGAAAUCAACUAGAAAGAGCUUGCCCUUAAGUUGACCCGUAAAAGCAAUAGAGGAAUCCAAACUUCUAGAGACUUCCACACCCUUAUCCGUAAAGAGACAAUUGUAACCCUUCUCACAAAGUUGUGAGAUGGACAACAAAUUGUAUCCCAAUGAAUUCACAAGUAAUACAUUUGAAAUUGAAUUAUCAUUUGAGAUAGCAAUUUUACCCAAACCAAGGAUAUCUCCUUUACUAUUGUCACCAAAGACAAUCCUUUCACCUGCAACUUGAUUUGAUUGAAAGGAGGUGAACAUGUUCUUCUCUCCGGUCAUAUGAUUGGUGCAUCCAUUAUCAAGCACCCAUUUUGGUCCACCGGAGGAGUAUUCCUACAACACAAGAUUAAGCUUUUGUUUUAGGUCCCGAGAUGGGACCUAGGGGGUUAGAAAUAUAAGACUUGGGCACCCAAACACUCCUUAAGAUUUGUCUCUUCUUAAGGGCAUCCACAUACUUCACAACAAUCUUGCCAUCCUUGUCCCAACAACACAUGUAAUGACAAAUGUGAUUGCGUGAAAUAGGCACUUGUUGCUUGGACACCUCCACUUGCUUCUUCUUCAUGUUCUUGUUGUUUGCAAGUGGACUUGUAGGAGUAGCAACAUUGUUCACCUUAUCAAUAAGGUCAACAAGAGGCACACUCUUGUUGAACUUCACACAAGCCACCCCAUUUAUCAUGUUUCUUCCAUUGGCCUUAACAUUGUACCUAUUGUAACCGAGGCCAUCCUUGAUUAUGGGGAGCCUUGAUGCCUUGAACACAUUUGCCGGUUGCUUGUCCUUGCACUUGCAACCAAUCUUGACAAUUGUGUUUAAUCUUUGGAUCUCCUUGUCCUUCUUUGCUAGCUCAACAAGGUUAGUAACACAUGUGUUUAUAUCAACAUUUGAGCAUCUUUCACAACUUUUACUUGUUGAAGCUUUGGAAUCCUUGGAAAUGGUAGAAGUGCUAGUCCAAAGCUUGUCAUAGUUUAGUUCAAGCUCAUGAUAUUUAGUUGUCAAGCUUGUAAGGCUUUCUUGAGCCAAACUAUGAUCAUUCUUUAGGCUAGCCAAAGAGUCAUUGAGUGAAGAAUGUCUCUUAGAUAAAUGCUCAUUAGCAUCUUUGGCUAAAGACAAUUCUACACUCAACUUAUCAGCCCUCUCCUUUUCCUUGGAGAGACAUGCUUCAAGUCCUUGGUUCUUCUCCCUUUCCUCUAGGAGCAAUUCCCCUUGCGACUCAAUGCAUGACUCAAGCUUAUCUUUAGCAUAUAUUAGCUUUAGGAUUUUGGUUGCAGCAGCUUUACCAUAUUUCUUAAUGAGAUUUGAUGCAUAGUUUUCAUCAUCUUCAUCAUCACUAUCAUAUUUACUAGUGGUGUGAGUGGGAGAGUCAAAUUUUACCUUAUCUCCUCUUGCCAUAAGGCAUGUAGGAGUGUCAUGGUCGUCGUCGGAGAGGUUGGCAAAGAGUCUAGGUGAUGAAGAAGUGCGGGUGAAGAGAGAGGUCGAUGACGCAUUGUUGGUGAAGAUGUUUGUUGAGGAAGAUGCCUCUUGUAUGGCGGGGGCAACCAUACUCUUCUUCUUAUUGUCAUUGUCAUCAUCACUGUCACUGUCAGAUUGCCAUUCUUGACCUAGAUGUGCUUCACCUCUCUUCUUAUCCUUGUACUUCUUGUCACCUUGUUUGUUGUAUCUUGACCUCUCCUCUUUGUUAGGACAAUCGGCCGCAAGAUGGCCGGUGUCACCACACUCAUAGCAAAACCUCUUCUUGUAUGGCUUGUUUCCUCCAUAUCUCCUUAUAUUAUCUUUCUUCAUUCUCAAGUAAUUCUUGUAGUUUCCCACUAGCAUAGCUUGCUCUUUAUCAAGAUCAUCGUCAUCAUUAUGCUUAUGCUCACAACACCCUUUGUUGCAGUGACUUGACUCACUUCCAUGUGAUGCCGUGAGUGCAAUGCUCUUUCUUUGAUUGAUUGUCUCCUUAGCUUCAUCAUCCAAGACUUCAUGAUGCAUCAAUUUUGCAAGCAUCUCUUGAGGUGUGAUCGUGUGGUAAUUUUCUUUCUCCAUAAUGACGGAGGCAAGCAUAUUGUUCUUUUGUCUAUACACCCUACAUAUCUUUCUUGCUGCAGAGUUGUCAUCCCAUGUUGUUGCUCCAAGUGCUCUAAUUUGGUUGAUCAAGGACAUGAAUCUAUCGAACAUGGCCUUUGUUGUUUCUCCCUCAAUCAUGCAAAAAUUCUCAAUCUUACUUUGUAAGAGUUCAAUGUUUCCAACUCUUACACUUUUAUCUCCUUCAAAUGACACCUUCAAAGUGUCCCAGAUUUGCUUUGCAUUCACCAUACCAUUUACUUUGUUGUUGUCCUCCGGAGUGAGGCAUUGCAAGAUCAAGGUGGCUGCCAUUGCAUUUAGGUGAAAGUCUCUCUCAUCUUCAAGUGUCCACUCAUUUGGAUCUUGUGGCGGAUUUACUCCAAUGUCCACCACUUCCCAACAUCUUCCGGCUAUGAGAUGUAGCUUCAUUCUAUGAGCCCAAUCGGUGUACCUUACACCAUCAAAUGGAGGUGGUUUUCUAGGGUUGAUCAUUGACAAGGUUGGAUUCUUGCUUGAACCACCACAGUCAAAGAUAGCUUUGUUGUAGUUCUUUGAUGUUUUGCUACUAUCUUCAUUUUCAUCUUUGCUACCCGAUUCAUGAUUCUUUUUGCCUAGGAGCUCUCUCAUCUUGUCAAGCUCUGCUUGCAUCUCCUACAUUUGCUCUUGUUGCUGCAGCUGCAAGGAUGUAGUGAUCUGUGCUGUGAUUUGAUCAACAAUUUGCUUUUAUGCUACUGGAUCCAUCUUGGCCAAUGUUGCUCCUCACGCGGUGAAGCGUUUGUACGAGGAACCUUGCUCUGAUACUAAUUGAAAGGAUCUAAUUGGCCUAGAGGGAGGGUGAAUAGGCGUAUCUUAAAAACCUGAAACUCAAAAGCUCAAGUUGCAGAAGUUAAAUGCCUGCCGGUACUACCGACAGAUUGGGCCGGUACUACCGGUGUAAGACAACUAGUACUACCGACGCAACUGUUGGUACUACCGACGCCCUAUGAGAGCUAUGAAAUCAGAGUAGAUUGAGUUUUGAUUUCAGAUCUAAGAGUUACCCCACUCUCCAAGAUGUAGUAGAGGAUGAUGUUGAAGUUCCCUUGGCUCGGUUCUUCUCCAAAACGUAGAUCGGCCCUUGUUCACCUAUGAAAGGGAGUAGAGAGGAAGAACACGAAGAACACAAGAACAGGGGUAGUCGAUGCUACCACCACAGCAAGACAAGAUAUUUUUCCCGAGGUUCGGCAAUCCCCACGAAGGAGUUCCUACGUCCCCGUUGUUGAGGUGACCACGAAGGUGCGACCACAUAGGUCUCCUCCCUCAAGCAACCACACAGGUUAGCUCAAGAUUUCCACUAAGAAUCAAAGGGUUAUACAAACACUUCGGGGUGCCCUCACAAAUGAAUCAACACGGGCAACCACGAAGAAUGCCUAGCCGGCUAGGGUUCGAAGAACCCAAGAGUAACAAAUGCAAACCAAACUGGCAACACGAAGAAACCAAGUGCUCAAGUCACAAAUCGAAGCUCCCAACUCUCUAAUCUCACUUCUCUAGCUCGAAUCUCUCAAGGAGUGAAGUCUAGGAGCAAAGAGGGAGAGAGAGUGGGUGAGUCAAAGCUUGGAAACUAUUUUCUCAGAUCUAUAGUUGAAGGAAUGGGAGAGCUAAUGGUCAGAAAUGCGGGAAGAGCUAUUUAUACACAGGCCCUAAACAACUGUCGGUACUACUGGGGCAACCACCGGUACCACCGGCUACCUCAGAUCUAACGGUAAGAAGUCUCUAGGAUUUGCGAGAAAUAAGCCUACCAGUACCACCGGGCUUUUGUCGGUACUACCGACCAUUGCCGGUACCACCGGUGGAAGGCCGGUACCACCGGCAGUUCAAAUCUCUGCAACCAAAGUCAGCGCAGAUUUGGCCUGCCGGUACUACCGGCGUUUCACACCGGUACUACUGGUGCUGGCCGGUACCACCGGCCCGAGCCCGGUACUACCGGUAGUUCAUUUUCUCGCAAAACUCAGGAGAAGGGCUGGCACUGCCGGUACCACCGACCCUGAGGGUCGGUACUACCGGCUCACCCUGGCAAAGAAGAAAAAUUCCUAGUGGUUCGUGCGUGCAAGUGUGUCUCUCAAGCGCAAGAGCUAAGUUGACCUGAGCACUCUUAUCCUCAUCUUACCAACUCAAUUUGCAUCCCUCUUGAUAGUGCGACAUUUCCUAUAACUCAAGCAAAGAAUAAAACUUUGUAGCCACUUGAGUCGAAACAUCGUUCAUCCAUUGGAAAUUUAGGGGUGCUAUAAUUCACUGAAUGUUUUCGUUCAAUUCCAUCAAUGGACUAACACCUGUAGAUUAUGCUCGAUAAACAUGUUAGUCCCUAAUUUGAUUGUCAUCAAUUAUCAAAACCCACAUCGGGGGCGAAUGCACUUACACUUAUGCAGUGAGCAAGCUAAGUCGGUUUGUAUCAAACCCGGGGGUUGAUCAUUGGCGUGCUCUUGAGAGAGUAUUGCGUUAUCUUAAAGGUACUAUGACCUGCGGUAUUCGUUAUACCGGACAACCCAGAGUGCUAGAAGGCUAUUGUGAUGCCAACUGGAUCUCUGAUGCUGAUGAGCUUUAUGCCACGAGCGGAUAUGUGUUCCUGCUUGGAGGUGGCGCUGUUUCCUGGAAGUCUUGCAAGCAGACUAUCUUAACGAAGUCAACAAUGGAAGCAAAACUCACUGCAUUGGACACUGCUGGGUCUGAGGCUGAGUGGCUACGUGAUUUCCUUUUGGAUUUACCGGUAGUUGAAAAACCGAUACCGGCUAUCUCCUUGAACUGUGAUAACCAGACUGUGAUUACAAAGGUUAAUAGUUCAAGGAAUAACAUGAAGUCCACAAGGCAUGUUAAGAGAAGAUUAAAAUCUAUCAGAAAAUUGAAAACCUCCGAAGUUAUAACGGUGGACUAUGUCUAUACGUCGAAUAAUCUGGCAGAUCAAUUCACCAAGGGUCUAUCACGCAAUGUGAUAGAAGGUGCAUCGAGAGAGAUGGGUAUGAGACCCACGUGAAAUCUACUGUAGUGGUAACCUGCUCUAUGUGAUCGGAGAUCCCGUGAAGUAGAGUGGUGAAACAAGCUAUGAGUAGAUUGAGAGGAAAGAUCCCUUUCUUGACUCAUCUCUGAUGCUCAUCUUUCCUAUCUGUAAGGCAGGUUGGUUUUUAACUUAUUAUUUCCAAAGGUGAGAUGUUGUCCUACAGAACAUCUAUGGAGGAGUACACCUAUAUGAGUUAGACUGCUAGUCACGGUCUAUGGGGCUUGGGUAAUCCCUAAAUACUCAUGAAAGGCACAGAAGUGUGACUUAUAUGCUUCAAACAGCGGGGAUGCCUUAUGCAGCCUAGUAUCAGCAAAGGACUUGAGUGAAUCUCAUCUCGCACAAAACUGUCAAUUCAAGGCUUAGUCCAUUGUUCAGUUGUGACUAGGUGAAACUCUUGUUCUAGGUGGAUGUUCAACUUAACAGUCUCCAUCGAAACACUGGUAUAUCAAAGAAUUGUGAUUCUGGAACAACAUAGUUACAAACCCUAGAGUUUGGUGGGGAUUGUUGGAUUUAUUAUGGGUUAGACCCGUUUAUAUAUUCAAUAAUUCAAUAAACUCUAUGGUAUGUAAACCGUUUUAUACGGUACGAGUUUUUGGCUGAACGAUAUAUUGAGGUAUGUGUCACGCACUAUGGUCGUGAUGUGACGAAUGGAGGGACUUUUUAUUUUGUUAAUCAUGGUGAUUGAAUAUGGGAGUUACUUCUCAUGGUGAUUGAAUAUGGGAGUUACUUCCAUUAUUCUAAUUGAUUAAAAGAAUUGUCAUUAUCUCCACUAAGGGAGUGGCGUGAGCAUCAUGGGCUCUUGGCUUUCUUGCAUGCGUGUGAGGCUUUUGGCCUCCAAGCCAUGAGGCUCCUUGCCUUUUGGCUUGCCCACCUCUUGCCUAUAUAUAGCACAUACUACUACGUCAGUCAAGGGUGAAGAACACAAUCCAGAGACACAAUUCCGCAGCAACGUAGGCUUCUCCAUCUCCUCGAUCCGCGCGCACGGAGAAGGGAGAGGGCAGGUGCCUUCGAAGCCCUUGUCGUUCGUGAUCCUUGCACGGGGAGGACGGCAAUUAGGUUUUUGGGAAGCGUCUACGCGACUACCCAAUCCACCGCCGCUGUUGAAAGCCCUAGUUUGGUUUUGGAUAAUUGAUGAAACCCUAGUACUAACCUCUAUACUAAGUGUGUGUAGACUUAAUAAGGUUGGUACAUGCCAUGUGAUGGAGCAAGAGAUGAUCAUGGUGAUGAUGGUGAUGACCACAAGAUGAUCAAGUGCUCAACUUUGAAAAGAAGAAAGAGAAAAACAAAAACCCUAUGGAGAUCAAGGCAAAGGUAUUGCUUAGGGUUUUGGUUUUGGUGAUCAAGACACCAUAGAGGGUGUGAUCACAUUUAGGAUAGAUAGCCGUACUAUAAAGAGGGGAAUUCUUUGGCUAAGCGGUUAUCAAGUGCCACUAGGUGUCAUUGUUCAUGUGCAUGCAUUUAGAACCUAGUGAGCUAACUUAACUCCUUCGAAGAAAAUGUUUGUGAAAAAGCUAACACACGUGCACUUGUUGGUUUAAACGUUGUGGUGUUGGCACACUUUGAGAAGGAGGUGGAGUUUGAAAGGUAGAGAGAGGAUUCGGCGCUUUUCGAGAAAAUUAAGUGCAUAUUUUCUAUUGCGCUGGUGGGAAAUUUGGAGAAGUCACGGGAGUGUUUCUCGCUGAGGAACACUCACCGGACGCUGACUCAGAGGCACCGGACGCUGUGUCUGAGCGUCCGGUGUGCAGGCAGUGCCUAGCCCAGCUAGGGUAAGGCACCGGACGAUAGGCACCGGACGCUGGCUUGAGCGUCCGGUGGUUAGCGUCCGGUGCGUGGGCGUUUUGCGACCCUCUCUGCGCAUCGGUCCGGUGAGCACCGGACGCUGAGGGUGCGUCCGGUGGCUUGCGUCCGGUGACCCUACGAGUUUGCGGAACUCUCUGCGCAUGAGUCCGGUGUGCACCGGACGCGUCCGGUGCCAACCUGCUCAGCGUCCGGUGCUCUGCAGGUUACCGUUAGACUCUGACACGCGGCUGACUUUGGAGCACCGGAUGCAGGUGUUGAGCGUCCGGUGGCCCUUUAAGAGCGUCCGGUGACCCCGUAUUUCGCCCAGUGAAAGAGCCAACAGCUCUAUUUGUUUGAGGGGCUAUAAAUACGUGUUUGGCUGGCUUGGGGCUUACACUCUUGGCAUUCUAGCAUACUUGACUUCCUUGUGAGCCUAAGCAAACACCUCCCACUCAUCUCCUUCAUAGAUUAUACAUCUUUGUGAGAUUAGGAGUGAUUCCAAGUGCAUUUGCUUGAGUGAUUGCAUCUAGUGGCACUUGGGGAUCGUUCUAGCUGCGGUUUUCUUGUUACUCUUGGUGGUUGCCGCCACCUAGACGGCUUGGAGCAGCGGAGGAGGAUUGGCACGAGUUGGUGACUGUUCGUAGCCAUCUCCCGGAGAUUGUGAGGGGUCUUGUACCUUCCCCGGCGGAGAGCCGAAAGGUAACUCUAGUGGAUUGCUCGUGUCAUUGAGCUACCUCACUUGUGGGUAGGUUCUUGUGGUGUCCUAGCGAGGACGAGGUUCGUGCUACACCUCUUAGCCACCGAACCACCAAGUGUUGGUCGACACAACGGGGACGUAGCGUGCCGGCAAGCAUGUGAACCUCGGGAGAAAAAUCGGUGUUUCAAUUGUGUUUGAUUGACAUUCUCCCGGUGCUUGAUUGUUUAUAUUGGUGAUUGGUUCAUCCCCUACUCGAUGGUAUAAUUAUCUCAUCCACUCUUUUACAUUCCCGCAAACUAGAGUAGCGUACUUACUUGUGUAGAAACUUUAGGUAGCUUUCUAGUAUAAGUAGUGACAUAGCUCUUGCAUGUCUAGUGAUUAUAUCAACUAGAAUUGUUGGAUAGGUGGCUUGCAAACACCCCAUUAGAGCUAGAGCAAAAAGCUUUGCUUUGUUAUUUACUAACCUCUUGCUCUAGUGAGUUUGUAGAAUUUUUAAAUAGGCUAUUCACCCCCCCUCUAGCCAUAUUAGGACCUUUCAGCUGUUCGUCUUCCUCAAGCUGGUUCGGGCGGAUUUCUUCUUUCCGGUGGAAAGAUCGUCUUCAUCCUCUACAUCAUGGAAGAUAUAUUAUGCUUUUAUAUUUUUAAUAAUCACAUGUUCUACAUGUUCAUGGAUCACAUGUUCUAUAUUCCUAUGAACAUGUUUAAUAUCAUGAUUUCUAUGAUUAAUUAUAUUAUAUAUGUCAUCAUCAUAAUGUUGAUUUAUGGAAUUAAAAUGAUAUGGAAAUUGCCUAAAUAUCUAACAUACAUCGCUGGAUAAGUCAAUUUUCCUACAGUUUGUCUUUUAUAGAACUCGUAGUAAAGAUUUAUAACACUAAAUUAGUAUCAUUAGAUACAUUAUAAAAUAUAUGAUGCAUCCAAAAAUAUUAAGUGUCAUCAUGCAGGUUGACAUGAUUGUUUAUGUGAUUGUAGUAGCUAAUCAUUGAGUCUAGCUAGGAUCUAUAAUCCCUUUUUAGUAAAAUAAUAGACAACAAAAGAUUAAAGAAGCACUAGAAUUAAAAUUUAACACGUGGAUUAAAUAUUGAAUUAAUAAGAACAAAAAAUGUAAUAAGAGUUGAUAUAAGUUAAACUAUGUUUCUAACUAAUUACAUCUUAAAAUCUAUGAAGUUGCUAUGCAAAGGAUGAAAACAUAUAUAAGUAACUAGAAAAAGUUACUAGAAGGGUAGAGUUUAUAGAGUAUAUAAUAGUAAUUGGAAAAGUUAAUAUUGUCGGUGUUUUUCCCCCGGGGGGGGGGGGUCGCACCAACAAGUAAAUUUGUAUGCGUGCUCCCUUUCCCGGAUGGUGAUGCAAGAAGACACAGAGAUUUAUCCUGGUUCGGGCAAGAGAAGGCCCUACGUCCAGCGAGGGGGAGAGAGUUUGUAUUAUCUUGCACCUAAGCGCUCGUACAGGGGUGAAUACAAGCGUGGUAUGAAGUGGGGAGCUCUACGGCGUAUGAGCGUGAUCUUGUCCAUUCUAUUCCUGAGUCCCUCCUUUUAUAGUUCCAAGGAGAGACCCAGGGUACAUGUAUAGGCGUCAGAAUAGGAGUUGAUAGCAGCAUGGAGCGCUGACCUACUCGAGGCUUCCGUACCGGCGUGGCCUCGAGCCGUCCCGUCUUGGUAGCCUUGCGAUGAUUACGUGUGCCCUGUUAUCCUGCUCUGCGCCCCGUCUUGGAUUGGUUUACCGGAUGUACGCUCGUACGACCCGACGGCAAACCCGGCGGAGCGGUUGGGAUGUAGUCAGUCGACGCCCAAUUCGUCCCCUAGAAGGAUCCUUGUCUGGUCGAGGUUCGGAUGCCGUACAUUGUGCUGAUAUCUGGAGCGCUGACUUCGGAUGUCUCGAGGGGGUCCCGACUAGACGUUCCAUCCUCGUUUCCCACGUUCUGACACGUCCAGGGUCGUCUGGUGGGAAGGCUGCAAAAAGAACGAUGGGACAGAUGCUUGUUCCCUUAUCACGUCUCCCGUGACCCGUGUGUUAGGUGGGGAAGCGUCAGAUGCAUUAAAUGCCCUGGCUCUCGUGCGCGCGUCAGGCGGCGGACAGUGUCCUUGCGCUCGACGCCUCUUGAUUCGCUCGAGCCCGCUUCCGUAUUCGACGGAAGCUGGCGCUCGAGCCCAGAUCGAUUCGCUCGACGCUACUUCCGUCUUCGAGGCCGCGACCGUCGAUGGUUGCACGUAUGUAUGUACGGAUGGUGUCGUUACAUGUAUUGGUGAGGGUACCCCUUGUUGAUACCCUCGACAGUAGCCCCCGAGUCUCCAUUUGAGCGCUGGCGCUCGAGUGGAGACUUUUGUUUUUACAGUCGAGGUUCCGUGGGGGCGCGCGAGCGACCCCGCGGGGGUAGCCCCCGAGCCCUCGAGGGAGUAUUUAACUCCUUCGAGGGUUAUUUUGCCCAAUUUGCAGAGACGCUGUCGACGCCAGUGGUGGAAGGUUCUGAUCGGCUUUGCCUUGCGAGGAGGUUUCGACGUACUCUCGAUAGAGCGAGCGUCUUCCACUCCAGAUCGAGUUCCUAGCGGGUAGUCCAAGUGAGAACCUGUGCCCCUUUCGAGGGGGUCAGCUGUAGCCCGGAGGCGUUCUCAUAAAGCUGGGUCGACGUGGUCGGGGAUACCGGUCUCAUUCGAUAGAGUCCAGCGGCUCGAUGCCUCCCGUCAUGGGGAUUCCUCUCGACUGUCUCGACCCUGCCUUGGACAUCGCCAGCGAGUUUUCGAGGCAGGCCUCGAUUUUCGACCACUCGCUGGGGACCCCUGACUCUUGGUGCUCGAGAUCGGCUGUCGAACCCAUUCGACGGGCCAGCCAUCGACCUCUCGAGACUAUUGUGGGUACGCUCCUUGGCUUACAAGGGAAGGAAGUGGUCGUGACGGUUCGCCUUUCUGCCCGUUGGGCGCGUCUUUUUAGGCGGGUGUCGUUACGGCGUGGAAUUCGGAACGCCCGGCCUGUGAAAGGGGAAAGACUGUUAGGUGGCGUAUUAAAUGGGGGGACGUUACCUCAUUUCUCGGAUCUGUCCGUUGGCGAUUUUUGGCUUAUAAAUACUCCGCGGCACCGCCGUCGUUCUCUCUUCCGCCUCCCAUCUUUGCUCUUGCUCUAGCCUCCUUGCCGUCCUAGCUCUCUCGCCGUCUUUCGCGCACAGGCCUCCUCGUGCAGUAGCGGAUUCGCCGCCCUUCCGUCCGAGAUGCCUGUAAGACUCAUUGCCGCCGACGACUGGCGCCCGUCGUCGAUGACGGAGCGCCGGCUGCUAGAUCUUGAGAAAGAGGGAUUGCUGCGCCGCCGCACCUCACUAUCGUCGCCGGAGUGGAUCGCGCCGCCGGCGAGUCACAGGGAGCCCCAACCGCCUGCGGGUUACGUGGUGUCGUUUGCCAAGUUCCACCGCCACGGCCUGGGUGCUCCCCGAGUCGCUUCAUGCGGGCCCUCUGCUUCCACUACGGGGUGGAGCUCCAGCACUUCUCCCCGAACGCCAUCACCGUCGCGGUGGUCUUUGCCGCCGUGUGUGAGGGCUACUUGGGGAUGAUGCCGCACUGGGAGCUGUGGCUCCAUCUCUACAGGGGCGAGCUCUUCAACGCCCCCACUGGGACCACCGGCGUGAGGAAACCGGUGCGGGCGGGUUGCCUCAAUCUCGUGCUGAAGACGGGGAAGUCGGAGAGGCCGCGCGAGUACAUCCCGGUGGGACUGUCGACCAACCACGCCGGUUGGGACUCCCAAUGGUUCUACCUGAGGAACGACGACGACCUACUGCCCGCCUAUACCGGGCGCUUGAUCACGGAGCGACCGGAGAAUUGGACGUACGGCGUCGUCCAAGUUCACCAAUCUCGACUCGACCCCCUCCUCGACGUCAUGAAGAAGCUGUGUUCGGAGGGCUUGACCACCGCCCUCGUUCUCUCGGCCGUUCAUCAUCGGAGAGUUCUCCCUUUGAUGUCUCGGCCGUUGAGGAUGGACGAGAUGGGCCCCGGCGUUUCAUCUCGGGACCUCGAGGCGUGCCGGAUGUCAAACGAAGCUCCGGCGGAUGACGAAGUCGCAGCCCGAGUCAGGGCUGCAAUUGUCGGCGAUUUUCAGCCGGAGCAUGUUAACGGCUUCCCCAUGAGGCCAGACGCCGGCUCGAUAGAUCUGGUAUGUUUUCUUCUUGCGUGCAACCUCGAUUCCGGGUUCCUUUUCUUCCCCUCUCCCUUUCUUUUCUAAGUCUGCCUUUAUUUUGACAGGGACGGAUCGACGUCCGGUCCUCGAGGCCUCCGGUAAAGGAGGACGAGGCCCACCGUGAUAAACGGCGCCAAUCUGCCGAAAAGCUAAAGUCCGCCAAGGACUCUGCCAAGAAGGGGGAGAAGAAGAGGAACCUCGACCGUCAAGCGUUAGAGGCGCGUCGGGCCAAAUCCAGGCAGAGGGGGGAGCCUGAGGAAGAAUCCCCCAAUGAUGACGAUGACGACGACGACGACAG
RNAcentral lists this long non-coding RNA (126651 nucleotides) under Sorghum bicolor (sorghum). RNAcentral describes it as "long non-coding RNA (SBIC_LNC015521)". The stretch from base 91726 to 91832 matches the Rfam family "Plant small nucleolar RNA R71". The record is from RNAcentral. Lineage: Eukaryota; Viridiplantae; Streptophyta; Magnoliopsida; Poales; Poaceae.